UUCUACAACAAUCACGGGCCUACUUUUGGCGACAUGUCUACCAACAACGUAUUUAUCUUCUCCNNNNNNNNNNNNNNNNNNNNNNNNNNNNNNNNNNNNNNNNNNNNNNNNNNNNNNNNNNNNNNNNNNNNNNNNNNNNNNNNNNNNNNNNNNNNNNNNNNNNUCAUCAAACUACAUCAUGUUUCUUCACACCCGCAUAUGAAACUGUAAAAUUUGAAAGAAAAAACGUUCUCGGGUGAAACUACAUCAUGUUUCUUCAGACCCGUAUAUGAAACUGUAAAAUUUAAAGAAAAAAACGUCCGCGGGUGAAACUACAUCAUGGUUCUUUAUCAAACUACAUCAUGUUUCUUCAUCAAACUACAUCAUGUUUCUUCAUCAAACUACAUCAAACUACAUCAUAUUUCUUCAUCAAACUACAUCAUGUUUCUUCAUCAAACUACAUCAUGGUUCUUCAUCAAACUACAUCAAACUACUCUUCUCUCUCUCUCUCUCUCUCGUCUGUGUCGCGAGAGCUACUCCGGCCACCGCUCUACUACUCCUAGCGUACUAGACUAGUAGACGGAGUAUUUCUUCUAGUAAAUAAUGGUUUUCCUAUAUAAUGUGAUGAGAGAUGAGAUGUAUUACCUUUACUAAAUGCCCCUUGACGGAUCUUAUAUCCCACAUUGACCCUUGUCUAUCACGCCUCACCGUCCGAAUGCCUUCCUACUAGGCGCCUUUGACCCCCGCUCCUCCCGCCCACCUUCCAUCCGAGCAAGUCGCCCCCUUCCUAGCGUCACAUUCUGAAUCCACGGAGCCACACUCGCAGGUCCCCGCCCCCUUCCUCCUCUCCUUUCCUUGUUCCUCAUGGACCCGACGCCAAUUCCAGACGGACUAUCGUACACCGGCGACUCCCCGUGGCAAAAGCAGCAGCCUGGCCGCAUCCCCUCGUGGGUAUAACCCACGCCCCAGCCUCAAAUCCCGAGCGGUAGAAGAAUGGAGAUGAGGCGAUCUACCGAAAGCAGCAGGUAAUCUUCUUACGAAUCAACUUGGCAGGAUGUAUAUGAGUUGUGUACUAUAUACCUUUAGAGCAUCUCUAGCAACCCCCCGUAAAAGAGUGACUCGCAAAAUGUGUUUACAGGUCGCUGCAGCUCAAUUUUCCGGGGCCAUUUCGUGCAUCAAAGAUCAUACCCGCAUAUGAAAGUGUAAAAAUUGAAGAAAAAAACGUUCGUGGGUGAAACUACAUCAUGGUUCUUCAUCAAACUACAUCAUGUUUCUUCAGACCCGUAUAUGAAAUUGUAAAAUUUGAAGAAAAAACGUUCGCGGGUGAAACUACAUCAUGGUUCUUCAUCAAACUACAUCAUGUUUCUUGAGACCCAUAUAUGAAACUGUAAAAGUUGAAGAAAAAAACGUUCGCGGGUGAAACUACAUCAUGGUUCUUCAUCAAACUACAUCAUGUUUCUUCAGACCCGUAUAUGAAACGGUAAAAUUUGAAGAAAAAUACGUUCGCGGGUGAAACUACAUCAUGGUUCUUCAUCAAACUACAUCAUGUUUCUUCAUCAAACUACAUCAUGGUUCUUCAUCAAACCACAUCAUGGUUCUUCAUCAAACUACUCCUCUCUCUCUCGUCUGUGUCGCGAGAGCUACUCCGUCCGCCGCUCUACUACUCCUAGCGUACUAGACUAGUGGGCAGUAGACGACGGAGUAUUUCCUCUACUAAAUAAUGGUUCUCCUAUAUAAUGCGAUGUGAUGAGAUGAGAUGUAUUACCUUUACUAAAUGCACCCUGACGGAUAUUAUAUCGCACAUUGACCACCGCUUAUCAUGCCUCACCGUCCGAAUGCCUUCCUACUAGGUGCCUUUGACCCCCGCUCCUCCCGCCCUCCUUCCCUCCCGAGAAAGUCGCCCCCUUCCUAGCGUCACAUUCUGAAUCCACGAACAUUUUUAUGUAGGAUGGCGUAUCGUAAUUGAAAGGAUCGAUAUUGUUGACUAGAGGGGGGGGGGGGGUUGAAUAGACAACGACCACUUUUUAAAUAAUCUUAGCAAGUUAAGGUAAAUAAUAUAUGGGUUCACAAAUGUUACGACAAUGAGGUGAACCCUAAUGGAGCUAACAACAAGAGCUAUUAAGACAAGUAAGAUAUAGUCAACAAUAUAAGCAUACACAAAGUAAAGGUUAGAAUAACCACAAGUGGAACCGAUGGAGACGAGGAUGUGUUACCGAAGUUCCUUCCCUUUGACAGGAAGUACGUCUCCGUUGGAGCGGUGUGGAGGCACAAUGCUCCCCAAUAAGCCACUAAGGCCACCGUAUUCUCCUCACGCCCUCGCACGAUGCAAGGUACCGUGAUUCCACUAUAGGUGCCCUUGAAGGCGGCGACCGAACCAUUACAAACAAGGUUGGGGCAAACUCCACACAAAGCUUGGAGGCUCCCAACUAGACCACGAAGCUUCACCACAAUGGAAUAUGGCUUCGAGGUGACCUCAACCAUCUAGGAUGCUCAAACACCCAAGAGUAACAAGAUCCGCAAGGGAUUGGUGGGGUAAUCAACUUUUCUCUUGGUGGAAGUGUGGAUCUAGGCCUUCUCAACCAAUCCCUAAAGAAUCAACAAAUUUGAUUGGCUAGGGAGAGAGAUCGGGCACUUUUGAGCUUAGGAGCAACAAUGGAGCUUGAGAGGGUAAGAGAUAAGGUUCCACAGCUAGAAGAACCCUUUAUAUAGUGGGGGAAAAAAUCCAACCGUUUUCCCACUCUCUGCCCGAGCUCCAGCGGUACUACCGCUAGCUGCAGCGGUACUACCGCUGGCACUCGAGCGGUACUACCGCUGACCAGGGGCGGUGUUGGAAAUGUGCCCUAGAGGCAAUAAUAAAAUGGUUAUUAUCAUAUUUCCUUGUUCAUGAUAAUCGUCUAUCGUUGAUGCUAUAAUUGUAUUAACAGGAAACAGUAAUACAUGUGUGAAUGAAUAGAUCACAAUGUGUCCCUAGCAAGCCUCUAGUUGGCUAGCUCGUUAGUCAAUAGAUGAUCAUGGUUUCCUGAUCAUGGACAUUGGAUGUCAUUGAUAACGGGAUCACAUCAUUGGGAGAAUGAUGUGGUGGACAAGACCCAAUCCUAAGCCUAGCACUAGAUCGUAUUGUUCGUAUGCUAAUGCUAUUCUAAUGUCAAGUAUCUUUUCCUUCGACCGUGAGAUUGUGCAACUCCCGGAUACCGUAGGAGUGCUUUGGGUGUAUCAAACGUCACAACGUAACUGGGUGACUAUAAAGGUGCACUACGGGUACCUCCGAAAGUGUCUGUUGGGUUGGCACGAAUCGAGAUCGGGAUUUGUCACUCCGUGUGACGGAGAGGUAUCUCUGGGCCCACUCGGUGGAACAUCAUCAUGAUCUCAAUGUGACUAAAGAGUUGGUCACAUGAUGACGUGCUACGGAACGAGUAAAGAGACUUACCGGUAACGAGAUUGAACAAGGUAUAGGUAUACCGACGAUCGAAUCUCGGGCAAGUUCUAUACCGACAGACAAAGGGAAUUGUAUACGGGAUUGAUUGAAUCCUUGACAUCGUGGUUCAUCCGAUGAGAUCAUCGUGGAGCUAGUGGGUGCCACCAUGGGUAUCCAGACCCCGCUGAUGGUUAUUGGCCAGAGAGGUGUCUCGGUCAUGUCUGCCUGUCUCCCGAACCCGUAGGGUCUACACACUUAAGGUUCGAUGACGCUAGGGUUAUAGGGAAUUGUUGUACGAGGUUAUCGAAAGUUGUUCGGAGUCCCGGAUGAGAUCCCGGACGUCAUGAGGAGCUCUGGAAUGGUCCGGAGGUAAAGAUUGAUAUAUAGGACGGAUGGUUUCGGACACCGGAAGUGUUUCGGGCAUCACCGGUAACGUACCGGGACCACCGGGACCACCGGAGGUGGUCCCGGGGGACCACCGAAGGGGGGCAACGACCCCGGGAGGCUAGAUGGGCUAAGUGGGGAAGGGAACCAGCCCCUAAGUGGGCUGGUGCGCCCCCCACCCAGCCCAUGUGCACCAGAAAAAAGGGGAAGGGGGGGAACCCUAACUUAGGUGGGUCUUAGGCCCACCAGAGGGGUGCGCCACCCCUCCUCCUUGCCCUGGCCGCCACACCCCCCAUCUGGGAGGGCUGCCGCACCCCCUAGGGUGGGAACCCUAGGGGUGGCACCCCCUCUUCCCUUCCCCUAUAUAUAGUGGGCACUUUUGGCCUUUGGAGGACACGGUUUUCCCUCUCCCUCGGCACAACCCUGCACUUCUUCCUCCUCCUCUCUGCCGGUGCUUGGCGAAGCCCUGCCGGGAGACCUCGUCUCUCCACCGACACCACGCCGUCGUGUUGCUGGACUUCUUCCCCAACCUCUCCCUCCUCCUUGCUGGAUCAAGGUGCGGGAGACGUCACCGGGCUGCACGUGUGUUGAACGCGGAGGUGCCGUUGUUCGGCACUAGAUCGGAAUCGACGCGAGUAUGACUCCAUCAACCGCGUUCUAGCAACGCUUCCGCUUAGCGAUCUUCAAAGGUAUGAAGAUGCUCUUACCCCUCUCUCGUUGCUGGUCUCUCCAUAGGAAGAUCUGAUCAUGCGUAGGAAAAUUUUGAAUUUAUGCUACGUUGCCCAACAGUGGCAUCCGAGCCAGGUUUUCUAUGCGUAGAUUCCAUGCACGAGUAGAACACAAAAGUUGUGGGCGAUGGUUUGUCAAUUUGCUUGCCGUUACUAGUCUUAUUCUUUUCCGGCGGUAUUGUGGGAUGAAGCGGCCCGGACCGACCUUACACGUACGCUUACGUGAGACUGGUUCCACCGACAGACAUGCACAUCGUGCAUAAAGGUGGCUAGCGGGUGUCUGUCUCUCCUACUCUAGUCGGAUUGGAUUUGAUGAAAAGGGUCCUUAUGAAUGGUAAAUAGCUCUGGCAUAUCAUCGUUGUGGCUGUCACGUAGGUAAGAAGGCAUUCUUGCUAGAAACCCAAAUCAGCCACGUAAAACUUGCAACAACAAUUAGAGGACGUCUAACUUGUUUUUGUAGGGUUUGACAUGUGAUGUGAUAUGGCCAAAGUUAUGAUGUUGCAUGUAUGAUGUAUGAGAUGAUCAUGUUAUUGUAAUAGGUUUCACGACUUGCAUGUCGAUGAGUAUGACAACCGGCAGGAGCCAUAGGAGUUGUCUUAAUUUAUUGUAUGAGAUGCAACGCCAUGUGCAUACUACUUUUACUUCAUUGCUAACGGUUAGCCAUAGUAGUAGUGAUAGUAGUAGUUGGCGUGACGACUUCACGGAGACACGAUGAUGGAGAUCAUGAUGAUGGAGAUCAUGGUGUCACGCCGGUGACGAUGAUGAUCAUGCGAUGCCUGAAGAUGAAGAUCGAAAGAGCAAAGAUGAUAAUGGCCAUAUCAUGUCACUAUAUGAUUGCAUUGUGAUGUUUAUCAUGUUUUACAUCUUAUUGCUUAAAACGACGGUAGCAUAAUAAGAUGAUCCCUCUUAAAAUUUCGAGAACGUAUUCCCCUAAGUGUGAACCGUUGCGAAGGUUCGUUGUCUCGAAGCACCACGUGAUGAUCGGGUGUGAUAGAUUCUAACGUUCGCAUACAACGGGUGUAAGCCAGAUUUACACACGCAAAACACCUAGGUUGACUCGACGAGCUUAGCAUGUACAGACAUGACCUCAAAUACAAGAGACCGAAAGGUCGAACAUGAGUCGUAUGGUUGAAUACGAUCAGCAUGAGGUUGCUCACCAUGGUGACUAGUCCGUCUCACGUGAUGAUCGGACACGGGUUAGUCAACAUGGAUCAUGUAUCACUUAGAUGACUAGAGGGAUGUAGAUUUAAGUGGGAGUUCAUACUUAAUUUGAUUAAAUGAACUUAAUUGUCAUGAACUUAGUCUAAAAGUUGUCUUUAUAAAUAUUGUAGAUGUCCAACGUCAACCUCAACUUCAAUGCAUUCCUAGAGAAAAACAAGCUGAAAGAUGAUGGUAGCAACUAUGCGGACUGGGUUCGCAACCUGAAGCUCAUCCUUGAAGCAGCUAAAAAGGCUUAUGUCCUUAUUGCGCCGCUAGGUGACCCUCCCGCUCCCGCAGCAGCCCAGGACAUUCUAAACGUCUGGCAAGCGUGGAGUGAUGACUACUCUCUGGUCAGGUGUGGCAUGUUAUACAGUUUAGAAACGGGGCUCCAAAGACGUUUUGAGCAACACGGGGCAUAUGAGAUGUUCCAAGAGCUAAAGCUAGUUUUUCAAUCUCAUGCCCGUGUCGAGAGAUAUGAAGUCUCCGACAAGUUCUUCAGUUGUAAGAUGGAGGAGAACAGUUCUGUCAGCGAGCACAUACUCAAAAUGUCUGGGUUACACGGUCGUCUGACUUCACUUGGAGUCGAACUUCCGGAUGAUGCUAUCAUUGACAGAAUCCUCCAGUCUCUCCCACCAAGCUACAAAGGCUUUGUGCUUAACUACAACAUGCAAGGGAUGGAGAAAACCAUUCCCGAGUUGUACUCGAUGCUCAAGUCUGCAGAAGUAGAAAUCAAGAAGGAGCAUCAAGUGUUGAUGGUCAACAAGACCACUACUUUCAAGAAAGGCAGGGGUAAGAAGAACUUCAAGAAAGACGACAAAGCUGUUGCCGCGCCCGGUAAGCCAGAUGCCGGGAAGAAGAAAAAGAACGGACCCAAGCCUGAGACUGAGUGCUUCUACUGCAAGGGAAAAGGCCACUGGAAGCGGAACUGCCCCAAAUACUUAGCGGACAAGAAGGCCGGCAACGUUAAAGGUAUAUAUGAUAUACAUGUUAUUGAUGUGUACCUUACCAGCGCUCGUAGUAGCUCCUAGGUAUUUGAUACCGGUGCUGUUGCUCACAUUUGCAACUCAAAGCAGGAACUGCGGAAUAAGCGGAGACUGGCCAAGGACGAGGUGACAAUGCACGUCGGGAAUGGUUCAAAGGUCGAUGUGAUCGCCGUCGGCACGCUACCUCUACAUCUACCGUCGGGAUUAGUUUUAAACCUUAAUAAAUGUUAUUUAGUACCAGCUUUAAGCAUGAACAUUGUAUCAGGAUCUUGCUUAAUGCGAGAUGGCUACUCAUUUAAGUCAGAGAAUAAUGGUUAUUCUAUUUAUAUGAGUGAUAUGUUUUAUGGUCAUGCUCCGCUGGUGAAUGGUUUAUUCUUGAUGAAUCUCGAUCGUGAUGUUACACAUAUUCAUAGUGUGAGUACCAAAAUAUGCAAAGUUGAUAAUGAUAGUCCCACAUACUUGUGGCACUGCCGCCUUGGUCAUAUCGGCGUUAAGCGCAUGAAGCAGCUCCAUACUGAUGGACUGCUAGAGUCUCUUGACUUUGAAUCAUUUGACACAUGCGAACCGUGCUUCAUGGGCAAGAUGACUAAGACUCCAUUCUCAGGAAUAAUGGAGAGAGCAACCGACUUAUUGGAAAUAAUACAUACUGAUGUGUGUGGUCCAAUGAACGUUGAAGCUCGCGGUGGUUAUCGUUAUGUUCUCACUCUCACCGAUGAUUUGAGUAGGUAUGGGUAUAUCUACUUGAUGAAGCACAAAUCUGAGACGUUUGAAAAGUUCAAGGAAUUUCAGAGUGAGGUUGAGAAUCAACGUGACAGAAAAAUUAAAUGUCUACGAUCUGAUCGUGGAGGAGAAUAUUUGAGUCACGAGUUUGGCACGCACCUAAGGAAGUGUGGAAUCGUUUCACAACUGACGCCGCCUGGCACACCGCAGCGCAACGGAGUGUCUGAACGUCGUAAUCGCACUUUAUUAGAUAUGGUACGAUCUAUGAUCUCUCUCACCGACUUACCGCUUUCAUUUUGGGGAUACGCAUUAGAAACUGCAGCAUUCACUUUAAAUAGGGCACCGUCUAAAUCUGUUGAGACGACACCGUAUGAACUAUGGUUUGGCAAGAAACCUAAGUUGUCGUUUCUUAAAGUUUGGGGCUGCGAUGCUUAUGUGAAGAAACUUCAACCAGAAAAGCUCGAACCCAAAGCGGAGAAAUGCGUAUUCAUAGGAUACCCUAAGGAAACUAUUGGGUAUACCUUCUAUCUUAGAUCCGAAGGUAAAACCUUUGUUGCCAAGAACGGAUCCUUUCUAGAGAAAGAGUUUCUCUUGAAAGAAGUAAGUGGGAGGAAGGUAGAACUUGAUGAGGUAAUUACACCCCCUCUCGAACAGGAAAGUAGCGCAAUGCAGGAAGUUGUUCCUGUGGCGCCUACACCGACUGAAGAGGAAGUUAAUGAUGAUGAUCAUGAAGCUUCGGAUCAAGUUACUACUGAACCGCGAAGGUCCACAAGGGUACGCUCCGCACGAGAGUGGUGCGGCAACCCUGUGAUGGAAAUCAUGUUGUUAGACAACGGUGAACCUUCGAACUAUGAAGAAGCGAUGGCGGGCCCGGAUUCCAACAAAUGGCUUGAGGCCAUGAAAUCCGAGAUAGGAUCCAUGUAUGAGAACAAAGUAUGGACUUUGGUGGACUUGCCCGAUGACCGGCGAGCCAUAGAAAAUAAAUGGAUCUUCAAGAAGAAGACUGAUGCAAACGGUAAUGUAACCGUUUACAAAGCUCGACUUGUCACAAAGGGUUUUCGACAAAUUCAAGGAGUUGACUACGAAGAGACUUUCUCUCCCGUAGCGAAGCUGAAAUUAGUCCGAAUCAUGUUAGCGAUUGCCGCCUUUUAUGAUUAUGAAAUUUGGCAAAUGGACGUCAAAACAGCGUUCCUUAACGGGAACCUUAAGGAAGAGUUGUAUAUGAUGCAACCAGAAGGUUUUGUCGACCCUAAGGGUGCUAACAAAGUGUGCAAGCUCCAGCGCUCCAUCUAUGGGCUGGUGCAAGCAUCUCGGAGUUGGAACAUUCGCUUUAAUGAGGUGAUUAAAGCGUUUGGGUUCAUACAGGUUUACGGAGAAGCCUGUCUGUACAAGAAAGUGAGUGGGAGCUAUGUAGCUUUCCUCGUACUAUAUGUGGAUGACAUAUUAUUGAUGGGGAAUGAUAUAGAGAUGUUGGAGAGCAUAAAGGCCUAUUUGAACAAGAGUUUUUCAAUGAAGGACCUUGGAGAAGUUGCAUACAUAUUAGGCAUCAAGAUCUAUAGAGAUAGAUCGAGACGCCUCAUAGGUCUUUCGCAAAGUACAUACCUUGACAAGAUAUUGAAGAAGUUCAAUAUGGAAAACUCAAAGAAAGGGUUCUUGCCAGUUUUGCAAGGUAUGAGAUUGAGUAAGACUCAGUCGCCGACCACGGCAGCAGAUAGAGAGAAGAUGAGUUCUGUCCCCUACGCUUCAGCCGUGGGCUCUCUAAUGUAUGCCAUGCUGUGUACCAGACCUGAUAUAAACCUUGCCAUAAGCUUGGUAGGGAGGUACCAAAGUAAUCCCGGUGCAGAACACUGGACAGCGGUCAAGAAUAUCCUUAAGUACCUGAAAAGGACUAAGGAAAUGUUUCUCGUUUAUGGAGGUGACGAAGAGCUCGUCGUAAAGGGUUACGUUGACGCUAGCUUCGACACAGAUCCGGAUGACUCUAAGUCACAAACCGGAUACGUAUAUGUGUUGAAUGGUGGGGCAGUGAGCUGGUGCAGCAGCAAGCAAGAAGUCGUGGCAUCAUCUACAUGUGAAGCGGAGUACAUAGCUGCUUCAGAAGCAGCUCAUGAAGGAAUUUGGAUGAAGGAGCUCAUCACCGACCUUGGAGUGGUUCCAAGCGCGUCGGGUCCUAUGACACUCUUCUGUGAUAACACUGGACCAUUGCCAUAGCCAAGGAGCCCAGGUUUCACCGGAAGACGAAGCACAUCAAGCGCCGCUACAACUCCAUCUAGGACCAUGUCCAGAGUGGAGUGACAGAUAUUUGUAAAGUACACACGGAUCUGAAUAUUUCAGACCCGUUGACUAAACCUCUUCCACGAGCAAAACAUGAUCAGCACCAUAAUGCUAUGGUUGUUCGAUACAUCACAAUGUAACUAGAUUAUUGACUCUAGUGCAAGUGGGAGACUGUUGGAAAUGUGCCCUAGAGGCAAUAAUAAAAUGGUUAUUAUCAUAUUUCCUUGUUCAUGAUAAUCGUCUAUCGUUCAUGCUAUAAUUGUAUUAACAGGAAACAGUAAUACAUGUGUGAAUGAAUAGAUCACAAUGUGUCCCUAGCAAGCCUCUAGUUGGCUAGCUCGUUAGUCAAUAGAUGAUCAUGGUUUCCUGAUCAUGGACAUUGGAUGUCAUUGAUAACGGGAUCACAUCAUUGGGAGAAUGAUGUGGUGGACAAGACCCAAUCCUAAGCCUAGCACUAGAUCGUAUUGUUCGUAUGCUAAUGCUUUUCUAAUGUCAAGUAUCUUUUCCUUCGACCGUGAGAUUGUGCAACUCCCGGAUACCGUAGGAGUGCUUUGGGUGUAUCAAACGUCACAACGUAACUGGGUGACUAUAAAGGUGCACUACGGGUACCUCCGAAAGUGUCUGUUGGGUUGGCACGAAUCGAGAUCGGGAUUUGUCACUCCGUGUGACGGAGAGGUAUCUCUGGGCCCACUCGAUGGAACAUCAUCAUGAUCUCAAUGUGACUAAAUAGUUGGUCACAUGAUGACGUGCUACGGAACGAGUAAAGAGACUUACCGGUAACGAGAUUGAACAAGGUAUAGGUAUACCGACGAUCGAAUCUCGGGCAAGUUCUAUACCGACAGACAAAGGGAAUCGUAUACGGGAUUGAUUGAAUCCUUGACAUCGUGGUUCAUCCGAUGAGAUCAUCGUGGAGCUAGUGGGCGCCACCAUGGGUAUCCAGACCCCGCUGAUGGUUAUUGGCCAGAGAGGUGUCUCGGUCAUGUCUGCCUGUCUCCCGAACCCGUAGGGUCUACACACUUAAGGUUCGAUGACGCUAGGGUUAUAGGAAUUGUUGUACGAGGUUAUCGAAAGUUGUUCGGAGUCCCGGAUGAGAUCCCGGACAUCAUGAGGAGCUCUGGAAUGGUCCGGAGGUAAAGAUUGAUAUAUAGGACGGAUGGUUUCGGACACCGGAAGUGUUUCGGGCAUCACCGGUAACGUACCGGGACCACCGGGACCACCGGAGGUGGUCCCGGGGGACCACCGAAGGGGGGCAACGACCCCGGGAGGCUAGAUGGGCUAAGUGGGGAAGGGAACCAGCCCCUAAGUGGGCUGGUGCGCCCCCCACCCAGCCCAUGUGCACCAGAAAAAAGGGGAAGGGGGGGAACCCUAACUUAGGUGGGUCUUAGGCCCACCAGAGGGGUGCGCCACCCCUCCUCCUUGCCCUGGCCGCCACACCCCCCAUCUGGGAGGGCUGCCGCACCCCCUAGGGUGGGAACCCUAGGGGUGGCACCCCCUCUUCCCUUCCCCUAUAUAUAGUGGGCACUUUUGGCCUUUGGAGGACACGGUUUUCCCUCUCCCUCGGCACAGCCCUGCACUUCUUCCUCCUCCUCUCUGCCGGUGCUUGGCGAAGCCCUGCCGGGAGACCUCGUCUCUCCACCGACACCACGCCGUCGUGUUGCUGGACUUCUUCCCCAACCUCUCCCUCCUCCUUGCUGGAUCAAGGUGCGGGAGACGUCACCGGGCUGCACGUGUGUUGAACGCGGAGGUGCCGUUGUUCGGCACUAGAUCGGAAUCGACGCGAGUACGACUCCAUCAACCGCGUUCUAGCAACGCUUCCGCUUAGCGAUCUUCAAAGGUAUGAAGAUGCUCUUACCCCUCUCUCGUUGCUGGUCUCUCCAUAGGAAGAUCUGAUCAUGCGUAGGAAAAUUNNNNNNNNNNNNNNNNNNNNNNNNNNNNNNNNNNNNNNNNNNNNNNNNNNNNNNNNNNNNNNNNNNNNNNNNNNNNNNNNNNNNNNNNNNNNNNNNNNNNCCGUCGUCCGACUCGACCGGCGGUCACCGUCAUCCGCCUCUACCGCCAGCUGCCGUCGUCCGACUCGACCGACGGUCACCGUCAUCCGCCUCUACCGCCAGCUGCCGUCGUCCGACUCGACCGACGGUCACCGUCAUCCACCUCGACCGCCAGCUGCCGUCGUCCGACUCGACCACCACAGCCUUCAUCCGCCUCGACCGCGAGCUGUCGUUGUCCGCCUCGACCGACGGUCACCGUCAUCCGCCUCUACCGCCAGCUGCCGUCGUCCGACUCGACCACCACAGCCUUCAUCCGCCUCGACCGCGAGCUGUCGUUGUCCGACUCGACCACCGCAGCCUUCAUCCGCCUCGACCGCGAGCUGUCGUUGUCCGACUCGACCGACGGUCACCGUCAUCCGCCUCUACCGCCAGCUGCCGUCGUCCGACUCGACCGACGGUCACCGUCAUCCACCUCGACCGCCAGCUGCCGUCGUCCGACUCGACCACCACAGCCUUCAUCCGCCUCGACCGCGAGCUGUCGUUGUCCGACUCGACCGACGGUCACCGUCAUCCGCCUCUACCGCCAGCUGCCGUCGUCCGACUCGACCACCACAGCCUUCAUCCGCCUCGACCGCGAGCUGUCGUUGUCCGCCUCGACCGACGGUCACCGUCAUCCGCCUCUACCGCCAGCUGCCGUCGUCCGACUCGACCGACGGUCACCGUCAUCCACCUCGACCGCCAGCUGCCGUCGUCCGACUCGACCACCACAGCCUUCAUCCGCCUCGACCGCGAGCUGUCGUUGUCCGACUCGACCACCGCAGCCUUCAUCCGCCUCGACCGCGAGCUGUCGUUGUCCGACUCGACCNNNNNNNNNNNNNNNNNNNNNNNNNNNNNNNNNNNNNNNNNNNNNNNNNNNNNNNNNNNNNNNNNNNNNNNNNNNNNNNNNNNNNNNNNNNNNNNNNNNNGGGAGAGGAUCCGGGAUCAUCCAACGGUCCUUGAUGCAUGAUCCGCUUGAGAUCCUUAUGGACCAAUCAGAACGGAGUAAACACUAUGAAUACGUUAUGGCCAUCUAAAUAGGUCGUAAUUAAUUAAAAAAAUCAUAAGAAAAACAUUUACUAUUUACGAGUGACAAAGAUGGUUUUUUGUGAAGGGCCUUGUUGACACCUGAUUUUGGCUAAGAAGAAACACGUUAUGAAGAUGGAUUCAUUUUCCAUUUUUUUUGAGUGCUCAAAAUGAGUUUUUUUGUGAAGAACUUACCAUAUAUUUGUUGCAAAAUUGGACCAAGUCAUUUUUAUAAAUUACUAGGCCAUAUUUAAUGUAAAAUUGACCAAAUGGUUGGGUGUGAAAAUAUUUUAUCCACCUCUCGUGAAAAAGACAAAUUUCUGCAGAUUCAGCUGAAAGCUGGUCAAAUUUAAACUGCAGCUGCAUUAUAGUUUGCUCUUUAUUGUUUCCAAAAGUAUUUUUAGAUAUAAAAGUAUCUAUUUAAUCAGAGAAACACCAAAAAAAUUCCAAGAUUCAACCACUAGCUAGGAAUGGUCAUGCCCGCCGUUUUGACCGCAGUUUGAAAUGGCAUGAAAAAUUCAAAAUAAUCAAAAUAAUGGAAAACCUUCACAUUGUGUCAUUAUAUGUGACAAAGUUAGCAGGUAAAAUAAUAAAAUUGUAAUAUGUCAAUUAUUUUUUAAAAGUGUUUUCAGAAAUGAGCUAUCAUCUCUAAAGAUUCAUGGCUUUCAAGCCGAAUAAUCAAUCUUAUGGCCACAUUCAUGACAUAGUAUGUUAAAAUGACCUCAUAUUGUGCACAAGGGUGCGUAUUGGAAUGGCAAACAAUGUUGCCUAAGAAAAAAUUCAUUUUCUUUGGACGCAAAAUUUAUUUUCCAUUUUUUGAGUACCUAAAAUGAGUUUUUUUGUGAAGGACCUACCAUAUAUUUGUUGCAAAAUUGGACAAAAUCAUUUUUCUAACAUACUAGGACAUAUUUAAUGUACAAUUGACCAAAUGGUUUAGUGUUGGAGGCUUUUAUCGACCUCUCGUGAAAAAGACAAAUUUUCGUUGAAUCAGCUCGAAACGAAUCAAAUUUAAACUACAGCUACAUUAUAGUUUGCUCUUUAUUUUUCUCAAAAACCAUUUCUAGGUAUACAAGUAUCUACUUAAUCAGAGAAACACCAAAAUAUUUUCAAGAUUCAACCACUAGGUAGGAACGAUCAUACCCUCUGUUUUGACCGCAUUUUGAAAUAGCCAUAAAAAAUUCAAAAAAUGGAAAAUCAUUGCAUUGUGUCAUUAUAUGUGACAAAGUUAUCAGGAAAAAUAAUAAAUUUAUAAUACGACAAUUAUUUUUAAAAAGUGUUCUUAGAAAUGGGCUAUCAUGUAUGAAGAUUCAUGGCUUUCAAGUCAAAUGAUCCAUCUUAUGACGACAUUUAUGACAUAGUUUGUUGAAAUGAUAUAAUAUUAUGCACAAGGGUGCAUAUUCAAAUGACAAACAAUGUUAAUUAAGAAAGUUUUCAUUUUCCUUCUAUGUAGAAAUCAUUCUCCAUUUUUCAAGUGUCCAAAAUGAAUUUUUUUUGUGAACUACCUACCAUAUAUUUGUUUCAAAAUUAUACCAAAUCAUUUUUGUAAAAAUAGUAGGAUAUAUUUAAUGUACAAUUGACAAAAUGGUUGGGUGUUAAAAACUUUUAUGCACCUCUCGUGAAAAAGACAAAUUUAUGUCGAUUCAGAUGGAAGCGGAUUAAAUUUGAACUGCAGUUGUAUUAUAAUUUGCUUUUUAUUUUCCCCAAAAAUCAUUUAUAGGUACAUAAGUAUCUAUUUAAUCAUAAAUACAUGGUGUAGUGUCUUGACGUCGAGGUUUGGAUGGUAGUCGAGUGCCCCCACCUCCAGAGCACGAGAAUUUGCAUGCCAGCCGCAUUGUCACCGCCUGACCGUUGCGUUGCCACGCGUUCUGGGUGGAAUAGGCAUGUCUGGUGGGUUGGACAAUCCCUAAGGGAAGGCAUUGUGAAGUGAUAACUACAUGAUGGGUUGCUAGAGUGACAGAAGUUCAAACCCUAGUGUGACAGCCCGAUGCCGGCGUUCCAGAAGAUUCCCCUUUCCUUUCCGUUUCCAUCGUGUGGGUAUCUUUAUUUGUUGCAUCAUCAUCGCAUCAUGCGCAUCAUCUGCAUUGCAUCGGCAUCUCCGUUGCCUCCCGUUUUCAAAACUUGCAUCCGUUGGUAGUUGCUGGUUCUCGUCGUUGUCCGUUCUGAGCCCGACCACACACGCACGGGCCCGCGGCACCGUUCGAAACCCUGUUUUUAAAGUGCGUUUAAAACUUUCUCUAAUCGGGGUGAAACUUAGCAUGCGGUCGUAAUUUGUUUUAGUUAGGCCGCCUGUCGAAUUUCGUCGCGAUCGGGGUUCGUCUGUUACCCGAACGGUCGACCGUAGCGGCACCGUAUCCGGUCUACCAUCGGACGUUUGUCGGUGUUUUAAAAACUCGUUGCCGCGUUGCCCGUUCUCCCUCUCGUCCCCGGAUAUCCCCUCUACACGGCCUCGCCCGUUACCGCGUGCGGAAUCAUCCGAAUCCGACCGCACGGUUGGAUCCGGGUCAAAAUUUCGCUAAACCUACGCCCCCCCCCCCMMYUUSKUCUAUAUAUAGUUCCCGACGUGCAUUUWGUYACACCCCUCCCUUCCUACCNNNNNNNNNNNNNNNNNNNNNNNNNNNNNNNNNNNNNNNNNNNNNNNNNNNNNNNNNNNNNNNNNNNNNNNNNNNNNNNNNNNNNNNNNNNNNNNNNNNNGACAAAACUAUGAUAAUGAAAAAGUGUUUCAAAUUGUAAUAAAUAAUGUCAAAACUUUUUUUUAUUUUCAUAAUUAAUAAUUUUUGAGUAUCCAAACUAUUAUCUAUUUUGUUAUUUUCAAUUAAAAACUAUGUUUAUUAAAAAUUCUUUUUGCAUAUUUGAGAAUUUGGCAAAACUAUGAUAAUGAAAAGUGUUUCAAAUUGAAUAAAUAAUGCAAAAACUAUUUUUUAUUUUCAUAAUUAAUAAUUUUUACUAUCCAAACUAUUAUCUAUUUUGUUAUUUUCAAUUAAAAACUAUGUUUAUUAAAAAUUCUUUUUGCAUAUUUGAACUCCAUACUUUUUGUGUGUUCAAAAUGCACCAUUCUAAGGCACAUCACAAAAUUUCAACAAUUUCUGACUUCAUUUGGUAUUCUUCGUGCAUUUACUUAUUAUUUUUUUGAGCUAGUUGACCCUGAAAUUGAAAAGCACUACAAAUGAACUCUAAAAAUGUUGAAAGUUGGCAUGCUAUAAUCAUUUCACCCACAUAGCAUGUGUUAAAAAGUUGAGAGGGCUACGACAAAAACUGGAUGCAGUUCGUGUACAAAACGGACAAUCUCUCUCGAAGUAGCAAGGCUUCGAACGAGAACUCAUCUCUUACAAAGGGAUUUCGAAUUUUUUGAACUUAUUUGAACUCCAUACUUUUUGUGUGUUCAAAAUGUACCAUUCUAAGGCACAUCACAAAAUUUCAACAAUUUCUGACUUCAUUUGGUAUUCUUCGUGCAUUUACUUAUUUUUUUUGAGCUAGUUGACCCUGAAAUUGAAAAGCACUACAAAUGAACUCUGAAAAUGUUGAAAGUUGGCAUGAUAUCAUCAUUUCACCCACAUAGCAUGUGUUAAAAAGUUGAGAGGGCCACGACAAAAACUGGAUGCACUUCGUGUACAAAACGGACAAUCUCUCUCGAAGUAGGAGGGUUUCGAACGAGAACUCAUCUCUUACAAAGGGAUUUCAUUUUUUUGAACUUAUUUGAACUCCAUACUUUCUGUGUGUUCAAAAUGCACCAUUCUAAGGCACAUCACAAAAUUUCAACAAUUUCUGACUUCAUUUGGUAUUCUUCGUGCAUUUACUUAUUUUUUUUUAGCUAGUCGACCCUGAAAUUGAAAAGCACUACAAAUGAACUCUGAAAAUGUUGAAAGUUGGCAUGCUAUCAUCAUUUCACCCACAUAGCAUGUGUUAAAAAGUUGAGAGGGCUACGACAAAAACUGGAUGAACUUCGUGUACAAAACGGACAAUCUCUCUCGAUGAUGGUCGCUACUCCUACUUCCCCUAGUACAUAACCAAUAUAUAGCACAAGGAGAAGAAGGAGAAGCGACCCCCACAACAAAAGUGGUUCCGCGGCACGCCACGUGGUUCCGCUGCACGCCACGUGGGACUAAUGGUCUUUCAUUUUUAAAUGACUGUUUUAAUCAAAAACAGAUCUGUUACAAAAGGGAUUUCAUUUUUUGAACUUAUUUGAACUGAAGACUUUUUGUAUAUAUAUGUGGUCGAAAUGCAUGAUACCAUGAAGUUAGAAAGGGCUAAACCAUUCAAAAGUAGCAAAUGAAGUUAGAAAGGGCUAAACCAUUCAAAUUUGGAAACUACAAUGACACAAACAGAAACUAGACAUAUAUAAAUUGGUCCAAGCAGUACAUGAUACUAGUCCAAACAGUACAUAAUAAUAGCUACCAUAGAUAUAUAUACAAGUGUUCGACGUUGAGAACACUACUCGUCUGAAUCGUCUGAAUCAGAAUGUCCACCUUCCUCGAGGUGACGCUGGCCAUAGUUGACGACUCGAAUCUUGCGGUACAACUCGUAUGAAACGUAUGCAUCUUUUGCUGCAUACUCAAUGUUGAUAGGAUCAAGUGGGCCCUUCUCCCAAAGUUUGUGCUGAAACUUUGGGAAACUGGUCUUCAUAUCACCAUAUCCCUCGUCGAUCAAGGCAACUGCCAUAUGAGCCAUUGAAGUCCUGUCAUGUCGAAGCCUGAAUACCGUUUGGAGAUCAACGAGGCAACCAGCUGGUAUCUCAAUACCGAAGCUGUGCCUCAUCUUCAGCUUGUCGUUCCUUAUGUCAACGGAAGCAAAAGUGAUGCCGCUGCGAAGGAAGUCCAUGAGUUCUGGACAAUCCUUGUCACUCCUGCAACAGAAACAAAUUAAAAUGGAACAAAUGUUACAUACUGCUGNNNNNNNNNNNNNNNNNNNNNNNNNNNNNNNNNNNNNNNNNNNNNNNNNNNNNNNNNNNNNNNNNNNNNNNNNNNNNNNNNNNNNNNNNNNNNNNNNNNNAGCCUCACUCUCUCGCGACAGAGGAGACGGAAAUGGGCAAUUAAACUUGCUCACUCUGUCGCGACAAAAGGACCAGAAAAUGGGCAAUUAAACUUGCUCACUCUGUCGCGACAAAAGGACCAGAAAAUGGGCAAUUAAACUUUCGUGACAGAAGGAACCAAAAAUGGGCAAUUAAACUUGGUUGAACCAAAAUGCCGGAUUAAUGUGCUCUCUCUCUGUGUCUCUUGCAACCGAAAAUGGGAAAUUAAUUUUGGUUCGCGGUGAGUAAGAGGAAUGGAGAAGCAAUUAAUAUUUAUUAGAGUUUUGCGUGGAACUCUUAAUAAUGUUAUGGCAGUGCGUGAUUAGGGUAGCUAGCCGAGCAUGUAAGUAGAGAUUGGGUGAGUGACUGACCGCAGUUCCACUUGGUGCGUGAGUUGAAGAAGGACUCGUCCCGCUUGAUGCACGCCGGGUGGUAGACCUUGGGGCACCCCCUGCACACAAGGGAGAAGCAAAUAACAGUAAUUAGGAAAUCGAAGUUGUCACAUCCGUUCCGUUCCGUUCCCAGAGGAAGUUGGUAGGUUACCUCCGAUCGCAGACGACUAGGUCUCCCCCGUCGAAGCAGAUGAAGCAGACGACCUCGUCUUCCUCCUCCUCCUUGCGCUUCUUGGCGGCCUUGGCCUCUGCCCGCCUGGCCGCGGCGGGGGUGAGGACGGCGGUUGCUGCUGCUGAUGCUGGUGGUGGCGUUUGGAGUGGCGCGGCGGCCCCGAGCACCGCGGCGUUGUUGGCGCUCCUUGGCGGCCUCCCCCUCUUCUUGGGCGGCGAGACCACCAGCAGCUGCUGCUGCUUGUGGUGGGCCUGGGCCUGGGCCGGGGCUGGUGUGGGGCCCGGAGCAGCAGCAGAGGCAGCGGCGGCGGCUGCAUCGGGGGCGGGCUGGGCGAGGACGGUGUCCCCCAUCCCCAUCCCCAUGGCCAUGCCCAUGAUGGAUCCGAGGAAGUGCGAGUCGUCGACCAUCCCCGGCGGGUCGGGGGGCGGGGGCGGUGGGAGGUCGGGGUCGAGUAUAUUGACCAUGGAUGAACGGAUCGGGGCGCGCGGAGCUUGGCUGAGCUCCCCCGGGCUGCGAAUCGGGCGACGGCGGCGGCGGUCCAAUCGGUCGGUCGGGAGGUGGAAGGAAGGAAGGAAGGUCUCUACCCACCCACCCCUUUUCUCCCCCCACCCCUUUGGUACAGUAGUAGCAGGAGGAGGAGGAGGAGGAGGAGGUGGAGGUGGAAGGGGGGAGGCGCGUCGCGUUGCGUGUGGGAAAGGGGAGAGGGGAGGUGGAGGUGGAAGUGGAAGGAAGAAGCGUAAACAAAGCAGAAGCGAAGACCAGCUGCACCAGCAAAGAGAAAGGGGAAUGGAAAGGGUAGUAAUUUGGCGCUUCGGCGGGGUGCUUUCGGCACACACACACAACAAAAAAAAAAAGGAAUUACUGUAAUCUGGGCCCUCCGCUCCGCUCUGCGGGUGGGCGCAUGCUUUGUUAUGGUGGUCUUGUUCUGCUUGCCUGCGCGCCGCGGGAAAAGAAAAAAAAAAAGAGGGAGAAAAACUGGGGGAUGAGACCGUCCGUCGGGUUGGAAGGGGGACGCCGUUGGUUGGUCGUUGUAUUCGCUCCUUGGUUCGGUGCGGGUGCGAGCAAUAAAAGUCGGCUGGGCUGGGCUGAGUCGUGUGCUGUAACUAGCUCGGCUCGGGGCACGCGGGUGGCAGGUGCGUGCUUCUCGUGGCCGUGGCCGUGGCCGUGGCGUGGUGGUCGGAGGUCCACGGUCCACACCGCCAAUGAAUGACUCCCCNNNNNNNNNNNNNNNNNNNNNNNNNNNNNNNNNNNNNNNNNNNNNNNNNNNNNNNNNNNNNNNNNNNNNNNNNNNNNNNNNNNNNNNNNNNNNNNNNNNNCUACGAGCCAAUCUAAUUGGAAUAGUGUUCCAUAAUCUGAAAAAUCGUAUUAGAAUCAACUAGUGUUUAAUAUGYUMCRWKSGAAUCAUAGUUGGUUCCCUUCAAMUAGUUGUAGUGAAACAAUUUUGAUUAGUUGAAGGGGAACGACAAUCUGAUUGGAAUAGUGUUCCAUAAUUUGAAAAAUCGUAUUAGAAUCAACUAGUGUUUAAUAUGUUCCAUUGGAAUCAUAGUUGGUUCGCUUCAAAUAGUUGUAGUGAAACAAUUUUGAUUAGUUGAAGGGAACACAAUCUGAUUAGAAUAGUGUUCCACAAUCUGAAAAAUCUGAUUGGUUCAAUAUGUUCCAUUGAAAUCAUAGUUGUAGUGAUACAAUUUUAUGCGGUGUUCUUUGAUCCAAGGUUAUGAAAAUUGAAUAUAGCUAGUGAUCUCUCUAGGUUCCAUUGGAUAGCAAUAUGAUAUGUCAUAGUCAUGAAAAUUGCAUAUAGCUAGUGAUCUCUCUAGGUUCCAUUGGAUAGCUAUAGUGAUCUCUCUAGGUUCCAUUGCAUAUGUUCUAUUUGAAUCCUAAAGAUAAUUUUCUCUUUAGUUGUAGUGAAACAUGUUUCCUUAUUGCAGCAGUAUGUAACAUUUGUUCCAUUUUAAUUUGUUUCUGUUGCAGGAGUGACAAGGAUUGUCCAGAACUCAUGGACUUCCUUCGCAGCGGCAUCACUUUUGCUUCCGUUGACAUAAGGAACGACAAGCUGAAGAUGAGGCACAGCUUCGGUAUUGAGAUACCAGCUGGUUGCCUCGUUGAUCUCCAAACGGUAUUCAGGCUUCGACAUGACAGGACUUCAAUGGCUCAUAUGGCAGUUGCCUUGAUCGACGAGGGAUAUGGUGAUAUGAAGACCAGUUUCCCAAAGUUUCAGCACAAACUUUGGGAGAAGGGCCCACUUGAUCCUAUCAACAUUGAGUAUGCAGCAAAAAGAUGCAUACGUUUCAUACGAGUUNNNNNNNNNNNNNNNNNNNNNNNNNNNNNNNNNNNNNNNNNNNNNNNNNNNNNNNNNNNNNNNNNNNNNNNNNNNNNNNNNNNNNNNNNNNNNNNNNNNNUGAAACUGUAAAAUUUGAAAGAAAAAACGUUCUCGGGUGAAACUACAUCAUAUUUCUUUAGACCCGUAUAUGAAACUAAUAAAUUAAAGAAAAAACGUUCGCGGGUGAAACUACAUCAUGGUUCUUUAUCAAACUACAUCAUGUUUCUUCAUCAAACUACAUCAUGUUUCUUCAUCAAACUACAUCAAACUACAUCAUGUUUCUUCAUCAAACUACAUCAUGUUUCUUCAUCAAACUACAUCAUGGUUCUUCAUCAAACUACAUCAAACUACUCUUCUCUCUCUCUCUCUCGUCUGUGUCGCGAGAGAUACUCCGGCCGCCGCUCUACUACUCCUAGCGUACUAGACUAGUAGACGGAGUAUUUCUUCUAGUAAAUAAUGGUUUUCCUAUAUAAUCUGAUGAUACGGAGAUGAGAUGAGAUGUAUUACCUUUACUAAAUGCCCCUUGACGGAUCUUAUAUCCCACAUUGACCCUUGUCUAUCACGCCUCACCGUCUGAAUGCCUUCCUACUAGGCGCCUUUGACCCCCACUCCUCCCACCUACCUUCCCUCCGAGCAAGUCGCCCCCUUCCUAGCAUCACAUUCUGAAUCCACAGAGCCACACUCGCAGGUCCCCGCCCCCUUCCUCCCCUCAUGUCCUUGUUCCUCAUGGACCCGACGUCAAUUCCAGGUGGCCUGUCGUACACCGGUGACUCCCCGUGGCAAAAGCAGCAGCCUGGACGCAUCCCCUCGUGGGUCCAACCCGAGCCCCAACCUCAAAUCCCGAGUGGUAGAAGAAUGGAGAUAAGGUGAUCUACCGAAAGCAACAAGUAAUCUUCUUACGAUUCAACUUGGAAGGAUGUAUAUGAGUUGUGUACUAUAUACCUUUAGAGUAUCUCUAGCAGACCCUCGUGAAAGAUUUACCUGCAAAAUGCAUUUACAGGUCGCUGCAGAGCAAUUUUGCGGGGCCAUUUCGUGCAUCAAAGAUCAGACCCGUAUAUGAAGCUGUCAAAUUUAAAGAAAACAAACGUUCGUGGGUGAAACUACAUCAUGGUUCUUCAUCAAACUACAUCAUGUUUCUUCAGACUUGUAUAUGAAAUUGUAAAAUUUGAAGAAAAAAACGUUCGCGGGUGAAACCACAUCAUGGUUCUUCAUUAAACUACAUCAUGUUUCUUCACACCCGCAUAUGAAACUGUAAAANNNNNNNNNNNNNNNNNNNNNNNNNNNNNNNNNNNNNNNNNNNNNNNNNNNNNNNNNNNNNNNNNNNNNNNNNNNNNNNNNNNNNNNNNNNNNNNNNNNNCUGGUCUUCUUAGCUUUCGAUGAAAANAUUUCAAAAAUAUUUUUUGCAUGAAAAAACUCAUUUCNGUUUUUUUUGCGAGAGAUAUGGUUUUGCUUCCCUUGAGAGGCACAGUUUUUGCGUUUGCAAAAGGCAAAUGAAAAAAAAAGUUUCUGAAUUUUUUUGGGAGAGGCACGGUUUUCCUUCCCCCAAGAGACACAGUUUUUGCGUUCGUGAGCGAAAAAAAAAGCAAAUUUUUUUUUUGCAAGAGGCACAAUUUUGCUUCCCCGAGAGACACGGUUUUUCGUUCGCGAGCGAAAACAAAAAACAAAGUGUUUUUUUACAAGAGGCACGAUUUUGCUUUCCGAGAGGCAUGGUCUUGCGUUUGCGAGAAAAAACAAAAACAAAAGUGUUUUUUUACGCGAGAGCCACGACUUUGCUUCCUCGAGAGGCACGGUUUUACGUUCGCGAGCGAAAACAAGAAACAAAGUGUUUUUUUGCAAGAGGCACAAUUUCGCUUUCCAAAAAGGCAUGGUUUGAAAACAAAAAAUAAAGUGUUUUUUUACGAGAGGCACGAUUUUGCUUGUCUAAGAGGUACGAUUUUGCAUUCGUGGGAGGGACGGACAUGCCUCUCGGACCGUUUUUUUUUCGUGAGAGGCAAGGUUGUGCCUCUCGAAAACAGAAAAAACCGCGGUAUUUUUUUUACGUGAGAAACAGAAAAAACGCGUUUUCUGGUUUUUUCCAUCAGGAGAGGCACGGUUUUUCCGUUCAGGUUUUUUCGUGAAUUUUUUUUAUCAAAACCUAUAAUAUAUGGGAUCUAGUUUUAAAGAUCACGACGUGAUGAACCCAACAGUGAAAAUGGUUCGAGAUUUGAACGCACGGUUUAGAAGAUAAAAUAUUUUAAAAAUUCAGAUCAAUGAAAAAAGAAAACUUCUAGAUUGCAACAAAUGGCACACAUGCAAUGUGCCACAUGUUUCACCUAAAAAGGUGAAAAUGAAAUUUGGAAGGAGUACUACUCAAUUACAGAUUUCGAAAGGAAGGACUGGGAGUGGGUGAUCGAACCCUGGGUCUUCAAGGUGGAAGCAAAAAAACCAACCAGUUGGGAUGGUUACAAACGUAUGAUUUACUAGCAAAAGGGCCCGUGCGUUGCAACGGAAGAAAAAAAUACCACAUACUCUUAAUUUAUAAAAAUUGAUCUAUAAUCUAAAAAAAUUUAGUUACAACACAAACAAAGAUGAACUUACCCUAAAAAUGCAAUUCAAAUUUCCAUUGUCCAUGUGUCGCAUGGGAGCAGAAAAUAGAUUUAACAUCCAGCAACCACUCUGUAUGCAUAUCUGGUCGAUGUUGUGUACGUCGGGCGCCGUUGUGCUCGCAUGCAUACUGUCGUACAUGAGUGAAAGUAAUCAAGAUAAACUAAUCCAGAGGCCAUUGGGGCAAAAAAAAAUUGUUCGCGGUCUAGUUAGUGGUAUACAAUCUGGCAACCUAUCAUAGAUAGUUGGCCUCUUCCACAAAUAGUCCAUUUCAUCUUCUCCUCCUAAUUCAUAUCGCUUGACUUGAAUCAGCCUGAUAGAAGAAGAAAAACAAUUAAACAAAAUCGCUUUGAUUUGGAUCGCCUGAUAGGAAGAAAAAAGAAAAGGUAAACAAAAAAAGGGAAAAAAAUAAAACAAAUCUGGACAACCUAWUCAUAGAUAGUGCUCUUUUGACAAAAUAAGUCCAUUUCNNNNNNNNNNNNNNNNNNNNNNNNNNNNNNNNNNNNNNNNNNNNNNNNNNNNNNNNNNNNNNNNNNNNNNNNNNNNNNNNNNNNNNNNNNNNNNNNNNNNUAGUAAGAGUACCAAGUAUAUAUAUGUAUCUCUAGCAUAGGAAAAUGACUGGAGUGUUUCCCCAAAGUAGAUUUGUCUGUUGUGGGGGCCAUGGCAGUAUUCCAAUGGAACUGUAUGUGUACCAAAAACCAUUUCUUUCAUCUUGGCCUCGAUUCGCCUGAUGUGCCGGAAAAAGUGAAGUGUGAUGUCCCGACUGAAUCAUGUUCGUUUUCUGAGCAUAACGAGCUUUUGCUUGGUGUCUAAAUCUAGAUCACUCGAACACGCUUGUUUGUUCUCUGCGSUMCKAGSUUCUAGAACCCAAGCCGUCAGAACUUGCUUUGAUCCAACAGAUAUCAAUAUGUAAGUGGUGUCCUUGUCUUCGGCCAAAAUGUCGGCAGAACUGACACUAGAGUUGCAUGAUUUAUCUGCUAAUGUGUAAGUCUUUGGGACGAAGCACGUAUCUCUCACAGCUGACCCACCAACAUGCUCCCCCAGCAGCUUGGAUGAACACCAUCUUCCAUCACUACUAGCGGAGUACCUGUAACAAAGAUCAACAACAAAAUAUAUAAUAUGAUUCAUAACAGCACCUGAAAUGGACAGGUAUAUUGCAACCAAAAAUACCAGGGGCUAUACUAAACACCCAAGAACAACUCCCUAGUUGACAACUUAAUCAAACGAAGCACGGAAUAAAUCCUACGAAUUAAACAAAAGGGCAUCACGGCAAAAUAUCGCACGAACUAACUUGCUCAAAAAGCUAAAACUAAUUGCACAGAAAAAUCCCAUGGAUUUUUUCUACCCCGAAAACAUAUAAAAUAUGUGGGGUUGCACAACAAUAUAAUGCUACACGAAAAUGCGAGAAAAUAACCUAUACACGGGAAAAUAAACUAUCGGCAAACCCUACACGCAAAAAUGUCAAUGACCGCUCUAAAAUACAUGGAAAAAUGGUUUCUAAAACAUGGGCAUUUAUGCUACGGCAUUCGGGCUAUUCGAACAUGCGCGGAAAAAUAUACGGGAAAGAAGACAUAAAAUGGCAUCUCAUACACUAUUUCAGACUUGGUGAAAAUUACACCUCAUGAAAGUGCAGUUUACGAUCUGAAGCCAUAUUGACAGCAGCAAAACCUAUAGCUACAGGACUCCAGAUGGCAUGAAAAUUGACAACAUGCUAGAGAAACACAAGGGCUACAACUAACUCCAUUGGACCAACCUCAAAAGAGCUACAGAACAAAAGAUACAAGCAAGACAAGACAACAACAAAACAUACUGUCAACCUGACAUAAAACAAAGAGCUCAGACUAGCUCGUAGNNNNNNNNNNNNNNNNNNNNNNNNNNNNNNNNNNNNNNNNNNNNNNNNNNNNNNNNNNNNNNNNNNNNNNNNNNNNNNNNNNNNNNNNNNNNNNNNNNNNAUGGUUCGAGAUUUGAACGCACGGUUUAGAAGAUAAAAUAUUUUAAAAAUUCAGAUCAAUGAAAAAAGAAAACUUCUAGAUUGCAACAAAUGGCACACAUGCAAUGUGCCACAUGUUUCACCUAAAAAGGUGAAAAUGAAAUUUGGAAGGAGUACUACUCAAUUACAGAUUUCGAAAGGAAGGACUGGGAGUGGGUGAUCGAACCCUGGGUCUUCAAGGUGGAAGCAAAAAAACCAACCAGUUGGGAUGGUUACAAACGUAUGAUUUACUAGCAAAAGAGCCCGCCUUCUAAUGCUGCACGAUAGAAAACACAUAAACAUUAACACACCAAGUGUAGGUAAACGUGUGAAAACAUACUGAAUUAAUAAAAAUAUGCUAAUAAUAUAAAACACCUCUUAAAGUGGCCUGUSUACGAGYAGCUGUGCUCAUUGUGUUAACUACUUAGUCAUGAUGGAGCUUAACACAUAAGCACUGUUCUAUUUUUUAACAUUGGGAGGGAGGGAGAGAAUAGCAGAAGGCUGGUGGAGAAAACAGGGUUUCAAAUGAAGCCCAAAAACAUAUAUGUCUGUCUCGAAUCAAGCAGCAUUUUAGUAGGAAUUGUCUAAUGGCACUUGGAUAUUUUAAAGAAACUGUUAUCAAUGUAGUUUGAUGAAGAAAUAUGAUGUAGUUUGAUGUAGUUUGAUGAAGAAACAUGAUGUAGUUUGAUGAAGAAACAUGAUGUAGUUUGAUAAAGAACCAUGAUGUAGUUUCACCCGCGGACGUUUUUUCUUUAAAUUUUACAGUUUCAUAUACGGNNNNNNNNNNNNNNNNNNNNNNNNNNNNNNNNNNNNNNNNNNNNNNNNNNNNNNNNNNNNNNNNNNNNNNNNNNNNNNNNNNNNNNNNNNNNNNNNNNNNUCUAAUCUAGAGAAGAGAGAUUCCAAGGGCCAAGAUUCAUCUAUUCUUGUCACGAGCAAGAAACUGUUAGCUGAUCCUGCUGCUUCUGCCGAGCCGAUUGACGGGUCUGCUGUUCUGGAAAGAGACUUAAUGGCUGCUGAUUCAAAUGUCCAAAAAGAACUGUGCAGCAAGCCUACUCUUGUCACGAGUGAGAAGGUGGUGGUUGAACCUGCUUCUUGUGCUGAUGUCUCUGAUGUCUUGGAAUCAGUAUUUAACCUCGAGAAAACAGGUUUGGAAGGUGAACAUUCAAAUAUUCAGAAGGAAUUGUAUGAGGAGUCUGCUCUGGUCACAAGGGAGAACGUGGYWACUGAKCCUGCCAUCUGCGCUGGGUCAGUACAUGUGUCUGAUGUCCUGGAACCAGUAUUUGACUUGGAGAAGACAUAUUUGGGAGGUGAAGGUUCAGAUAUUCAAAAAGAAUUGCAUGAAGGGUCUACUCUUGUUACAAGAGAGUACAUGGCGGUUAAUCCCGCCCCUUGCCCCGAGUCGACAGAUGUGUCUUUAACAGAACAAAAUCGUGGAACUUUGUGCAUGGAUACGCUAGCAGCAAUAGAGCAAUUCAUGACCGCUUCACCGGAGGAAGAACCACAAUGCUCUAGCCCCAAGGUUCCAAAGCGGUGCCUUCAAGAAGGGAACGACGCCUUGAGCGCCGCCGCCGUCCAACAAAGUUAAGGCUUUCGCCCGNNNNNNNNNNNNNNNNNNNNNNNNNNNNNNNNNNNNNNNNNNNNNNNNNNNNNNNNNNNNNNNNNNNNNNNNNNNNNNNNNNNNNNNNNNNNNNNNNNNNAAUAUAUCCUUCCUCUUGCAAGACGAACUAGCGGCGUUCACAAUCAUCGUCACAUAUCCAAAGAAAUCCUCAAUGGAAGAACAACAUCUCGAGACAGCAACAACUACAAGCUGCAAUCGAUGGGCAAAACAAUGCAUAUAGAAAGCAUAUGGGUUUUCAUCUCGGACAAGUUCUAUGUGCAAGCAUCAAACCACCAAUUUUUUUUGAUUACUAGUAGAAACAACAGGUGUAUCGUGGAGAAGAUAAAUACGUUGUUGGUAGACAUGUCGCCAAAAAGUAGGCCCGUGAUUGUUGUAGAACCAAAUAACAUUGCCAGUAGUGUACAUGGGAGGCUAYGAKCAUUGUCUACGAAAUGGAAAUGUGAUCAACAUCGUUGGAGGUAGAAUGACAACAUUUUCACAGGUUUUGAUGCAGAGUUGGUACUAGCUGGUCUAGCACACAGAAGUGGAAUAUAAAUAGAAAAAAAAGUUAGCUCAUGCCAUGGCAACCCAAUAGUGGACUUUGUAGGCAUCAUCUCUAAAGGGGGCGAACCUUCCACUGUCAUUUUAGGAGGUAGUUGUAUACAGUAUACUAGUAAGUUGUUAGCAGGUGGCGAAGACUCAACCCAAUGAACGUUGAAGCUCGCGGUGGUUAUCGUUAUGUUCUCACUCUCACCGAUGAUUUGAGUAGGUAUGGGUAUAUCUACUUGAUGAAGCACAAAUCUGAGACGUUUGAAAAGUUCAAGGAAUUUCAGAGUGAGGUUGAGAAUCAACGUGACAGAAAAAUUAAAUGUCUACGAUCUGAUCGUGGAGGAGAAUAUUUGAGUNNNNNNNNNNNNNNNNNNNNNNNNNNNNNNNNNNNNNNNNNNNNNNNNNNNNNNNNNNNNNNNNNNNNNNNNNNNNNNNNNNNNNNNNNNNNNNNNNNNNAGGAUCAAUAUUGCUCUGAGUAUUUCUCUGUUGCCAAAUUUAUGGUUGCUUAUGCUGACAAUGUGCCUGCACUAUUGGGGAAAGAUCAAUGGAACAUAGUAGAUCCAGGGUUCAAACUCCACGCUCUUGUCAUUACUAGACCACCAGGAAGACCAAGGAACCAGAGGAUUAGAGCAGGUGAGGAGGGUCGUCUACCAAAGAAACGUGCUUGCAAAAAAUGUGGAGUUCUAGGGCAUAUUGCUAGGCUUUGUACCAAUGCAGUGGAUGCAUCAUUUGGAGAGGAGGAAAGAUGGACAUCAGCCAAUGCUGAGGAGAAUGCAACAGCAAUGGAGAUUGAAGAUGCAGUGGAGAAUGCAGCAGCAAUGGAGAUUGAAUAUGCAGUGGAGAAUGCAGCAGCAAUGGAGAUUGAAGAUGGAGUGGAGAAUGCAGCAGCAAAUGAAAUAGAAGAUUUUGAAACCAUGGCCUUUGAUGGUUUUGAAGCUAUAAGAGAGGAAGAGGAGGGGUAAUUGUUCCAAUUGUGCCUUUAAAGAUUACUGAACCCAUAGAUGACCGUCAAAUGGUCGUCAAGUGCUCGGCGAGUGGAACUACUCCAUCAGCACCUCCACGGGGAAAACACCAAGUAAAGCCCAAGAUCAAAAGGAACAAGAGUGUGAAAGAAAAGAGCAUCUCAACUAGGGAAACCAGGAGCAAGACUGUGAAGCCAGCUACAAACACAAAGAGCAAGUCAAAAUUUUGAAUUAAGUUGUUGGAAAAUGUUUGUGUUGUCAAUUUGAGGGCGAGUCGAUCACUUAAAACUUGGUAGAUUUGUAUUAAGAUGUUGGCAUCUUAAAACUUGGUAGCUUUGAGCUACUGUAAUAAUGUUGGCAUCAGUUGUACUAAUGUUGGCAUCAGUUGUAAUAAUGUUGCUUCUACUUUGGUUCCUUAUUUGAGUCAAAAUUCAAAUUUCCAUCAAAAUUUGAAUUUAAAUCAAUAUUUGAAUUUGGGCCAAAAUUUGGAUUCGAGCCAAAGUUGAAGUUGAACAUUGGAGGUUCAUUGCUCUGUGCGGUGUAUUUGAUCGAGCAUUUCAAGUCCAAUAUUCUUAGGUGAACAGUCCGAAUGAGAAAUGUGCUAGAAACGAGCUCGAAAGCUAGGGUAAACAGCCCUAUUUGAAAUCAAGUUUUUUUUAACCUUCCCUAAAUGAGACAUAUAUAUUUUUAUUAACACUUAUUCCAUAUAUAUAGGGUAAAAACGAAGUCUCACUAUUUAUUGAUUAAUAUUCAUAUUACUACAUUUUUUUGAAAAAAUAUGUUUUUAAUUCAAAAUCGUUAAAUAACACGUUUUAGAUAUGAAAAUGAAAAAGUAAGUUCAGAUCCUUCUUAUUCACUCCAAAAUGAAGCUAUGGAGAUUUUUCUGAUUUUUUUUGAAUUUUUUUUCAAACCCUAAACCCUCUCUCCCUAUUCUACGAACUCUAAAAAUGUUCAUAGGUGAUAACUCAUUUUUGUGAAGGCUUUUUUCAUGAAAAUGACCUACACCAAGUUUAUAUUUUUUUUCUCAUAACCUGGUCACAUAUGACGGUAUGUGCGUAAAAAUUACAACAUUUUGAUUUUUUUUGAAUUUUUUAAAAACAUUUGAACUUGAUUUUGACAGGUCACUUCAAAAAAUGACUUUUCAAAAAAACGCCCCUAUACCGAGUUUAUAUUUUUUUAUGGUAACUAGGUCUCAUAAACAGACGAACUACAUUUGUUUUAUAUUUUUGCGAUUUUUUCUAAUUUAGUUAUGGCCAUUUGAAAUCUGGUCAAACCCUAAUAACCCCGUUGACUCGCCCAUAAACCCGCAAAAAUGCUCCAAACCCUAGCGUCGAACGUCCGUCGUCGGAUCAUACCCUAGCGCCAAACACCACCCGUCAGAUGUGGGCAGGCAUGCGCGAUCCGCGUGAUGCAUCCUGAUUGGCUACUGCACUGACCUUCUCGGGUUUUUACGAUCUGCCCCACUUUACAUAUGAAAUUGUAUUUUUCGCACAUGACCACCACAUGUCAGUGUUAAGAGUUGGUUCAAAUAUUCAAACUGCAAAAUACAAUGUGGCAAAUCGUCAAUAUAGCUUCCCCUUCUCCUCUCUCCAUGUAACAGACAAAGGCAUCGAGCAGAUCGAGCAAUUCCUUUGUUUCUUUCCCCAUCUUCUCGUUCUUCUUCCUCUCGACCAAUUCCUCUGUUUUUUCCUCUCGGGCGAUAUGUCGACCUCCUCGUCAGCCCCCCGUUCCACGUGGCCGGUGUAUGGUCCAGUGCCGAUGACUCGAUGCACUGACUGCCCAUGGAUUGCACCACUGAAGCGGUUGACUUCGAAGGAGGAGAAGAAUGGGAACUUUGGGUGCGAGUUCGUCAAAUGCGAGAGCAAGCCGGAGGGGCAGGUUAGAUCUGAGUUUUCCUCGCAUCCUUUAUCUCUGUUAGAUUUGGAUUUAGGUUACAUGAUUUCAUUUCCAGAUCGUGAAGAAAUGCCACCAUUUUGAGUGGAUGGAUGAUUACAUCCAGAGGCUUCAAGGGUUGGGCUUGCUGGAUUCGAGGGGGGAUGCAAUCCGCGAGUUCAAUCUGCCCCAUGACAGUGCCGCUCCGGCAGCAGUAGUGCGUCCGGAAUACCCGACAGUGGUAGAUGUCGAACAGAAGACGGAAUUGAAGAAGAUGAACAAGAACUUCAAGCAGCUGAUUGAGUUGAAGAAGCAAUCCAAUUUGAUAGCUUUAGGAAUACUUGCUCUAGGAAUUUUUUACUUGAUGGCCAUCUCUCAUUAGAGAUGUUUGUCUACUGUUGUUGCAACUGUUUAGCAAUCCUCGUCUGUUUAUCUCAAAUGCAACUCUGUUUAGUGCAACUGUCGAUCUCUGAAUGUAUGCAGUUUACUGUUAAGUUUCGACACUUUCAGUUUCAACAGAAGACAACUACCAGUUCAGUGAUAGGAUUAUUUCGUUAGCUAAUAACCUCGAGUGUUGGGUCAUACCCUAGCUCGUCAGAUGACAGUAAGCAGUACUUGAGCAGCACGAGGGAUAUACAUCAAGUUCAUCUCUUCUCUCUCGCACUUGCCAAACUUUUGUCCUCGAGUUCGUCAGUUCUGCUAGAAAAAAACCUAGUUUGCGGGCCCAAAGAGAAUCAAGCUGCAAUAGGCCCACAAAGGAUAAAUGAGGCCCAGAAACAAGUGAUGUUUCUUUUUUUGUUUAGGAACGAUUGCUUUGUUCUUUUUUGUUUUUUGAUUGCUUUUUUCAUUAAUUUGAUUGCCCAAUCUCUUCUAUCUCAUUGAGGAAUUAUUUUGGCUUUCCUUUAUGGGUCCCUUCAUUUAUCCUUUUGACUAAAGCCAAACAUCUCAAAGUGUAGUUUUCUACAUAGUGUAAUUUAUACUUCAUGUUUGGAAAAAGAGGUCCAACCAUACUUCAAACAUAGUGUAGUUUUCUACAUAUUAAAGUAGGGAUUAAAGUACAUAAAACUACACUUUUGACUAAAGCCAAACAUCUCAAAGUAUUUGAUACUUCAAUAUUUCUGAAAACCAAAGUAUUCUUGGAACACCUAAAAAAUAGAGAGCUCAGCAAACCAAAGCCGUGUACAAAUGUACAAUAUGUUCUUAUUUUUAGAAGGCAUCUAUAAACACAUCAUUUUUAGUUAAUUUGGUUAAUUUUUCCCACGCCAAUUAGCCGUGUCUAAACUUGGGACAAACAAAAUACAAACAUAACAAAGCAUUAAUAUAACACACAUAACUUAACUUAGAUAGGGUUGCUAGGGCAACAUAUAUAAGUUCUUGGGACAUAGACACCAAUUUCUUACAUAGAUAAUAAUAAUUAGUAGCUAGGUCGGGCAACACACACACCAAACUAAUACUACAUACUACUAGAUAGGGUAGCUAGGGCAACACCGCCAUGUCUUCACCGUCGUCUUCACCUUAACCGUCGGCUUCACCGUCUUCUUCGCCGCCGGCUUCAGUAAUCCUCCUCCUCAAGGCCGUUGUCGCCGAGGUGGUACGGGAGGCUGUGCAUGCGGUCGCGAGCGGGGAAGAUGCUCUCGAAGUCGAUGAAGAUGUUAUAGGUGGUGAAUGCGAUGAACUCACACCCACACCAAUACACCUUGCCGAGCAGGUGGUAGGCAUCGAACCUGUUGGUGAAGUGGACGACGAGCCCUACCGGUGGAGCGUUGGCGUGGGGACGCUGCUCCACGAGGUUGAACAUGGGCGGCGAGCCCGCCGGGAGGUGGUGGAAGCCUGCACGGAGGAACCCCCGUGCAAGCUCAGUGCUACCCCUCCAGCGUGAGAACGCCCACACGCGAAGCGAUUCCUCGACGACGACCUUGGCGGGGUACCGCCGUUCCGGCAUGGUGGAGGCCCUUGGAACGUUGGGCUGUAGAACUGCAUCUUGAACGCUUCGCUGAGUGGAACCGCUCUCGCUUUUGGGGGAAGAAGAGAAGUGGGAGGCGCAGAUGGAUCUGUAGAAGAAGAGGCAAUGAAGGGCAGUUUAAAUAGUCGGGGGAGACGAAGUGGGUACACGCACAAACGGCGUAGAUCGUGACUCAGUGGUGUUGUGUGAAUCGAUGCGAUCAUCAAUGUGUGAACGUGAAUCGAAGCGAGCGUGCUCUGCGUUGGCGGCUCUGCGUGCUCUUCGUUGGCGGCUGCCUCCCCCUGCUGCGUUGGCGGCUGCCUGCCUCCCCCUUCUGCGUGCUCUGCGUUGGCGGCUACCCCUUCUGCAUGCCCCUUCUGCCACCGGCACAACUGAAUCGAGCGGCAGCCGUGCGGCGUGAACUGAUGCCUCGACAUAUGGACGCGAGCGUGCGAGCGUGCGUGCAGCCUGCCCCUUCUGCCACCGGCACGUAUGCCUGCGACGCGUGAAACGACGUUGCGGAGCGACUGAAUCCACUGGCAACCGUGCGACACGGAUCGAUGUGUGCGUGUCGGCGUGCAUGCAUGGGUUUAGGUCUAGGUCACUAGAUGCGUGCGUGGCGGUGUUCGCAUGCAUAGCAGGCUACAUCGAUGCCAAAUACGGGCAUGCAUAGCAGGCUACAUCGAUGCCAAAGACGGGCAUGCAUAGCAGGCUGCAUCCAUCGAUAGUAGGCUUUUUUAAUUUAUUACCAACAAACUAACGGGCCCGUCCUAUGAACACAAACACGGCCCAACCAGCGAAGCCACAGCCAUAGUCAACAGAGUUCAACAUGGCCCCACAAGUCAGUUAACGACCAAGACGGCAAACGCGUGUUAUCAACAUUUGUGAGAGUUUCAGCUAAGGGAGAGGGGAAAAGUGAGCAAAAGUUUGAAGCGUGGGGAAAACUGAGCACAACUAAGGAAUUGGGGGCACAGAUGGAAUAAGCCCAAAAAGUAAAUGCAAGAGAUGAGUUUGCGACACUUACUUGGAUGAGUUCUUGACUUGAUCCUCCCCGGCAACGACGCCAGAAAUUCUUCUGCUACGGUGACAGAAAUCCUUCUGUCGUCUCUUGAGCUUGCGUUGGUUUUUCCCAUGAAGAGGAAAGGGCGAUGCAGCACAGGAGCAGUAAGUAUUUCCCUCAGUUUGAGAAGCAAGAUAUCAAUCCAGUAGGAGAAUCGCGUCAAGUCCAGAGUACCUGCGCAAAAACAAAAGAGCUUGCACCCAAUGCUAUAAAGGGGUUGUCAAUCCCUUCAAGAUUGAUUGCAAAGUGAGAUCUGAAGGCGGAAAUUGCAAUGAAGAAAAAGAGUAAGGCUGAAAAUAUGGUGUGGAGUAGACCCGGGGGCCAUAGUGUUCACUAGAGGCUUCUCUCAAAAUAGCAAAUAUUACGGUGGGUGAACAAAUUACUGUCGAGCAAUUGAUAGAACCGCGCAAAGUCAUGACGAUAUCUAAGGCAAUGAUCAUACAUAUAGGCAUCACGUCCGAGACAAGUAGACCGAUACUUUCUGCAUCUACUACUAUUACUCCACACAUCGACCGCUAUCCAGCAUGCAUCUAGUGUAUUGAGUUCAUGACGAACAGAGUAACGCCUUAAGCAAGAUGACAUGAUGUAGAGGGAUAAUCUCAAACCAAUGAUGAAAACCCCAACUUUUUACCCUUGAUGGAAACAACACGAUGCGUGCCUCGCUACCCCUUCUAUCACUGGGUGAGGUCACCGCACGGUAUGAACCCAAAACCAAGCACUUCUCCCAUUGCAAGAAUCAUAGAUCUAGUUGGCCAGACAAAACCCACAACUCGAAGAGAAUUACAAGGAUAUGAAAUGAUGCAUAAGAGAGAUCAGAAGAAACUCAAAUAAGAUUCAUAUAUAAUCUGAUCAUAAAUCCACAAUUCAUCGGAUCUCGACAAACACACCACAAAAGAAGAUUACAUCGGAUAGAUCUCCAUGAAGAUCAUGGAGAACUUUGUAUUGAAGAUCCAAGAGAGAGAAGAAGCCAUCUAGCUACUAGCUAUGGACCCGUAGGUCUAUGGUGAACUACUCACGCAUCAUCUGAGAGCUCAUGGUGUUGAUGAAGAAGCCCUUCGUAUCCGAAUCCCCCUCCGGCAGGGCACCAGAACAUGCCCCAGAUGGGAUCUUGCGAAGACAGAAGCUUGCGGCAGCGGAAAAGUACUUUCGAUGAUCUCUUAAUUUUUUUCUGGGAUUUUAUGGAAUUUAUAGGCGAAAGUCCUAGGGCAGAGGUGGCCCAGGGAGCCCACAAGCCUGGGAGGCGCGGGCCCCCUGGCCGCGGCUAGGGGGCUUGUGGGGUCCCUGCUGGCCCCCUGCCCUGAUUCUCAGGCUUCCCGAUCUUUUUCUGUUUCGGAAAAAAUCUUUUUGGCAGUUUCGUUCCGUUUGGACUCCGAUCAAAAUCCUCCUCUGAAAGGGGUCAAAAACAUGGAAAAAACAGGAACUCGCACUUGGCACUGAGUUAAUAAGUUAGUCCCAAAAAAGAUAAAAAAGGCAUACAAAACAUCCAAAGUUUGACAAGAUAAUGGCAUGAAACCAUCAAAAAAUAUAGAUAGUUGGAGACGUAUCUGCGGUCAAGAAUGUCCUUAAGUACCUGAAAAGGACUAAGGAGAUGUUUCUCGUUUAUGGAGGUGACGAAGAGCUCAUCGUAAAGGGUUACGAUGAUGCUAGCUUCGACACAGAUCCGAAUGACUCCAAGUCACAAACCGGAUAUGUAUAUGUUUUGAAUGGUGGGGCAGUCAGCUGGUGCAGCUACAAGCAAGACGUGUGGCAUCAUCUAGAUGUGAAGCGGAGUACAUAGCUGCUUCGGAAGCAUCUCAAGAAGGGAUCUGGACAAAGGAGUUCAUCACCGACCUUGGAGUAAUUCCAAGUGCAUCAGGCCCGAUGACACUCUUCUAUGACAACACUGGAGCUAUUGCCAUAGCCAAGGAGCCCAGAUUUCACACGAAGACCAAGCACAUCAAACGCCUCUACAACUCCAUUCAGGACUACGUCCAGAAAGGAGAAAUACAUAUUUGUAAAGUACAUACGGAUCUGAAUAUUGCAGACCCAUUGACUAAACCUCUUCCACGAGCAAAACAUGAUCAACACCAGAAUGAUAUGGGUGUUCGAUUCAUCACAACGCGACUAGAUUAUUGACUCUAGUGCAAGUGAGAGACUAUUGGAAAUAUGCCCUAGAGGCAAUAAUAAAGUGGUUAUUAUUAUAUUUCCUUGUUCAUGAUAAUUGUCUAUUGUUCAUGCUAUAAUUGUAUUAACCGGAAACAGUAAUACAUGGGUGAAUAUAUAGAUCAUAAUAUGUCCCUAGUAAGCCUCUAGUUGGCUAGCUCGUUGAUCAACAGAUGAUCAUGGUUUCCUGAUCAUGGACAUUGGAUGUCGUUGAUAACGGGAUCACAUCAUUAGGAGAAUGAUGUGAUGGACAAGACCCAAUCCUAAGCAUAACACUAGAUUGUGUUGUUCGUCUGCUAAAGCUUUUCUAAUGUCUAAGUAUCAUCUCCUUGGACCGUGAGAUUGUGCAACUCACAGAUACUGUAGAAGUGCUUUGGGUGUAUCAAACGUCACAACGUAACUGGGUGACUAUAAAUAUGCACUACGGGUAUCUCCAAAAGUAUCUGUUGAGUUGGUACGAAUCGAGACCGGGAUUUGUCACUCCGUGUGACGGAGAGGUGUCUCUGGGCCCACUCGGUAGAACAUCAUCAUAAUGAGCUCAAUGUGACUAAGGAGUUAGUCACGGGAUGAUGUGCUACGGAACGAGUAAAGAGACUUGUCGGUAAUGAGAUUGAACAAGGUAUAGGGAUACCGAUGAUCGAAUCUCGGGCAAGUAUCAUACUGAUAGACAAAGGGAAUUACAUACGGGAUUGAUUGAAUCCUUGACAUCAUGGUUCAUCCGAUGAGAUCAUCGUGGAACGUGUGGGAACCAAUAUGGAUAUCCAAACCCCGAUGUUGGUUAUUGGCCGGAGAGAUGUCUCGGUGAUGUUUGCACGUCUCCCGAACCCGUAGGGUCUACACACUUAAGGUUCGAUGACGCUAAGGUUAUAGAGAAAUAGUGUACAUGGUUAUCGAAGGUUGUUCGGAGUCCCGGAUGAGAUCCCGGACGUCACGAGGAGUUUCGAAUAGUCCGGAUGUAAAGAUUGAUAUAUAGGAUGAAAGGUUUGGACAUCGAAAAUGUUUCGGGCGUCACCGGUAGCGUACCGGGACCACCGAAAAGGGUUCCGGAGGUCCACCGAGAGGGGCCACCAACCCAAAAGGUGACAUGGGCCAAAAGGUGGAAGGAAAUCAGCCCAGAGUGGGCUGGUGCGCCUCCCACCAGGGGCCCAAGGCGCAGGGGAGAGGGAAGGGGGGAAAACCUAAGCCAGGUGGGCCUAAGGCCCACCAGGGGUGCGCCACACCCCUCCUCCCCUCCUCGCCGCCACCUACUGGCGCAGAUGGGGGCUGCCACACCCCUUGGGGGUGGGAACCCUAAGGGUUGCGCCCCCUCCCUCUCCCCCUAUAUAUAGUUGAGGUUUGGGGUUGUUUUGGGACACACGAAUCUCUCUCUCUCGGCGCAGCCCUACCUCUCUCCUUCCUUGUCCUUCGCGGUGCUUGGUGAAGUCCUGCUGGAGUUCCACGUAGCUCCACCGCCACCAUGUCGUCGUGCUGCCGGAGCUCUCCAGCAACAUCUCCUCCUUCCUUGCUGGUUCAAGGUGUUGGAGACGUCACCAGGCUGCACGUGUGUUGAACGCGGAGGUGCCGUGAUUCAGCACGUAGAUCGGAAUCACACCGCGAUCUGAAUCGUUGCAAGUACGACUCCAUCAACCGCGUUCUAGUAACGCUUCUGCUUAGCGAUCUUCAAAGGUAUGAAGAUGCUCUUCCAUCUUGCUCGUUGCUGGUCUCUCCAUAGAUAGAUCCUUGUAUAGCAUAGGAAAAUUUUGAAUUUACUACGUUUCCCAACACGAGUAACCCCCACCUCUCAGCACCAAGACGGCAGAAGAAGGCGAGGGGACAUAAAUUUCUCAGGCGGCGACAGUUGCACGAGAAACCCUACGUUUCCUAUGACACUUACCACUUGAGUAAUUUAAAAAGGGCAAACACAUGGCAAAAAUCAACCCAUUCCAUUGACGGAUUGCUGAAAUCAAAACCUCCGAGAGCCCAACCAAUCUCGUCCGGGCCCAAAGCUUAAACCGCCAAAGUACCCUACACCGGUAAAUCCUAUUUGGCGCUGCAGGUGCUGGUUAAAGUGCAUUUUUCUUAACCGGCGCAUGCAGUUUUCGGGCAUGGGCCGGCUCAUGUCACUUCCAGCGGGAGGGAGGAUUUUCCGAUUUUGAGAAGCUUGUGGAAGCUUCUUAGAUGGGUUUCUCUCAUUUUGGUUUUUUCAGGACUGGUUUUUCUUCGAUUUGUUGGUUUCUUUUCUUUACUCUUUUUAGUACUUUUUCAUUUGCAUUUUAUUUUAUAUAAUUUUUCAUUCUUGGAAAAAUCGCUGCCUUUUUUUGAUAAACUUUUUUUCAAUCGAACAAUCUUUUCUCUAAAUUAAUGAAUCUUUUUCAAAAAAUUAUGAAUUUUUUCUUAUAAUUCGAUGAACUCUUUUUUUUAAUAUCAGUGAACAUUUUGAAAUUUUGAUGAACUUUUUUUAAAAUGGAUGAAUGUUUUCCAAAUUUAAUGAACUUUCUGAAGAUUUGUGAACUUUUUUUUUCAGUUCAAUGAACUUUCCUAAAACAUGCAUGAUUUUUUAAAAAUUUAAUUAUUCUUUCAAGUUAUUGAACUUUUGAAAAUACUGAUAUUUCUUUUCAAAUUCAGUGAACGUUUUUUCAAAUUCUAUGAAUGUUUUCAAACUUUAUGACCUUUUUAAAAACAUUGGUAAACUUAUUUAAAAAUUCAUUGACUUUUUGUCAAAUUUAAUGAUUGUUAUUCAAAUUCGUUACUCUCGUUCUAUUUUGUGAACUUUUUUCAAUAUUAAUGAAUAUUUUUUCGAAUUGGUGAACUUUUUUUGAAAGAUUUGAUGAAUUUUCAUAUUUUUUGGGAACUAAUUUUUAAAUUCAAGAUGUUGUUUUAAGAUGCAUGAGCAUUUUGUGUUUUUAUAAUUUUUAAAUAGUAAUUUAAAAGGCAACGAUUGACCAAUUGGACAACUGAUCAACCGCGACAAUUUUAUUUUUCCGAAAUUCAACGACUAGUGUAUGAUAUCGAGCGACCACCUUUUUGUUGAGCCGGCCCAACAUGGGAUGCUGCAGGAGUCAGUAGCGGCAACGAGCGUCCGCAGCGCGGGUGUCCGCGGCGCUGUAUAGGAGCACCCGUACUCUGCUCCCACCCAGAGGUCCUAUCUGCCGUUCUUUGUGGUAAAAUGUCGACCCCAUGCAUAGGCGGAGAUCCCACUGGAAGGCCCAAGUUAGCGAACAUGAAUUUUUUUUGUUAAAUUCAUUAUUUCUUCCUUUUCUAAACUUUUUUAUUCAUUUUUAGUUUCUUCUCAACUUUUCAUGCUUUUCCUUUUUAAAUAGUACACACUUCCAAAUUGUUCAGAUUUUUUAAAAUUUUCAUGCUGUUAGAAAAUUUUCAGUUUCUCAGAAUAUGCAAGUGUUUUUGAAAAUUUAUUAAUAAAUAAAAAAAUAUACCCAUUUUAUAAAUUGAUCACAAAUUUUCAAAAAAUGUGCUUAUUUUCAAAUUUUCGUUCAAGUAUUAUUAAAUUGUUCACAUUUCCAAAUUUGGUUCCCAAAAUUAAAAAUAUGUUCGUCAUUUGAAAAAUUGUUCCUGUUUUCAAAUUUUGAUUGCAAAUUCAAAAAAUGUUCGGGUUAAAUUUUUUUUGCUUUUAGAAAAUGGUCAGUUUCUCAGAACAAGGAAGUGUUUAAAAAAGUUGUUCAUAAAUUUACAAAAUGUUCAAGCUUAACAAGUUGUUCACCAAUUUUCAAAAAAUGUUCUUACUUUCAAAUUUUUUGUUCAGGUACUAAAAAAUUAGUCACGUUUCCGAAUUUUGUUCCAAAUAUUGAAAAUAUGUUCAACAAUUGAAACAUUGUUCCCGUUUUCAAAUUUUGCUCACAAAUUCAAAAAAAAAUCAGGUUUUAAAAAUGUUGUGCUUUAGAUAAUGUUCAGUUUUUAGAACAUGAAAUUGUUUGAAAAAAUUAUUCUUAAAUUCAAAAAAAAUAUACAGUUUUAACAAGUUUACCACAAAUUUUCAAAAAAUGUUCUGGUUUUCAAAUUCUUGUGCAGGUAUUAAACAGUUGUUACGUUUCCAAAUUAAAUUCGAAAAAUUGAAAAUAUGUUCGUCAUUUCAAAAAUUGUUCUCAUUUUCAAAUUUUGUUCCAUUCUUGAAAUAUCUUAACAAUUUUUAGAGAAAGGGAAAAAAUCAAACUCCGCAAAGAAAAUGGAAACUCGAAUAAUUUUUGAAUCCGUUAACUUUUUAUGAAACAGAAAAUUGCUCCAACUUGGAUUUGUUUGUAAAACGAGAAUAUUUUUAAAAUCUUUGAACUUUUCUGAAAAAACAGAACACUUUUUUAUGAAAUCACAAAUAUAUUUUUAAACCAUGAAAUGUUCAUAAAAACGAAAAAGAACAUGAGAAAAUAAGCAUAAAAAACGAAAAAGCAAGAAGGAAAACAAAACCACUAAGAAAACCCAAACAUCCAGACAAGAAACAGAGCAGGAAAAAGUCAGUUAAAAAACCCGGAGAAAAUAUUCCAGAAUGGUCCUAAACAGAAAGCUGGUGCUAGCGUUCAGUGGGCCAGCCCACUCCACUCGCGUCUGUGCGAUAUGACGCAACGUGCGGCAUAUAGAAAAUUCCCUCCCAUCACUCCGCCGCCAUGGCCGUUGGCGCCGGCGACCGCUGGAGUUGACUGAAAAAAAAAGCAGAACCGUAUUCUUCACUCGUCGUCGGCGUUGGCGCAUUGGACGAUGGCGAGGACCACGCAUGAGUACGUGCCACAAUAUUUGAAUGCACACACCACACAUCGCAAAUACACACAAGUAAUCAAAGAAAAGAUGUGCCCCUCUGGUAGUACUCAAUCCCGUUGAAAGCAACAGAACAUACCAGGCAAUUAGUAGCUUGUAGAGCAUGUCAUGUUUUCGGCUGCAAUGUGCAGCUUUAAUAUAGGCUUAUUAAUUUCGUGAGUUGCCCAUUCUUUUACAUGGUUUUGGUUGAAAAGCUUACACCAAGUGAGGAAAAACCCAUUUUAUUCAAGCAUCAUCAUCAUUUGGCGCUGCAUGCAUAUGCAAAGGCCGGAGGUAAGGGAAACGCUUUGUACCAGUAGUCUCAUACGAAGCAAUCGGCAGACCACAUGUGAACCAUCGAUGUCCAAUUAAUCCCACGGUCAAGGUCUUCCUGAUACUAAAUUGCUAACCACCCAUAUUUAACGCAGGCCCUGGUCCCUUUCCCGUCAGGGUUGAGAUCUCUCCCGUCAAUCUCUCCUGAACCUCCGUUCCUCUCUCAUGGCUCUAUCGCAUCCUUCCUUUGAGCUCAUCAUCAACAUUGUCGCCCUUGUCCUGCCCUACUCCGCCACCCAGGUUGUUCCGUCUCCUGCGCAUCGUGCUCCCUUCCCACCUUGCCGGAGACGAAAUCCAUCGCCCAUGAUGCAAUCCACCACAACGCCCAAAUCUAAUCCCCUCUACCGACCUAAUACUAAAAGAAGCGGUCGCUAGUGACCUUGGUGGCGUGCCAUCACGGCAGUAGGUGGUCGUGCUCUCCAUCUUCACCGUGUUUGUUGCCCAUGAAGUGCCUGGACCUUGAGAUUUGAACCGGCUGCACCCGUAAGGCAGAGAAUCAGGAGUGGCCUCCAGUUCUUUUGCCCUAUUCGAAAUCCUUCCUGUGAUUCAAAAGGUAUUGAAUUUCCUGAUCCAACUUUCGUUCCAUCAUCAUCUGUCCCACGCACAGAUUCUUAUCAUAUGAUAUUUCCAGCAACCAUGCUUUUUAAACACUGGAUACGUGCUUCAACCUUGCUGUUUUGUUUGCGUCGAGGGGUGGAAUUGGUUUGUAGAUCACAAAUUGAUCGACGCACACACAAGUUGGCAACAUUCAGUGCUAUUUCUAGUUACAAAAUUACAUGCUCCCACUAGAUAUGAAUUAUGUUGAGAUAAAAACAAACUGAUGCUUCUUAAUAUCCAUGAUUCCUAACUUUGUUGUAUGUUUUCUUCAGUCCAGAUAGUUUGGGGCCAAAGAAACACACUUCUACUAUUUGUGUUGUCAAGAGAAAUUUUUGUGUUUAAACACUACCAUCAUGCUUCCUGUAUUUCAUAUACAUGCUGACAGUGGCAAGCCGAUUUUUUUUGUUUUUUAUUGUUGAAUAAUGCCAAAUCAAAUUUUAAAAAAUCAACGACGGUGUGGCAUAGCAUGUAUGAAGCGUACAUGCUUCUUACAUGGCAAUGUGAGAACCUCUACUUCAUCGCUACCGUACCAUAUAUGUAAUACUUGUUGUUGCUUCAUAUGUACCUUCUGUACUUAUGCAUCAUGGCUAAUAGAUUAUGGAUGUAUGUUUCAAGCAGUUGUGUGUUGGCCUUAGAACUGAUGGGCGCAGCCGUUGACAUAUAUGGAGGCAACUGAUGCCUACACUAAGAAGUGUGAUCAAUCAUGAUACUUGGAUCAGCCCUACAAUGAGGCCAACUGCAAGCGAAAGGAAUCAUGUCUACGGUCUAUAGGGAACAUACAAUUUGUUGACAUAAGGAAGCAUAGUAGGCAGUGUUGGUGACUUGAACGAAACGAAUUGUAUCAUGUAUGAAACUUAUUGUAAGAAUGAAUGAAGCAGGAAACAAACUUAUGUUCAAGUAGAAGCAAAUUAAUUUUACCAUGUAAGCACUUCUAUUAUUGGAUGGAAGCAAAUUUUCUGGUUGGAAAGUUGAUAAAAAAGAUAUAUGAGACCCAAAUUUAUGAUAUGAAAACAUAUUCUUAGAUACAAAUUUUGAUACACGGAAGCAAAGUGUUUGGAAAAAGAAUUACGUCCAAAAAAGUUUGGUUGUGAUUGAAGAAAAUUAUUUCAUCGGUGAAAGCAAGGUUUUGCUGCAUUAAGAACAAAAUAAAAUGUUACGCGGAUGCAUUUUUCAUCGAAGCAAAUUCGCUAUGCACUAGAAGCAAAAAAGGAAUUGUCUAGAAAAAAUGUUGAAUAAAGUACGAAAAUAGAAGAAUUUAGAUGGACUUUAAAUUAUAUCCUUGCAUGAUUUUCGGAAGAAAUUAAUUCAAGGAAGAAAAUAGUAUUGUAGCAACGUAAUCACAGGAGUAUAAUGUGGAAACUAACUAGAGGAGAAGUGGGUCAUACGUUGGGCACAUAAUCACGCCUUGCAAGUGCAAUCGAUCUAAUGGCUGUCCAGUGGUCUGAUAUACUGCUAGGGAUCAGUAGUCUGAUCCCUAGUGGUGCCCCGGAGGUAACCCUCCUUUCUUUCUUAAAGAAAAUCAAGCAUCAUCACACAUCAUUCUAUUCAUGACUAGAGAAUCUUAACAGCAACGACCCAUUUCCACUCGGCUAGGCUACCUAUAGUCCUUGUUCUUUUGAACCAUCAACAGGGAAGCUAUAUAUGAUGACUAAAUACUUAACGUAUUAAUUUGUAGUCAUCUAACCCGGUUAAAGAUAGGUCAUGUUGUCGUCCCCGGUCGGUGGCAUACAAUACCAAUACACUCUCUGGACUCCGCCGGUUGUAAAUGACCUGCAAAGGGGUCCUUCAAUCGAAAAGGCCAAAAGCAUACACUACCUUGCCUCUUUUGGACAGAGCUAGCCAAACCCUAUUCUUCAGUCGUUGACAUCGGCGUUGGCGCAUUGGACGAUGCUGACGAUCGCGCUGGUCACAUUGGCCAACGCGUUCAUCAUCCUCGCUGCGGCGGAGACCUUAGCCGCGCCGCCUUCUUUCGAGCCGAUUGCUGGUGUGCCUCCUGCUUCCGCACCGACUCCUUCUGUGCCACAUACUGCCCCACCACGUGUUGCCGCACCGACUCCUUCUGUGCCACAUACUGCCCCGCCGCGUGUUGCCGCAUCGACUCCUUCCCUGCCACAUACUGCCCCGCCGCCUGCUUCCGCACCGGCAGCUGUUGUGUCGCCUGCUGCCCUGCCGAGGUUGAUGAUGAACGUGUUGGGCCGCAGGUUGACGGCGAUCCAACGACCUUCCUUGAGCACCCGCAGCCCGGUGACCUGCUCAUCCAUCAUCAGGAUGGUGAGGGCGUUGUAGGUCAGCUCUGGCGACGGGCACUUGGGGUCGAAGUUGGCCGCCAUGUGCUGCUCCUGCUCGCCGAGGACCUUAUUGAUGUAGUCCUGCUCCAGCCCCAGGCUCUUCGAUAUCGCUCCGUAGAACUGGAACCCGAGGUCCCGGACCUCUUUGCAGUAUGUGCCCAUGGCAUUCCUGGUUCAUGCAAACACACGGCAGCUGGUUAACCAUAUAUAUGUCCGGUUGUAGAUGCUCUUAGUUUGAUACGUAUAUAGUACAUCCGUGGUUGUUCCAGGUGAGUUUGUUUGAUAACUUGCUCAGUCUCGUGAAUCAUGAGAAAAAGUGUGUGUUUGUUUGUCUGUUUACGGUUGAAUCUAGGAGGGAAAUGCUAAAGAAAUUAGUGGUGUUUUUGGCAUAUCAGUGACAAAAGAUGGUAGCUAAAACAGUUAGGACCGGUACGAAAUAAUGCCAAAGUAAUCAAGGAAAAGUACUUUCAAAGCAUUUUUACAGCAUAAGGAUGUGUCUAGGACACAUCUAGAUGUGACAUAAUUAUUACACAUCUAAAUAAUUAAAUCAAGCAUAAAAAAAAUACACACAAAUCUCUACAUAAGAUCAAUGAUAUAAAACUUAGAUGUGCAAUACUUAUCUCACAUCUAGAUGUGUUUUAGCAAAACCGAUGGAUAUGUCUAAGACACAUCUAGAUGCAACAUAGUUAUUACUAAUCUAACGAAUGAGAAACCCAAAUUUCAUUAGGGUGCCCCAUUUUUCUUUUCGAAGAUCCAGCAAAUACUACUUUCUCGAUACCAAAAUAUUUAUAGUAUUAAUAGACUAACUUAGCCUGCUAAAACUACAAAUAUUUAGGUACAAAGAAAGCGUUCAUUUUCUAAGGCCUUGUAGGCAUUUCACACAUAAUGCAAAACAGUGGCGUAUCUAGGGGGUAUGCCCCAGAAGUUUAGGAAGCAUUUUUUUUACCAUGUAAAAACUAGCAGAUUUUAAAGACCCAUCCAAAUCAAUUGAAAUAGACCUAACUUUUUAAAAGUGUGCGCACCUUUUAUUUUAUUUCUAGCUACGUCAGUGGUGCAAAACAGUUUAAUUUCAGUUGUCUAAAUGACUUAUAAAACUGAACGGAGGAAGUAGUUAUUUGAGUGACUUAUAAAAGUGAACGGAGUGAGUAGUUAUAUUUGCGGUUUUCUGGAAGUGAUGAAGAAAGAGUAAUAAAUACCUCAAGGGCGGCGGAUUGGCUGGCCCCUCCGCCGGCACGAACUGCUCGAGCGGGUGGCAGUGCAGCCGCAGGUAGUCGCGCCAGUUGUGGACGGUCUCCUUGCGCACGUUGAAGCUGGUGGAUAGCCGCAUCUUCUUGGGCGGGUCGUCGGAGUAGAGCUUGGCCUUCUCCUCCGGCGAGAGGCGGAAGAAGUCGUGCGCCAGCGCCAUGGCCGCCCGCAUCGCCUCCACCGGCAGCCCGUGGUUGAGCACCUGACGAUCAGAAACCACACACACACACCACGCGAGCACGCACUGUGAGCGAAAGCAGAGCAACGCCAUUUCCGGCAAAAACAGAGCAGCGUUAGGCGAAAUGGGAAUUGGAACCUGGAAGAGGCCGUGUGAGCUGCAGGCGGCGCCGAUCUGGUAGACGACGGCGGCGCUGUCGGGGUUGGCGAGGUCGACGACGGGGAUGUCGGCGUCGAGGCGCGGCCACUCGGACUCGGACCGGAUGUAGCUGUGGGGCAGCGUGUGCAGCACGGCCGUGGAGAUGAGCUGCUCCGCCAUGCCGGCGGAAGAACGGGGGGAGAGAGAGAUGGAUAGGUGGCACGAUCGUGGAGGGCGUGAGCAGAGGAAGUUCACGGAGAGAAAGAAGGAACGCCGGGGCUUGAGCAGGCGGGGGAAGUCGGAGGAUUUAUGGAAGAACGAGGAGAGAGAGAGAUCGGACGGACUUCCUCACAAGUGGUUCACAAAAAAACACGUGGAUGAGUGACCGUCCGUGAGUGUUCACAAGUGUGGACCAACAUACGGCUGUGGAAUAACGAGGGGGGAGAGAGAGAGAGAGAUCGGACGGACGGCUGUGGAUGUGGACACCCUCGUUCUUCCAACUUCCCCGAGCAGGAGAACAUAUGCCAUCAUACGUUCUACCAACUAUAAGGAUAGACAUGCGACCAACAUACGUUCUAUCAUGUGGACACCCAUGCCAGACUUAGUUCUACCAACUCACGAGAGGAUAGACAUGCGAGUGUUGACCAAUAUAUGCCAGACGAAACCGAGCAGGAGAACACCCAUGCCUGUGUGAUGAUGAAGCAUGAUAGCGCCAAAAAACAUACUACCAACUACAAGGACGAUACAACAUAGCGCACGCGUGCUAUGCGGACCGACAUAUGGCAUGAGACGACCACACCCAUGCCAGACGGCACGGCUCCUGUGUGUCUCUCUCCACGUCUGGCAUGUGCUAACAAAAAGGCAUGUCUAUCCUUCUCUCGUUGCCACGUCCCGACAAACACAACAUGCCAUAUGAAAACUGCCAUCCUUUCCCCUCACGUGAUCCUCCUUCUACAUCCCACAACACUAGAAAAACCCUACCGCCCUGAGCCCAGAUCCCCGGGCAACUUCUUCUCCCACAACAGUCGCCGAAGGCCACGGCCUGGCAUUGGGGAGCUCUCCUCCCAUAGAAAAAUCAUAGUAAAACAGGGCGGAACUAGAGCGAAAAAAUGUGAAGAAAAUUCUGAAAAAUGUAAUUGUGUGUGCAACUCUACUUGCUGAUCAGGCAACAAUCCAGGAGAGUUGUGGGCAAAAGCAUUUGCAAAGAUGGGCAAGAUUCUCCCACUGAAAAAACUGCAAAAGGUAAAAGAUCUGAUUCAGAAUUUUUUCGUCAUGAACUUCCCCCCUAAUAUUCUACUCCCUCCGUUCCUAAAUAUAAGUCUUUUUAGAAGUUUCACUAAAAGACUAUAUACAGAUGUAUAUAGACAUACUUUAGAGUGUAGAUUCACUCACUUUGUUCCGUAUGUAGUCAUUUAGCGAAAUCUCUUAAAAGACUUAUAUUUAGGAACGGAGGGAGUAGUUGCAAUAGUUGCCCCCUAUAGCAAAGUGUUUGUAUGACAUGACUUCCUACAAAAGUAUUUGCAAAGAUCUGUCCAGAAUUGUUUGGUCAUUAACUUCCCCCCUAAUCUUCUAGUUGGAAUAGUUGCCCCCUUAAGCAAAGUGUUUGUAUGACAAGACUUCCCACAAAAGUAUUUGCAAAGAUCUGAUCCAUAAUUUUUUGGUCAUGAACUUCCCCCUGAUCUUCUAGUUGCAAUAGUUGCCCCUGUACCAAAGGAUUGUACGCGAGGACUUGAAUCCUGCCACUGUUCUUGCAUAUUGUAGUUGCAAAAUCUGCCCCCGUGACUUGUAGAACUAGAGUAUCUUGUCUAUUCUUUUACACCCUGCUUCUGCCAAAAAAUGGGAAAAAGAAGCAUAGUUAUUUUUGUUACUGUUAGUAAUCUCUUUUGUAUAUUAAAAACUGGUUAAUAAUCUGUUGUAUUUGCUUACAAAAAAAAUUGUAGUAAAAGUCUAGUUGCUUACAAGCAACACAAAGUAGCCACGCAAAAGAAGUCUGAAAAAAGGGUUAAGCGACCAUUUUGGAACUACAAUAUGCAAGUAGGGUUAGGUGACCUAGGUCGCCGGGGUGGGCGAGAAGUGUCGCACCGCCCAUUCGUGUUGAGGCGNNNNNNNNNNNNNNNNNNNNNNNNNNNNNNNNNNNNNNNNNNNNNNNNNNNNNNNNNNNNNNNNNNNNNNNNNNNNNNNNNNNNNNNNNNNNNNNNNNNNNNNNNNNNNNNNNNNNNNNNNNNNNNNNNNNNNNNNNNNNNNNNNNNNNNNNNNNNNNNNNNNNNUGUUAGGCGACCUAGGUCGUCGGGAUGGGCGAGAAGUGCCACACCCCCCAUUCGUGUUGAGGCGACUUGGAAUGACGGUGGCCGGCGGGGCUUUGGGCGAUUUGGUUGUCCGUGUUAGGCGACCUAGGUCGUCGGGGUGGUCAAGUGCCACACCCCUCAUUCGUGUUGAGGUGACUUGGAAUGACAGUGGUCGGCGGGGCUUUGGGCGACUUGGUCGUCCGUGUUAGGCGACCAAGGUCACCGGGGUGGGUGAGACGCACCGCACCCCCCAUUCAUGUUGAGGCGACUUGGUAUGACGAUGGUCGAUGCUACCUCUUGAGCUUGCGUUGGUUUUUUCUCUUGAAGAGGGAAGGGUGAUGCAGCACAGUAGCAGUAAGUAUUUUCCUCAGUUUGAGAAUCAAGGUAUAAAUCCAGUAGGAGUAUCAAGAUGAAGCAUCGAUGUACUGCUAUCCCACCGACAACAGCGCCAGAAGUUGACACGUUAACACAGGCUGGGCUUGCGUUGGUUCUUCCCUUGAAGAGGAAAGGGUGAUGCAGCACAGGAGCAAUAAGUAUUUCCUCAGUUUGAAAACCAAGAUAUCGAUCCAGAAGGAGGGUCUCGUCAAGUCCAGAGUACCUGCGCAAACACAAACAAGCUUGCACCCAACGCUUCAAAGGGGUUGUCAAUCCCUUCAAGAUUGUUUGCAAAGUGAGAUGUGAAGGCGGAAAGUGCAACGAAGUAAAAAAGUGUAAGGCUGAAAAUAUGGUGUGAAGUAAACCCUGGAGGCCAUGGUGUUCACUAGAGGCUUCUCUUAAAAUAGAAAAUAUCACGGUGGGUGAACAAAUUACUGUCGAGCAAUUGAUAGAACCACACAAAGUCAUGACGAUAUCUAAGGCAAUGAUCAUACAUAUAGGCAUCACGUCCGAGACAAGUAGACCGAUACUUUCUGCAUCUACUACUAUUACUCCACACAUCGACCCCUAUCCAGCAUGCAUCUAGUGUAUUGAGUUCAUGACGAACAGAGCAACGCUUUAAGCAAGAUGACAUGACGUAGAGGGAUAAUCUCAAACCAAUGAUGAAAAUCCCAUCUUUUUACCCUUGAUGGCAACAACACUAUGCGUGCCUCGCUACCCCUUCUGUCACUGGAUGAGGUCACCGCACGGUAUGAACCCAAAACCAAGCACUUCUCCCAUUGCAAGAAUCAUAGAUCUAGUUGGUCAGAUAAAACCCACAUCUCGAAGAGAAUUACAAGGAUAUGAAAUCAUGCAUAAGAGAGAUCAGAAGAAACUUAAAUAAGAUUCAUAGAAAAUCUGAUCAUAAAUACACAAUUCAUCGUAUCUCGACAAACACACCGCAAAAGAAGAUUACAUCGGAUAGAUCUCCAUGAAGAUCAUGGAGAACUUUGUAUUGAAGAUCCAAGAGAGAGAAGAAGUCAUCUAGUUACUAGCUAUGGACCCAUAGGUCUAUGGUGAACUACUCACGCAUCAUCGGAGAGGUCAUGGUGUUGAUGAAGAAGCCCUCCGUGUCCGAAUCCCCCUCCGGCAGGGCACCAGAACGUGUGUGAUACGUCUCAAACGUAUCUAUAAUUUUUGAUGGUUUCACGCUGUUAUCUUGCCUCCUUUGUAUGUUUUAUGUACAUUUUUAUAUCUUUUUUGGGACUAACUUAUUAAUUCAGUGCCAAGUGUCAUUUCCUGUUUUUCCGUGUUUUUGACUCUUUUCAGAUCUGAUUUUGGAACGGAGUCCAAACGGAAUAAAAACCCCGAAAUGAUUUUUUUCCCGAACGAAAGAAGACCAGGGAGCCUUUGGGCCAAGCCAGGUGGGCCCUAGGGAGCCCACAAGCUCCCACCACGCCACCAGGGGGGAGGCGGCGGUGGGCAAGUUUGUGGCUUCCCUGGCCGCCUCCUGACCUAAGUCUUGCGCCUAUAUAUUCCCAAAUAUUCCAUAAAAAAUCAGGGGAGCCUCGAAAAAACUUUUUCGCCGCCGCAAGCUUCCGUUUCCGUGAGAUCUCAUCUGGAGACCCUUCCCAGCACCCUGCCGGAGGGGACUUUGGAGGUGGAGGGCUUCUUCAUCAUCAUCAUCGCCCCUCCAAUGACUCGUGAGUAGUUCACUUCAGAUGUACGAGUCCGUAGUUAGUAGCUAGAUGGCUUCUUCUCUCUCUUGGAUCUUCAAUACAAAGUUCUCCAUGAUCUUCAUGGAGAUCUAUCCGAUGUAAUCUUCUUUGGUAGUGUGUUUGUCGAGAUCCGAUGACUUGUGGACUUGUGAUCAGAUUAUCUAUGAUAUAUAUUUGAGUCUUUGCUGAUUUCUUAUAUGCAUGAUUUGAUAUCCUUGUAAGUCUCUCCGAGUCUUGGGUUUUGUUUGGCCAACUAGAUCUAUGAUUCUUGCAAUGGGAGAAGUGCUUGGUUUUGGGUUCUGCCAUGUGGUGACCUUUCCCAGUGACAGUAGGGGCAGCAAGGCACACAUCAAGCAGUCGCCAUCAAGGGUAAAAAGAUGGGGGUUUUAUCAUUGGUUUGAGAUUAUCCCUCUACAUCAUGUCAUCUUGCUUAAGGCGUUACUCUGUUCUUAUGGACUUAAUACACUAGAUGCAUGCUGGAUAGCGGUCGACGUGUGGAGUAAUUAAUAGCAGUAGAUGCACACAGUAUCGGUCUACUUGUUUCAGACGUGAUGCCUAUAGAAAUAAUCAUUGCAUAGAUAUCGUCAUGACUCUGCACAGUUCUAUCAAUUGCUCGACAGUAAUUUGUUCACCCACCGUCUACUUGCUUUCAUGAGAGAAGCCACUAGUAAACACUACGGCCCCCGGGUCUAUUCACACCCAUCGUUUACACCUCCGCUUUUACUUUGCUUUGUUACUUUGUUGCUUUCAGUUCUCACUUGGCAAACAAUCUAUAAGGGAUUGACACCCCCUUCAUAGCGUUGGGAGCAAGCUCUUUGUGUUUUGUGCAGGCACUUGUGAUACUACUUCACUCGAUCGAUACAUUGGUUCUCAAAACUGAGGGAAAUACUUACCGACGCUGUGCUACAUCACCUUUUCCGCUUCGAGGGAACACCAACGCAAGGCUCCAAGGCCACAGAGGAAUCCUUUGCAUAUUUUCCUAGGAAGUCCCUAAGGCAUAGCCGCUGCAGCAGGAUUCCUAGCGCUGUACCAGGGAAGGUCUGUUGUCGCAGUAGCACACCCUCAUGAAAAAAUUCACCCUACCGCAAGAGGUAGAUCCAAAUAAACCGGUUAUACAACAAAAAAUCAAGUUGUGGGCUCUGAAGAAGAUGCCCAACAGUUCUGCAACUGGAAGAAACGAUUGAACCAAGACUAUGUCCACAAAGGCAAGACUCCAACAUUCACCGGAGCACUUGAGAAGUUAAAAGAUCACUAGGACGUAUUUGUGGAGUUCAAGAAAUUAGAUGAAGCUAAGAAAAGGUCAGAAAGAAAUAAGAUAAAUCCCGCGAAGAAAGAUUAUCACCAUGUUACGGGGUUAGGUGGCUAUAAGGUUGCUAGGCCUAAGUGGGAGAAAACGGAGGACGAGCUGAUUGCUAAAGGGGUCGAACCAGAGCCAUUGUACUGGACCGAACGGGCAAGGACUUGGUUCUACAGGCAUGGGUGAAAGUUGAACCCAGAAACAGGGAAGUGUACUUACACAAAAGAGCAACUUGCAACACCCCUGUAAGCCCUUCAAGAUGCACUGAAGGACGUGCAUGACGAGAAGUUCAUUCCUGAUAGAGAGAACGACGAGCUCACACACGUCCUCGGGAAUCCUGAACACAGUGGACGGACACGAGGCACAACGGGCUCCGUUUCGUGGAAGGUCGGGUUUCCCGAUAACAGUGACAACUAUAGAAGCUGAGCGAGAAAGAAGAAAUAGGAAGAAUACCGAAAUAAACGGGAAGCAGACCGGCUACAGAAGGUAGAAUAAAAAUUAGAGGUCCACCUACAGAUAAUAGAUAGGCUUACCAGACAGCGAGCUACCAGCGACCCAUCUGAUCCUGCAUUUGGUACUGCUCCCAGCCCAUCACCAUCUCAGAGGAAAAGCAGCGCGGUUCCACGGAGCUUGUUUGGCUCACAAAUGAUAUCACGGCUCCUCUCUACCCUGUGGAUGAUAUCACGGAGAGGGAAAAUUGUGAGCUACAUGCUGGAACUUAUUCAUGAAGGUGGCGGUCAUCUAUGUCUUACCUCCUCGACCUGAUGCAACUUACCUUUGCGAGUCGAUUCUAGAUGGCUAUGCUAUUGUCGGGAUGGAUGAAGUUACCAGCGGAUUUGAGCAACUAUAGCUUGAUUACCCUACAGGUUAAGGGGAGACUCAUCUAGGAGAUGCCUUGAGGACUACCAUUCUAUGGAAAAAGGAACACAUCAUGAUUCCACAUUGGACAGCGUCAGCAGAUCACUCCGUCGGACUCGGCUCCUCACGAGACUCCUCACGGUAGCAAUCCAGGUCAGUGUCAGCAGACUCCGAUGUCUCAGUUGUAUCCGCCGCGUCAACUGACUCCACCGCAUCAGCCGCCUCUGCCUCCUCAGCUGUCUCUGUCGCGUCAGCUAACUUCGCCGCGUCAGCAGACUACGACCCCUCAGGCCCAUGCACGGAAGAGAACGGCCACUCCAGCGGCUAGUAGUACAACUUUGAAGAAACCCAAAGCAGCUACAUGCGUCAAGGAGGCUCCUCGCAAGUCACCAUAUGAAGUGCGUGAUGAGGAACUCAAGACGGUUGUGCAGGAGGAAGUGAGACGCCGUCUUGCACUGAAACCGUGCAAGGAACCGGAGAAAAUAUAUCCGAAAAAGUGAAGCGUUGUCUGAAAAACCUUACGCGACCACCGCCGCCUCCGCCGCUAUCAGACUAUGACCGCUCGAUUGUUAAGUCACAUAGACAACAGAAGCGGUCUGGAAGUAGUAGAUCAAGUGGGAAAACAAUUCCCCAGCUCGGCGAACAAAAAACCAAUCGAUCCCCCAUUUGUUUACCGGUAACCGGUUAUGAUGCGAAGGCAGAAUGCCAUGGUAUUGGUUUCACUCUUGGUGAAUACUUAGGCGGUCAGCAAGAGUCCCCCCGGCUGAGAUAGUAUACACAUACCGGUACGGGAAGCCUCUCGUUAGACCUGAGAAUGUCCUGCUUCUACCAACACGAAUUCGAAACUUCCAUGUGUGGUACAUGAAAGCCUGCAAGGCUGGGACCAACUAUCUCAUUGCGGGAGUUAAUGAUGAGCAUUUUCUUCAAUGGAGACGAACUGAUUUACAUUGUAUUUGAGUAAUUUUUCCAGUUAUUCAAUCAAGAGGCCAUCGAUAAAGCUAUCAUCAGUUGCUAUUGUGUGUAAGUAUCAUUUCUGUAAUUAAGUCUCUAUCUGAGUUCGUUCAUUACAUGUAUAAUUAUCCUCACUAUAUAUAUUAUGCCGAAUGAAGAUCCUCCGGUGCAGAAGAGGAUGAAUCUAUGAUAUUGGGUUCAUUAACCCAAAUAUUGUUCAUGAAGUGACGGUAAAAAAUCACGUGGAAGAAACAGAGAAGAUCUUGCUAAGGGUGUUAAUUGAACAACAAAACAAAAGGGAAAUAAUUUUUCCUUACAAUUUUAAGCGAGUGUUAUACUUUUUUGAACGAAGUGAGUGUUAUACUGUCUUCAAUACAUUAUAUUUUCGUUAAUUACUCGAUGCUAAGUGUAAUUGAUGAGUUAUGCGUAUGCAUGUUCCACUUUAUUCUGCUAGUCAUUUUGUCAUGGACUCGAAACGCAAAGACAUAGAGACGUGGGAUUAUUCGUGAUUUUCGAUAAAAAGUAGUGGUUUUGAAGUAUCCUUGCCAUAAUUGUGGUGGUUUUAAACAAUUUUCUCUCCCGAUGUAAAUCAAACCAUGGGAUUAUUUAGCAAACCGGGAUUACACAGGAUGUUUCACACAACGGACCGGGGGUUGGUUGCGCUGCGCGCGUGGUCACAACUUGUCAUGUCAGCAGCUUCGAUCGGCAUCAUGACCCGGAUCGUUGUCAGUGGGUGGGAGCUCUCGUCCACACGUUUAGAACGGCAAGGGCAGACCUGUGGUUCAACGCUUGAACUGCUUGCAGUCCAGCAGUCCAAGUUUAGAACGCUGGUCCUCGGUUACACUGAUUUGUUCUAUCAACAUGUGGUUCCCACGACUUGGUCCUCGGUUUGACUAUUCAUACUGAUUUCUUUUUAAAUCAGGCGAUCCUGACACAACAAAUGGACCGGUCCAGAUUACCCCUCCCAUGUACCAUUCAGCAUGGAUGGUGAGCUAUCUCAAAAACAAAGAUUACCCUCCCAUGUGUGAAACACAGGCAUUUGAAAAAUUUAGGUGGGCCGGUCCCGCUAGGAGUAGGGUGUGCGUCCCUUGGAAUUUUUUUAAAUAGCAAAUUUGAAAUAGGUCGAUUCAUCAGACGAAUCUCAGUUGAUACGAUGUUAAAAAAUUUAAAACUAAAUUACAUAAUUCAGUGUAUAAUCGAUCGGCUUUUCGAUUCGUGUGUUUAUUUCGCCAAAUUUAAAUUGGGCUUUUUCCAAGCCCAACCAAUCGAGAGUUUGGGCCCAAAAAAAACUUAAACCGCCAGAGAACCCUACUCCCCUCAGCUCCCACCACUCCUCCGCCAUGGCCGCCGGCGCCGGCGCCGGCCUGCGGCUGGGCUCCUACCUCGGCGACGUCUCCGCGCUCUCCUUCCUCCCCUCCUCCCCGCGCCCCCUCCUCCUCGCCGGUACCUCCCCCUCCCCUCUCCCUGCCCUCCGGCGCGCCGUACGCUCACCUCACCUAUUACGCCGCGCGCUCUCGCAGGGACCGGGUCGGAGCUGCUCGUCUACGACCUGGAUGCCGCCAGGCUCGUCGCCUCCUUCCGGGUCUUCGACGGCGUGCGCGUCCACGGCAUCCAACCCCGCGUCCGUGCCCCCAAUGGCCCCGCCGACGGGCUCACCGUCGCCGUGUUCGGCGAGAGGAGGGUGAAGCUCCUCAGCCUCCGCGUCGACGCGGCCGGCGUGCUGCUGCAGCUGGAGCAGAGGCUCCCCGGGUUCGACCACUGGGUGCUCGACGCUUGCUUCCUCGAGGUAUGCACACUCGGUCAUUCGCGGUGGGAAGCUUCGUUUUCCAUUGCCAUUCAUGCUUGUACAUUAUUCAUGUGUGUUCCUUCUCGGCGCAGGUCGACGGGCUGCUUGCGAUCGGUUUGGGCGACAAUUCAGUGGCCUUGUGGGAUUUGAAGGACCGUGUGUUCGUUACCAGGGUGAAUUCUCCAGGUUCGACGAGCCCCCAAGUUUGAAACUAUAUCCUCCGUGCCAGAAUUUGUAUUGACAUAUGCUUGGUCCUGGUGUGUUUUGUGGAUGCAGAGAAGUGCCUUCUGUAUUCAAUGAGAAUGUGGGGGGACUCUGUUCAAUCCCUCCUCGUCGCGUCUGGUACCAUUCUGAACGAGGUAGCCGUCCAGGCUCUUCUAACCUCUAGCGCACUAAAUUUUUGAGACAGACUUUGCUAAGCUCGGAUGUCUGGUAUAAGCAUUAUUAUAACUCCACUGUAUCUGUUUUCCAGAUUCUUAUUUGGAAACUGGUACCUGAAACCCCGAGUUCUUCCUUGUUAAGCUCGGACGAGUUGGGCGCUGCUGGUGUAGAGAACCGUGAAAACGUUCAUCUUAGUCAUAAUAAUAAAUACAUGGCUGUUCAUAUUGGAAGAUUGAAGGAACAUGAGGGUUCAAUAUUCCGAAUAGCUUGGUCUUCUGACGGAUCAAAGUUCAUGUCCGUCUCCGAUGACCGCAGGUUUGGUUCGUUCUGGUUUUCACUUCUCUGCAUUAUCCAUGUCAGAUUUCAUUUGCUGAAGUAUCUAGCUUCUUGAACUUAUUGUUUCAAUUGCCCGUCUUUUGUUAUAUCAGUCUUAUCUUAUGUGCUUGGCUUCAUUGUUAUGGCAGUGCUCGCAUGUGGAUGUUAAGUUGUCAGCCACAGGAUCUUACCAAUCAAGCAGCCAGAAUUGAUGAUGUCGACAUUAUACCAAAACUGACACUUUUUGGACACAGUGCUAGAAUUUGGGAUUGCUGCAUAUCUGAUUCUGUAAGUUUAUUGCACUUUGCCUUUUCGUCUUUCAGUUUUGAAGGUGGAUUUGCUAUUAUGUUUGUUUGGUGGCGUCCGUUUCCUCAAUGCUUUUUUUUAACUCACGAAUCUAUCAUGGACACAUACCAUAUUAUUACGUUAAGGCUUUUUUUUGUCAGAAAAGUGGAACUUACCCAUCUACUCCCUCCGUACCUAAAUAAUUGUAGNNNNNNNNNNNNNNNNNNNNNNNNNNNNNNNNNNNNNNNNNNNNNNNNNNNNNNNNNNNNNNNNNNNNNNNNNNNNNNNNNNNNNNNNNNNNNNNNNNNNNNNNNNNNNNNNNNNNNNNNNNNNNNNNNNNNNNNNNNNNNNNNNNNNNNNNNNNNNNNNNNNNNNNNNNNNNNNNNNNNNNNNNNNNNNNNNNNNNNNNNNNNNNNNNNNNNNNNNNNNNNNNNNNNNNNNNNNNNNNNNNNNNNNNNNNNNNNNNNNNNNNNNNNNNNNNNNNNNNNNNNNNNNNNNNNNNNNNNNNNNNNNNNNNNNNNNNCUACAAUUAUUUAGGUACAGAGGAAGUAGCUUUUAUUGUAAACUAAAUACAUCUUACUGUUUUCACCUGAACUUGCCUUUUAGAUAGUUAUAACUGCUGGUGAGGAUUGUACUUGCUGCAUUUGGGGCAUGGAUGGAAAGCUAAUCAAAACGUUCAAAGAACACAUGUAAGUUGGGCAGAAAGUGUAAGGCGAGCCAGAUUAAGUAUGUGCAAGUUUGAGUACCUUGACCUGCAAGAAGUUUCUCCCUUAUUAAAACUUAAUUUGCUCUGCUGCCUCUACUGUUACAGCGGCCGAGGAUUAUGGCGAUGUUUAUAUGAUCCAAGCUCACUGGUUCUGAUCACUGCUGGGUUUGAUUCAGCAAUCAAAGUGCACCACCUAUGUAAUUCCUCUUUUCAUGACACAUUGGAAGAAAAAGCGGCCCCAGAUGGUCUGAAAUACGAGUCUGAGGUGUUUGAAGUAUCUUCUCCUAUAGUAUCAGGACGGCAUGGUGCCUUGGAUAGGUAUGGUGUGUUUCUGUGUUAUCUUGUACAAUCUCUAUCUUUCAUGGUGAUAUAGUGCGAGUAAUUAACUAAUUAUUCUUUCGUUUAUCACAGCAAAAGUGAAUAUGUCCGAUGCUUACACUUUGUGCAACAAAAUAUUCUCUAUGUUGCCACAAACAAUGGAUAUCUGCAUCAUGCUGACCUCUCUAAUACAAAAGAUGUAAGAUGGACUGAGGUUAUUCAGGUCACAGAGAAAGCACCGAUCAUAUGUAUGGAUGUAAUGAUAGUGUCCUCAGACUUUUCUCUGGAUAAGGAGGAUAUAAUUGCCCUUGGAGACGGCCGUGGGAAUGUUACUAUUGUCCGGUUAAGCAGUCCCAGUCUUGAACCUAAAAUAGAUUUAUCUUUUACCUGGCCAGCUGAAAAGGAUAGGCAACUACUAGGAUUAUACUGGUGCAAGUCACUUCAAUGUAGGUAUGUUGAUUAUUACCUAUUUACUUUCUGGUUAGCAGGUAAUAUUGUUCUCAACAGUUUUAUUUUCCUCGCAGCCACAUUUUCACAGCUGAUCCUAGAGGCACUCUUAAGUUAUGGAAUGUAAGGAAUGCCCUUUUGUCAAAUGGCCAUGCGAUUAGUACAGCUCAGGAGGUUUCACUUGUUGCAAUGUUUGAAUCUCCCUUUGGGACUCGUAUCAUGUGUUUAGAUGUAUCACUUCAGGAUGAGGUAAUUCUUAUAAACUUGCUCUGUUUCUCAUUGAAUGCAAAACCUUAACAGUGGCCUAUAUAAUAUUUCACGCGAAUAUCAGACGUUUUAUAAUUAUGACUACGGGAACACUAAUUGUUUAUAGAAUACUAGUGCCUGAUGUUCUAACUAUCAGAUGAAGAGAAAUGUUACAGGUUGCUGCAAAGAAUAUAUUUUGUUCUCUGAUGUAAAAAUAAAUUACAUGUUAAUUUCUGUGCAGAUCCUUAUAACAGGUGAUAAGAAGGGUAACAUCGCUGCCUUUCCUUUUCAUAACACAUUGGCAGCACAUGACAGCAGUGAGGCACAGCAGAAGAUACCUUUACGUGACCGUUUUAAAGGAGCUCAUGGCAUUUCUAGUGUCACAAGUGUUCAGAUAAUCACCUCAGCUUCGGAUCAUAUUGAAAUCCACACUGUAUGUACAGAGUUUUGUUGUUGUUCCUUUUAUUGAAGUCAUGAGCUUGGCCUGACAUAAACUCCUCUCCUCUGAACAUUUUACAGACUGGGGGAGACGGCUGUAUUUGCUUCUUCAAGUAUGGGAGAAAUGUCAAAAACGUUGAAUUUGUUGGAAUGAGACAAUUGAAAGAAUUAGGCACCAUUCAAUCCAUCCACGCAAAUCAUGCCUCUGGUAACCAAUUGGUUGGUACCUAUGCAAUAGGUUUCACCUCUGCGGAUUUUAUCAUUUGGGACCUUGAAAAUGAUACAAAGGUAAGACAUACUGGAUAAACUGGACAGUUUGAAGUUUGAAUUUGGCAAUGGUUGUCCUAAUCUGUUAAUUCUGGAUUGUUUUCCCUUCUAUAGCUGGUUCAAAUAUCAUGCGGAGGAUGGCGGCGCCCUUACUCUUAUUAUCUUGGGACAGUCCCUGAGUAUCAAAACUGUUUCGCCUUCGUGAAGGUUUGCUGCCCUUGCUUAACGAUGUCUGUGAAAUUGUUUUCUUAACUGUUCUUCUAUGCAAAUUUACACACCUCAUGAGAAUUGACUUGCUAGCAGGACCACAGUAUUCAUGUCCACAGACACUGGGCACCAGCUCAAGAUAGGAAGCUGCUUCCUCAAGUUUUUCAUACCCAGUUCCAUGGAAGAGAAGUGCAUUCUCUUUGCUUCAUAGAUCCCGCAAGCUAUUCACAUCCUGAGAAGAGUACAGAUUUGUGGAUUGCAACCGGGUGCGAAGAUGGAACCGUCCGGCUUACAGGGUAAAUAAGUUACCAUUGCUGCAUAAUAACAAACGUGGUUUACUCAAAUAUACCUGUCCAUUUCAGGUGCUGUUAUGAAUCAUAUUAUAUAUUUUGUUGUUGAUCUUUGUUACAGGUACUCCGCUAGUAGUGAUGGAAGAUGGUGUUCAUCCAAGCUGCUGGGGGAGCAUGUUGGUGGGUCAGCUGUGAGAGAUACGUGCUUCGUCCCAAAGACUUACACAUUAGCAGAUAAAUCAUGCAACUCUAGUGUCAGUUCUGCCGACAUUUUGGCCGAAGACAAGGACACCACUUACAUAUUGAUAUCUGUUGGAUCAAAGCAAGUUCUGACGGCUUGGGUUCUAGAACCUAGGACCGCAGAGAACAAACAAGCGUGUUCGAGUGAUCUAGAUUUAGACACCAAGCAAAGCUCGUUAUGCUCAGAUAUUAGUGAUUCAGCGGUUACAUUUCAGUGGCUUUCUACCCACAUGCCACCAAAGCUUGGCACCAACAGAUUGAAAGCUGAUCAUGUAAAGCGGAACAUCGAGGAAGGCGGGAAAGGAAAUUGCUCUGCUCAACCUAAUCUGGCUAUUAUGGAACAGAUGGAAAAUGACUGGCGUUACCUUUCUGUUACAGCUUUUCUUUUGAAACAUCCGGCUACUGAGUAAGAUUUGACACCGCUCUCAUCAAUCGCUCACAAAUAUAGGGUGUAGGGUACUUUCUGUUCCAGCUCUUGCAAGAAAUGACUGUCAUGAAUGGCCCACAAAUAUAGGGUCUAGGGUACUUUCUGUUGCAGCUCUUGCAGAAAUGACACUCAUGGAUUGCUCACAAAUAUAGGGUCUAGGGUUCUUUCUGGUUAGCUCUUGCGAGAAUGACUGUCAUGAAUUGGUUACAAAUAUACGGUCUAUGCUACUUUCUGUUUCAGCUCUUGCAAGAAAUGGUUCAUGAAUUUCUCAGAAAUAUAGGGUCUAGGAUUUUAUUUUUGAUUUGCUCUUGCAAGAAAUGAGGGUAGUCUGAGCUCUUUGUUUUAUGUCAGGUUGACAGUAUGUUUUGUUGUUGUUGCUUGCUCGGAUGCAACAGUGGUUCUCCGUGCUCUUCUUUUGCCUUCUCGAUUAUGGUACGUAACAUGAAAUUUCCGAGGCAGAGUUCCUAUUUAUCUGUACUAGUCUUGGUGGUUUCAGUUAGCUGUUCCUUUUCUCUGUGUACAGGUUUGAUGUUGCCUUGUUGGUCCCACAGGCAUCACCAGUUCUUGUCCUACGGCAUAUCGUUGUCGUCUCUAGUGCCCACUGUGAAGGUCAGUUCUACCCUUUCUUUUUUGUUCUGAAAAUGUUGUUAAGCAUAAUGGAAUUCACACAUUUGCUUUCAGGUGUUGUUUAUAAUGGCGAUAGAUACAUUAUCGUGAGUGGGUCUACAGAUGGUAGCAUUACAUUGUGGGACCUAACAGACACCAUUCAUGGCUUUAUGCAACUAGUAUCAGAGACGAAACCGCACAUGGUCAUCGACUGCCAAAAGCGGCCCAAGACAGGAAGAGGGAGUCAGGGUGGUCGUCGUCGGUGGCGAUCACUGGCAAACAGUUCCGUGAAGAAGGGUAACGGACAGGCAUUGCUCCGUAGUGAGAACAAUCUGAGCGCCUCGUGCGCUGCUGCGGAGAGUCCACAUGAAACUUCAGGAGCGGGAGAAAACGAGGCCAUAAAAAACACCGAGAACACAGUUUCAAGUACCCAGUCGUGUGAUAUACCUGAACUGCAGCCAUUGCAGAUAUUGGCCGGUGUUCACCAGUCAGGCGUGAACUGCCUCCAUGUUUCGGAGAUGGAGCAGCGGUCAUGCUCUAUUGCUGGCACGUCUUACUGCAUCAUAAGUGGCGGUGAUGAUCAGGCGGUUCAGUGUUUUGUGUUCACAUUAGCACCCCCGCAGGGCUGCUCAACUAACAUGUCAAACAUAGUCUCGCCUCCUGACAAAGGUGGACUUCAAAUACUUGGCCAGCACACGGUUCCCUCCGCUCACGGAUCAGCAGUGAAAGGUAUGUCUGUCACUAUUAAGAAUACCACGGCUUGGUUCAGUAUUUCAGUUUCGCAACUGUUCAUGUAAGCUGAUGAUACAAGCAUUUGCACUUUUACGGUCAGGUAUCUGGACGGACGGUGCCUGGGCUUUCUCCACUGGGCUUGACCAGAGAAUCAGAUGUUGGAAAAUGGGUCCAUCCGGCAAAUUCACGGAGCAUUCCCAUGUCAUCAUCAGCGUGCCCGAGCCGGAAACUAUGGACGUUUUCCAUGACUUGUGAGGAGGCUUCGCAGCAGCAUCUGUAUUCUUUUUUUUUUUUUUUUNNNNNNNNNNNNNNNNNNNNNNNNNNNNNNNNNNNNNNNNNNNNNNNNNNNNNNNNNNNNNNNNNNNNNNNNNNNNNNNNNNNNNNNNNNNNNNNNNNNNNNNNNNNNNNNNNNNNNNNNNNNNNNNNNNNNNNNNNNNNNNNNNNNNNNNNNNNNNNNNNNNNNNNNNNNNNNNNNNNNNNNNNNNNNNNNNNNNNNNNNNNNNNNNNNNNNNNNNNNNNNNNNNNNNNNNNNNNNNNNNNNNNNNNNNNNNNNNNNNNNNNNNNNNNNNNNNNNNNNNNNNNUUUUUUUUUUUUUUUUGGCCAAGGAAAAUGUCUACAUGAUGUUCUCUGUCGUAGUUCAAUCUUUACGAUAUUCUCACGGUGAUUGUUGUUAUCUUGUCAGUGGGUGUAGGAAAUACCACAUCGCCGUCGCAGGAAGAGGGAUGCAGAUGGUUGAGUUCUUGCCGCCUAAAGACGACUCGAUGAAGAUAGCGUGAGAACAGCCUGGUGGCGCGUCGUGGAAUUAGUUCCUGCAAGCGGGAGGGUGCGCAGUCAGUUUUUUGGGGAUGAUUUGUAACUCCAUUUGAUGUGUAGCUCUUUCCGAGAGAGGGGAUGAAUUACGGAAUAGUCAUGAUCUGGAAAUCUGGUGCCAUGCAUGGAAGGCUGGCUUGAUUUGCUUGAAUGGAACAGAGGAAUCAUCUGGAUGGAAUGUUCUGUGGCAAAGCCAUCUGAUCCCUUUCAAUGCCAACAGGAAAUAUUCACCGAUAACACUGAAAAACCAUAUUCUAAUGCUAGCAGUAAGUUGGAUUGAACCUCUCGUUUCUUUUCAUUUUGCUCGAUCGUUCCCCAAGUGAUCCCUUGCGUGGAUUCAUAACCAACUUCAUGUUUUGAAUCAAGAAUUUUUUGUAAGUAUCUAGAAGCAUUUGAGCAUUGCAUUGAGCUAACGCUCUCUAUAUGGGACGCCAAUGUUCUCCCACGGCAGCGUUUGUUAGAUUACAUAGCUAGGUGAUUAUUUUAGUUGCUCUUAUGAAACCCCUAAACCCUCCAAAACCUUAAAUCCCUCAUUUAAAAAAAAACACAUGACAGGUGUUGACGCGUGGCUACCUUUUAGUCCCGGUCGGUGUUAUGAACCGGGAUUAAGGAGGUGUUCGGAGUCUCACCAGCUCCGUGAAAUUUUGGGAGUUGCAGAGCCGUGCAACAGUCGCUCCGUCACUUUGAACCAGAACUCCACCUGCUCCGGGAGUAGAGUUGUGGGGUGGAGGUUCUCCGAACAGGGCCUAAAGGUCCUCCUGCCCGGGUGCCCCACAGUGGCCACGUGAAACUCCUUUAGUCUCGGUUCAUAAUGCAACUGAAACCAAAAGUUGGGGCCUUUUAUCCCGAUUGCUUAGUCCCGGUUGCAGAACCGGGACUAAAGACCCUUAUAAACCGGGACUGAUGCACUUUUUUUACUAGUGGUUUAAUGUGAGGGUUGUCAGGACAGUUGCAUGUCCAUCAAUGAACAUGAAACUAUAAGCAUUGAAACCCGACUACAACUACACGGAGUAUAAAGCGACUGCAAUUGAAUGGGGAGGGAGUUGUCAGGACCGUAACCCGACUAUAAUGUAUGGGCACAAAGCGACUUUAACUAGGGUCACGAGGGGUCUGUCGGACGAGUUGCAUGUCCACCACUAGACAUGCAAUCACAAGCAUUAUAAUCCGGCUUCAACUAUAUGUGCACAAAAGCGACUGGAAAUGGGGGUUGGAAGAGGAGUUAGUGCAUAUCUUUUUUACUUACUAACAUAAAACUCAGUGAGCUCCAAACGCUCACAAUUUUUAUCUAUUCUUUUUUAUUUUUUACUAAGUCACAUGUAUGCGAGUUGCACAAAUUGCAACCAUUGCAACUACAUGUAACAGGUGCCACUCCUUUUUUUUUCUUAUUUAGUCGUACCAACUAUCACACCACACAUGUAAUUAGCUCAGUGUCGCGACUACAUACGUCUCAACAUGCAUGCAAUUGCAUGCCAUACAGAGCAUUUGCAACUAUGUUUUCUUAGCAUUUUCAAUAUAAUUUUCAAAAUAGGAAAUGACAACAAGAAGGAACAAAAAAAGCAAAAGAAUAUUAAAAAGAAUUCUAGUCGCAUGCAAAAUUUACAACACUAUACUUAUCCAUGGAGAAAAAACGAAGGACCUAUACGAGCCCAAUCGAGCUACGUGUGUACACUAAUUAAUCAAUAAAUUAAAACUUUUUAAACUGGAAACGAGCUGAAGUUUGGAUAAAAGGAAAAAAAAUGAAAUGAUUCAACAACAGUCUUGAAAAUUCUAAGGAAAAACGUUCAACUGGCCCAACAACCACUCAAGUGGCCCAAGACCAGAAACGUACCCAAAAAAAUACCGUACACACUCAGCUGCCCAAGCCCAUAAGAAAACUAAAAAAAAACUAACAACCAGCCCAUUAGCAUGCCAAUGAAAACGGGCUACCACAACAAAAGGUGAUGUCAGCUGAUGUCAUGUGAAUGAAACCAAAUCUCUCCCUAACAAUAAAGCAAAAACGGUUUCUGGUCGUCCGUCUUGAAAAUUAUCCCUAAAGUUUGCAUAAAUUAUCCACUAUGCCACCGGUAAGUAAUAAAAAACGUUUCAUAAAGCAAAAAAUCUUGGACUGGGCCAGCCCAUGUAAAAACGUCCUAUAUUACGCUCUGCAUGCUGGGAGAAUAUCCAACACACCGUAUGGGCCAGCCCAUGCACAGGCGCCUGCUUUUAGUUCCAUUUAUUUAUUUAUUUUCAGUUCCGUUUUAUUUUUUUAUUUUAAAUAAUUUAGAACUUCAAAUAAUCUUUAAAAUUUUAAUAAACUGAAAAUUAUAAAUCAACACAUUUCAAAAAUUAAAAUGUUUGUGACUUCAAAAACUGCUCGGAGUUUUGUAAAAAAUGCUCCCAUAUACAAUAAAAUGUUUGCAAUUUUAGAAAAAUAUUUGUACAAUAAGAAAAGUCCAUGAUCUCAAAUACAAUUCCAUAUAUUAAAAAUUAUUAAAGGCAUUUAACAAAAUGCUUUCUAAUUCAAAAUAUGUUAAUGAAUUUAAAAAAUGUCCUAAUAUUUUAAAAAUAGCUAAUGUCUGUUUUGAUAGUUUCUUUUUUUUAUUUAAAAUUUUCCUUUCCAUUUUUGUUUAUUUAUAAUUUAAAUAAUUUAGAAUUACAAAAACUUUUAAAAUUGUUCCCAUAUUUGUAAAAUUGUUCAAAGAUCUAAUGUAUGUAGUUAAAUAUUAAUGCUUCUAAGUCUAUGUGACAAUAUACCUGUAUGAAUUUUGAAGAAUUAACUGUUGGAUGCAUCGGAUUAUUAUUGUAUGUUUUCUAAAAAAAUCUUGAAAUUCAUAAUAAAUCUUUGAGUUACCAAAUUUUUUGAAAAUGUAAAGAUUGCUUCAACUUGUGAAUAAAUUUAAAAGAAGAAACAUUUUCUUGCAUUUGUGUACAAAAUUUCUAAAUCAAGCGAUGAUAUGUGAACAUAAUGUGUUCAUCAUCAUUGAAGAUUAUGUUUUUUUUUCUUCCGUGGCAACGCACUCAUCUAGAUGAGUUCUAGACACACCCUUAAAAAAGGCGAGGUGAGACCAUUUAGUAGGAGAACAAAUCCAGCCUUGUACACUCAUCCAUGAGUAGCUCGAUGGAUGAUCUCAACCUAUGGUAUUGGAUGGAGAUUGCGAGGUCCAUAGCGGUGUCAGCCUUUUUUUAUAUCCCAUUGGUUGGGCCGGACAGUAGCAAGGCUCAGGCGGGUUGGUGGGGUGCGCCAUUGAAAAGAAGCCUUGGUCAAUACAUGACGGUGAACUGACAAAAACAAUCUGUGCUUUUUUUAUUAUAGUUAAAGAUACAAAAUGUUUUUCCUUCCAUUUCAUGCCUUUUGGGUUUUGGCAGAAAAUUCUUUAUUCUCAAGAAAUAACCGUAAAAUUGUAAAAAUAAAAAAAUAGUGCAAGUGAGAAACAAAUAUAUUUUCCGAAAAUGAACAGGGAAGAAGAUACUGCAGUGGUGCACAAAUACAAAGUCAAAAAUCGUUGGAACUAAAAAGAAUAUUGAACCACAAAGAAAAUAAAUUCAACACAUUCAAUUGCUAAGAUGAUUGUAAAUAUUAUUACUCCCUCCGUCCCAAAAUAAGUGUCUCAACUUUAUACUAGCUCUAGUAUAAAAUUGUACUAAGCUUGAGACAGUUAUUUUGGGACGAACGGAGUAUGAUACAUCAAAGAUAUACAAUGAUGCGUACUAUUAUCCAUGAGUUUUCUAUUUUGGCAGCAUAUAAAAGUAUGAGUUUAUGGAGAAUUGAGUUAGCCCAAGUAUCUAGGCUGGUCUAGAGUUGGCCAUCUGUACUGAAAAAAAGCAUUGUUCCCUUUCCUGCCAAUAGAAUGUCAAUCGACUCUUGCCCUGCCACCACGCACUUUAAACAAAAAGAUAUUUCCGAUCGACUUUUUAGUACCAAGACAUCCUUUUUUUCGCACAUUUCCCGUACGCUAAUCAAUCAACUUAAUCUACUUACGGUCUGCAUCAUUUUAAUUUAAUUUGAGUGUGAUUUCAACAUUUGGAAAUGGAACAUGUGGAUUAGGCUAUAAUGUAGACUGAAAAACUGUGAGGGGGAAAAAUUACAAAAUCAUGAUGCUAUUUUGAGCAAUACUCUCACCCCCACCCCCUCACCCAAAAACCUUUAUAUAGCCACUCUUUCACCUAUGUAGCAUAUUUUUUCUCUUGCCACCUACUUUGGACAAAACCUGAGCAUAUUUUACAAAAUUAAGAGCAUCUCUAGCAGACCCCUUAAACCACGGAACUUGCGAAAAACGUGUUUUAGUUGAGCUGCCACCGAACAGAACUCUUACAGUUAAACUGUAAAUCAAAUAUCCGUUUUUUUAUUCUUUCUCAAGUCUUCUUCUUUCUCUCGCCCGUGUCCAUAGACGAUGCACGAAGCAGUCAAAUACGAAACCACCAGCGUUCAGAACAACGCACGAAGCUAGCUCGUCCGUGGCCGGAUCGAUCCAGGAGCUCCUCCUUCGUCGUCUUAGCGAGCUCCUCCGUAGUUGUUCGAGUUUCCGACAAGAAUCGAUCCAAACGGCCAAAUAAGGAGCCGCAGUCGCCGUAGCUAGUUGAAUCAAUCCACGAGCUAGCUAGCUAGCUAGCNNNNNNNNNNNNNNNNNNNNNNNNNNNNNNNNNNNNNNNNNNNNNNNNNNNNNNNNNNNNNNNNNNNNNNNNNNNNNNNNNNNNNNNNNNNNNNNNNNNNNNNNNNNNNNNNNNNNNNNNNNNNNNNNNNNNNNNNNNNNNNNNNNNNNNNNNNNNNNNNNNNNNNNNNNNNNNNNNNNNNNNNNNNNNNNNNNNNNNNNNNNNNNNNNNNNNNNNNNNNNNNNNNNNNNNNNNNNNNNNNNNNNNNNNNNNNCUAGCUAGCUAGCUAGCUUGCUCGCUCAAUCGAUUCAAGCGGGCAGAGGAAGUAGCUGGCUACCUAGCUGAAUGGACUCGAGCGGCCGCGGGCAGGCGCAACGGCCGGCGUCCGUGGACGGGCGGGGCGACUUCCGGGGUGGCGAACGGCGUAGACGGCGGAUGCAGAAGUUUCCAUGGUAGUUGGCCCCCCGUCAAAUGCUUUCUCUCGAUACAGGUCACCGUAUAAGCGGACGCGAAAACUGUGUUUUGCAGAUCAGGAGGAGUUUUUUGCCGUGCCCCUUAAAUUUUUUUAUAGAUCAGAGUCGUUUACGGGUUCUAUUGGGACCUUUUUUCCACCUAAAAUAAACCGAUGAUUAUUUUACAGUUUCGCGAGUUAUAUGGGGUCUGCUAGAGAUGUUCUUAAAGGGUAUAAUGCAACGUUUUCUAGUUAUCAAUUUAAGUGCAUGACAAUGUCAUUGCCGUGCCACAAGUGUGUUUUAUUGUCUACUAUUAAGGAGAAGGGGGGGGGGNNNNNNNNNNNNNNNNNNNNNNNNNNNNNNNNNNNNNNNNNNNNNNNNNNNNNNNNNNNNNNNNNNNNNNNNNNNNNNNNNNNNNNNNNNNNNNNNNNNNNNNNNNNNNNNNNNNNNNNNNNNNNNNNNNNNNNNNNNNNNNNNNNNNNNNNNNNNNNNNNNNNNNNNNNNNNNNNNNNNNNNNNNNNNNNNNNNNNNNNNNNNNNNNNNNNNNNNNNNNNNNNNNNNNNNNNNNNNNNNNNNNNNNNNNGGGGGGGGGGGGGGGGGGUUAGUACGUCGUUCCAUACCCCUCCUCGACUAACUUCGAUUCCUCGUCCCACCUCCUCCCAUCACUGAUUUUAGAUGUAUACCAUUACACUGAACGAAUAUUGUAAAUGUAAUAUUACAUUGCUGACGAGGCUGAAGAAAAUAUAUGUUCAGAUUAUGUUCUUUGUUUUAAAUUCCCGAUAAGAUAUUUAGGAAGUAUUGUAAUAAUGUGUCUUUAGUGUCCAAUUAGAUAUUAAUAUUGAAUCAUAGACGUGUCGAUUGAGAAGAAUGAGUGCACUCAAACUUCGCUAACAUUGGCAUUUCGCAAUUAGUGCAUGAAAGUAGAUUAGUCAACUACAAAUGGUAUAAUUUUACUAGUCAUGGAUUAUUUAUUUAGUCUUAUCAUGAUAUAUAACUUUGUACAAACAUUCAUAUAGAAAAUGAAGGACGGAGUUAUGUUCCAAAAAUUCUCAACAUCUAAGGCGACUUGUAUAACAUGAUGUAAGCGGAGCAAAAACGCAUGUCACUAACAGUAGAAAAGAAAAUGCCUAGAACUAUCUCCAUCCGUAGGUAUAUGAAUUUAUCCAAUAAUGCAUGUAACCAAAGUGCGUACAUUUAUAUAUUUAUAUAGAUAAUAUAAUUAUUUGCACCACAAAUCUCUUGGUAAUACAAUUAUUAUUUGGUAAUGUAUUAAUUUAGAGACAUGAGGUUUAUUACGCAUGGGGCAUGGCCCGCGCAUCAGCUUCAACGUCAUCGGCAACAGUCGACAUGGAUUUUGCUCGAGGUUGAGCAGCCAGCUUCAAGUCGAGCCAUGCCUGCACGCCCUUCCGCACGUUCUCGCUGUCGUCGGCGCGGUCGCGGAAGGUCUCCACGUCGGCCAUCUUGCUGGCGAUGCUGGACAUGACCAGCUCCUUCUUCCACUCCUCCACCGGCGCCAAGUCGGAGUACUUCUCCCCGAGCUCGUACAUCUUCUGAGGGUCGAUGCCGCCGAUGUUGUGGGUGUGCUUCCACGGCACGCCGGCGGCCUCCCUCGCGCGGAGGUGCUCCUCCACGGACCGCACCAUCUCCUCCUCCGCCGGCAGCGUUUUACGGCCGGACAGCACCUGCGCCACCCACCGCGCCUGCACCUCGAAGAACCACGGGAUGAGGACCUUCCUCACCACCCCCACGAAGGAGAGCGACGGCGGGAACACGUGCUCGAACAGCGGGCCGACGACGUAGCCGUCGCUGUCGACGGUCACCGCGCCGCCCGUGUCCAGGAACGGGAACGAGUAGGUGUACCCCGUGCAGUAGAUGACCGUGUCGGCCACGACGGAGGAGCCGUCCGCGAACUCCACGCGCCCGUCGGCGUGCAGCCGGCGGAUCCGCGUGUGCAGGCGCAGCACGUCGCCGUGGUUGGCCAGCAUCCUCGACACGUCCGGCGUGGCGGCCGUGGCCUCGGAGCUCGCGGCGAGGUGCACCUCCCUGGCCACGCGGCAGAGGUCCAGCGCGAUGUCCUUGCCGCUGUCCCCGCACCCGGCCACCACCACCGCCUCGCCGCGGAACGGCUCCGGCGUCCUGUACGAGUGGCUGUGCAGCUGCCGGCGCGUCCACUCACCCAUGCCCUGGAUGUCGGUCGGGAGCAUCGGCUGCGAGUGGUGGCCGUUGGCCACCACGACCGCGUCGAACACCUCCUCCUUCUCCCGCGACUCAUCGUCCUCGGUGCUGCCGAGGAGCCGCACGGACCUGACCGUCCACUGACGCGUCGCCGUCGUCGCCGGGGCGACGUGCAGGACCCGGGUGUUGAGCCUGACGACGUCCAUGAGGCCGAAGGCGUCGCAGAAGUCCCGGAGGUAGCAGUGCAGCUCGCGGUGGGCGGGGAAGCGGCGUGGGUCGCGGCCGGCGCCUUCCCUGGGCAGGAACUGGAAGUCGGAGAAGCCCAUUGCCUCCCGCGGGCUGAUGAGGCGGAGGCACGCGUAGAUGCUGCUGGGCACGCGCACCGGCGCUGCGGCGCCGAGCGGGUCCUCGCCGUCGGUCAGCGGGUCGUACAGCCACUGCCCGCCGACGUCGCCGCUCUGCUCCAUGACGGUGACGGCGUGGCCCUCCCGCCGCAGCUCGCGCGCCGCUGCCAGGCCGGCCACGCCGCCUCCAACCACGCACACGCUCUUGGACUGCAGCGCCGGCUCGCCGUCUCCAGCAGCCAUGCCGACGCCGAUCGGUUGGUCGACGGUUGACGCUCUGCUUUCCUCUGUCACCUUGGUGGGUCGAUAAUAUGAUUGCUAACACACCACGAUGACUGUCAUCCAUGUAUAUUUUUAUUUUAUUAUUGGACACCACUGUCACCCAUGUGUUAGUUAGCCAGAGGAGAAAAACAAAUAAAAUUGAGUCGUUCGUCGCACAAACAAAAGGAUAAAAUUGCAAGAUUUAUUUGUAUGGAUGGAAAACAAGUUGGUCCUGCAGCGUUUCGUUAAAAAAAUAACCUGGUCGAUCAUGUCCUUGGCCGUGGCUCUUGUUUGCACGCCGACGUCAGCGUGAUCAGAGCAUCUAGAACAGCCGGACAGACGCCCCUAAAAUAUGUGGUAUUUGAAUGGGUAACAUCAAAUGUGCGUACUUACCCCUCCGUGCCCAAAUAUAAGUCUUUUAAGAUAUUUUAUUAGGUGUCUACAUACAAAGCAAAAUGAAUGAAUCUAUACUCUAAAAUAUGUCUAUAUACAUCCUAUGUAGUCCAUUAGUUGAACCUGUAGAAAGACUUAUAUUUAGGAACGAAGGGAGUAGGAAACAAUUUAGGUGCUUUGCAUGAAUUUAAAGGAUAAAAUAUGUGGUAUUUGAAUGGGUAACAUCAAAUGUGAGGUUUGAUCAGUCAUUACGCGCGGACACAUUUACGAGUGUUUAAUGAACAGGAUUUGCAAGUCUUUACGUAAUAACAAUAGAAUUUGCCCCUAAAAUUCGCAUGAACUACCGCAAUGCCACCGGUAAAUAGAAAAAUGAUUCUUUUUUUUUUCCAGAAGUUUCUUGUAAUUCAACAGGUAACGAUCCCUCAAUAUCUACCUCUUUAUUUUUACUAUUAAUAAAGCACAUAUUGCUUCUGUGGUACGUCAUGAAAAUUGCCUCUGAAGUUUGCAUAAAUUACCCACCAUGCCACCGCUAUGUAAUAGAAAACGUUUCACAAAGCGAAAAAUCUCGGACUGGCCCGGCCCAUGUAAAAGCCUCCUAUAUUACGCUCUGCACCCUGCAAGAAUAUCCAGCACACCGUAUGGGCCGGCCCAUGCACAUGCGCCAGUUUUUUUAGUUCCGUUUAUUUAUUUAUCUUCAGUUUCAUUUUAUUUUUCUAUUUUAAGUAAUUUAGACCUUCAAAUAACCUUUAAACUUUUAAUAAACUGAAAAUUCUAAAUCAACAAAUUUUAAUAAAUCAAAUGUUUGUGACUUCAAAAACUGCUCGGAGUUUUUGUAAAAAAUGCUCGCAUAUGCAAUAAAAUGUUUGCAAGUUUGAAAAAAUGUUUGUAAGAUAAGAAAAGUCCAUGAUUUCAAAUCAAACUCCAUGUAUUAAAAAUUAUUAAUGCAUUUGUUAAUGUCAAUUCAAAAUAUGUUAAUGCAUUUCAAAAAUGUCCUAAAAUUUUAAAAAUAGAUAAUGCCUGUUUUGAUAGUUUCUUUUUUUAUUUAAAUUUUUCCGUUCCAUUUUUGUUUACUUCUAAUUUAAAUAAUUUAGAAUUACAAAAGCAUUUGCAUAUUGAAAAUAGGAAUUUUGAAUUAAAAUGUUGACGAAAACAUAAAAUGUUUGUGGAUUCGAAAAAGGCACCGGAUUUUUAUAUUACAUUUUUGCAAAUUUCAAAACAAUGUCCGUGAAUUUAAUAAAUACAUUACUGACUUAUAAAAAUGUUUGUUUAUUCAAAAAAACUUCAUGCGUUUCAAAAAUGUUUGUGAAUUUAAAGUAAAUACUCCAACAUCUAAAAUUAUGUUCGCCUUUUCUAGAAUUGGUCGCCAAUUUAAAAGAAAAUAUUUAAACCCGUUCGAAAUAUAAAAAUAUUCAUGAUUUUUAGUAAAUGUUUGUAAAUUGUAAAAAAUGUUCUCGAUUUGAAAAUUGUUCUCAUAUUUGUAAAAUCGUCCAUGAAAGAUCUAAUGUGUGUAGUUAAACAUUAAUGUUUCUAAGUCUCUGUGAAAAUAUACCCGUGUGAUUUUUGAAGAAUUAACUGUUGGAUGGAUCGGAUAAUUAUUGUAUGUUUUCAAAAAAAAAUCUUGAAAUUAAGAAUAAUUCUUUGAGUUACCAAGAUUUUUGACAACCAUGAUUUUUUUUGAAAAUGUAAAGAUUGCUUUAACUUGUGAAUAAAUUUUAAAAAAGAAAUAUUUUCUUGCAUUUGUGCACAAAAUUUCAAAAUCAAGUGAUGAUGUGUGAAUAUAAUGUGGUCAUCAUCAUUGAAGAUUAUUUUUUUUUUCUUCCGUUGCAACGCACGGGCCAUUUUCCUAUACUAAUAAAGCAAACAAUGCUUCUGUCGUACGUCAUAAACAUUACCUCUAAAGUUGCUCAAAAUUACCCACUAUGCCAUCCAUAAUCAAAAGAAAACGGUUUUUUUUUUAUUACAAAUCGCUCCGUCCUGUACUGGUUUAUAAGAGGUUGAAGCGCUGUUUUGGCAACAAAGCUAAGCUAGCAUACUGGCGAGAGCGCGUCCCUUGUCCUGGCAUACUGGCGAGAGCGUGUCCCUUGUUCCCAGGACACCUGGGUUCGAAUGCAGGUUGAUGCAAUCAGGCAAUUUUUUUCCUUUUUUGUUUACCUUUUCUUCUUUUCUCCUAUCAGGCUGAUUCAAAUCAAAGCGAUUUUUGUUUAAUUAUUUUUAUUCUUCUAUCAAGCUGAUUCAAGUCAAGCGAUAUGAAUUAGGAGGAGAAGAUGAAAUGGACUAUUUGUCAAAGAGGCCAACUAUCUAUGAUAGGUUGUCAGAUUGUUUAUUUUUUUCCCUUUUUUGUUUACCUUUUCUUUUUUUCUCCUAUCAGGCGAUCCAAAUCAAAGCGAUUUUGUUUAAUUGUUUUUCUUCUUCUAUCAGGCUGAUUCAAGUCAAGCGAUAUGAAUUAGGAGGAGAAGAUGAAAUGGACUAUUUGUGGAAGAGGCCAACUAUCUAUGAUAGGUUGCCAGAUUGUAUACCACUAACUAGACCGCGAACAAUUUUUUUUUGCCCCAAUGGCCUCUGGAUUAGUUUAUCUUGAUUACUUUCACUCAUGUACGACAGUAUGCAUGCGAGCACAACGGCGCCCGACGUACACAACAUCGACCAGAUAUGCAUACAGAGUGGUUGCUGGAUGUUAAAUCUAUUUUCUGCUCCCAUGCGACACAUGGACAAUGGAAAUUUGAAUUGCAUUUUUAGGGUAAGUUCAUCUUUGUUUGUGUUGUAACUAAAUUUUUUUAGAUUAUAGAUCAAUUUUUAUAAAUUAAGAGUAUGUGGUAUUUUUUUCUUCCGUUGCAACGCACGGGCCCUUUUGCUAGUAAAUCAUACGUUUGUAACCAUCCCAACUGGUUGGUUUUUUUGCUUCCACCUUGAAGACCCAGGGUUCGAUCACCCACUCCCAGUCCUUCCUUUCGAAAUCUGUAAUUGAGUAGUACUCCUUCCAAAUUUCAUUUUCACCUUUUUAGGUGAAACAUGUGGCACAUUGCAUGUGUGCCAUUUGUUGCAAUCUAGAAGUUUUCUUUUUUCAUUGAUCUGAAUUUUUAAAAUAUUUUAUCUUCUAAACCGUGCGUUCAAAUCUCGAACCAUUUUCACUGUUGGGUUCAUCACGUCGUGAUCUUUAAAACUAGAUCCCAUAUAUUAUAGGUUUUGAUAAAAAAAAUUCACGAAAAAACCUGAACGGAAAAACCGUGCCUCUCCUGAUGGAAAAAACCAGAAAACGCGUUUUUUCUGUUUCUCACGUAAAAAAAAUACCGCGGUUUUUUCUGUUUUCGAGAGGCACAACCUUGCCUCUCACGAAAAAAAAACGGUCCGAGAGGCAUGUCCGUCCCUCCCACGAAUGCAAAAUCGUACCUCUUAGACAAGCAAAAUCGUGCCUCUCGUAAAAAAACACUUUAUUUUUUGUUUUCAAACCAUGCCUUUUUGGAAAGCGAAAUUGUGCCUCUUGCAAAAAAACACUUUGUUUCUUGUUUUCGCUCGCGAACGUAAAACCGUGCCUCUCGAGGAAGCAAAGUCGUGGCUCUCGCGAAAAAAACACUUUGUUUUUGUUUUUUCUCGCAAACGCAAGACCAUGCCUCUCGGAAAGCAAAAUCGUGCCUCUUGUAAAAAACACUUUGUUUUUUGUUUUCGCUCGCGAACGAAAAACCGUGUCUCUCGGGGAAGCAAAAUUGUGCCUCUUGCAAAAAAAAAUUUGCUUUUUUUUCGCUCACGAACGCAAAACUGUGUCUCUUGGGGAAGGAAAACCGUGCCUCUCCCAAAAAAUUCAGAAACUUUUUUUUUCAUUUGCCUUUUGCAAACGCAAAACUGUGCCUCUCAGGGAAGCAAAACCAUAUCUCUCGCAAAAAAAAACAGAAAUGAGUUUUUUCAUGCAAAAAAUAAUUUUUUGAAAAUAUUUUUCAUCGAAAAGCUAAGAAAGACCAGUGAAAAACGAAACCCAAAAAUAACUGAGAAAAAUAAUCUAAAAAACCAAAAACGCGUGUGAAGAAAUAAUAAAUGAAAUCGGAAGUAAAUGCUCAGGGCAUGAUACAUGAUGACGACUAAGAACGCGUCAAAUGAUAACAUGUGAGUAUGAUCACAUGAAAGGCUUUUAAAAAAAAUGCUCGCUAACUAGUUGCUCUCUCUUUUUCCUCAUCCUUUUCUCUAUCAGAAUCCGCGGCUCAGUGCACUGUCUCGCCGACUGGACAGCCCAACGCAGCUUUCAGAAAUAUCUACUUUUCAAGCCUAGAGAAAUAUCUAAUUUCUUUGACGUAUAUUAUUAAGAAUGGGCACUAAAUAUGGAGCAGAGUAAUUGCCUUCCUGUAGCACCUAGCUCGAACUACAAACAACAUGUUGGUCCAGGUUCGAAUCACACAUUAUAUAUUUUUCUCAUACAUACAAAACAUUUCUUACAUAUUCAUAUUUUUUUAAUUACACACAAAAUUGCAUAAAAUCUAGAAACAUUUAAAAAUAAUAAUCUACACAUUUUUUAAAUGUGUGAUUUUUAAAUGUCACAAACAUUUGUUUUGGUAGCUAUUACCUUUUUUAAAAGUUAUGCUGACAAAGCAUUUACACUGCAUUAACAUUUUCAAUUUUUAAUUUUAAUUAUUUAGAAGUAAAUUAAGUUUUUGGGUUAUAUGUAUUGAAAAUAUAUUUAAAAGUACAAAUAAAAAGAUAAGGUAUAAUGAAGAAACAUAAAAAUGGGGACUAACCUGAAAGUUGGUCUGACGCAUUAUUUGCAGUUGGGAGGGUGCUCCUUUAGUAAGACCUUCUUCGGUCUUGCUGUGACCGAGGCCUAGGCACUCUUAUCGACUAGGAGGUCUCACCGACUUUAUUUUUAGACGAGGUCUCAUGGACCUAAACAUCACACUGGAGAUGACGGACUCACUCGUGGCUUGGGUGAAUGGAAAUCAAUUUGUAUUCGUUUAUUUUCCUCUUUAUCCUCGACUCAUCUAGACAGCUAAACAACUAUUUUGAUGGCUCAAAGUUCUGCAGAAAACUCUGAUAAAGUUCACAAGUGUGAGAUAUAUCAUUUCACACUCUAUCUAUAUUUUCAAGGGAUAUUGGACUGGCAUUUGAAUCCAAGCUCAAUUAUGCCUCAAAUUUUGUUUUCAGUUGUGAGUAGGUGAAAUAUGGAUCCAAUAUUAAUGACAUUUUUAUUCGAGUUUCUCAAUAACAUAUUAUCCCCUAGAUAUAUUUUUUAUGAAAUUUUAUUAAUGGAAUCACCACCAAAAUAUAAUGGACAACUCGGCAAAUAUUUUAGUAUGAAUAACUAGGACUUGAGUCAAAUAACAAUACUAGUCCAAAUAAAUUGAAAUUAACAUGAGUGAUUAUUUUUGACAUGAAGGACCUAGUAAAAACAUUAGGCUGAUUUUUUGCUGCCAUUUUCUUCAAAAGACCCAUUUAACUACGUAUUUGAAUAUUUUAUGAGGUAUUAAAAUCAGGGGUGUAUAUAUGCAAGGAUGCCAUGAAAUGCAAGACACAUGAUGGAAACAAUCUUCCAAACAUAAGAUUUUACAGUGUAUGUCAGUACUCGCACCUCGAAUAUGUUGUAAACUCUCCAACUUAUAGAAAAAAGAGUAUGUUGUAAAGUUGGCAUGGGAAUGCCAUGGUAACUGGUGUAGACAAGUAUUUUUUUUAAAUCAGUCACCAAAGGAAUAGGAAUCCCCACCCGUAUAUUGACCUCAAUUUAAAAAGAGGUUCAUCUGGCUUAUGUGAGAAACCGGAUCGAAAACCAUCAAUCCAGUUCAUGAUAAAAAAAACUUGACAUACAUCCUGCCGAAGCAAGAAUACAGGAAAAAAACUUAUACAUAAAUACAACAAAACACAAAGAUCAACCACCUAAACAUGAUGUACACAUAAGUCAUUUAUUGAAGGCCCACGAUUUGCAGAUGGGAUCACCGCAUACAUUGUUGCAUGAAUCACUCAUACUGUUUACAUACAGCCGGGCCAGGGCCGGGUCAAGGCUAAUCUAAUAAUGCAUUCCAGAUUGAGUUGUUCUAACUAACAAUGCAUAUGGACGUGCAACUAGUUUACAAUAAGCGAAUCAAGAAUUCAAGGGUAUAGUCAGGGGCGAAGCUACCUAUAUGGCGUGGUUUGGCCAUCGCCAUACCUAACCAGCUAUACAAAUACUCGUAUAUAUACUAUAAUAGUAAUACUGAAUCACCCUAUUGGGUUGUGGACGUGCUAAUUACAGCAGAAGCCCAUCCCUGGCUGAAUCGAUGAAGCCCAUAGCCCCACAGACGAGUACAGGACACGAUUAAUCAGAUCACACGUUCUGCUAGCUAGGGUACGCCGCACAAAAGGGACACGGCCUGCACGCUGCAUGAGCAUCUGGGCAUCCGGUAAAUCAGCCACCGAAGGCUGUGGGCGCGAAGCUGGCGACCGGCAAGGCGACAAAGGGACUCCACGAGUCUGCGAUCAGCGAGGCAGCGACCGGCGGCGACGAGCCCACGACUCGGCGAGUUCCAAGUAUGCAAAUUAACUACUUUCAAGUAGACUCGCUGAUGACGCUAGACUUAAAAUACAGUCUUCCUCCUUUUCUUGAUCGCUGAAUCUCAUUUGCUUCAGUUUCAUCAGUAGCACUAGAGAAGGUGCUAGUUGCAGUCUGCAGAUGCCGCCGCCGCCGAAUAAGAGGGUUAAAUAUGUAAUGAAAGGUAUAAUUUAGUUUACUUCUUUCACUUGAUCGCAUCACUUCAACUAUGUCAUGUACUCAUGUUACUUGCUUGAUAACAUACACAACUCUUGUGUUUUCUUACAGAUUUAAAGAUUAUUUUUGCCAAAGCCAGUGGCACUAGCACCUCGAGCUGAGCUCCAACUUUGGAAGCAGCCAUUGAACAACGAGAAGAAGAGCGUGCGCCUCAAGAGAAUGUGCGGACUGAAGUUUCAACAUAUGUUCAAGAGGAAGAGAAUGAGGGGGAAAAUUAUGUUGAGGAUGAACCAAUAGCUAGAGAAGAGGGAGAAUGCAAGUUCAUUGAAGAAUUGCAUCCUGACCACAUCGAGCCUGAUCCUGGGCUUCGAGUUCCAAUCAAUAAUUUUCAUCCCAAUAUUAGAGAUGAAAUUAGAUUGGCAUAUGUGGCAAAGGGUCCAACUCGACCGGUUGGUCAUACUUAUGAACGUGAUCAUUUUGAGAGGGCCUUUCGUGAAGCGUGGUAUGAAAAAAAAUCCUUGGUUAGAAUAUAGCGUCAAAAAUAAUGCAGCCUAUUGCUUUUACUGUUUUCUUUUUAGACAAGAUCCGGUGGAUGAAAAAUUUGGUCAUACUACCUUCACGAAAGAGGGCUACAGUACUUGGAAGAAUGCAUACAAAGCAUUUCCUCUUCAAGUUGGUGGCCCUGGGAGUGUCCACAAUCAAGCAAGGACAGCAUAUGAAGAUUUCAAAAAUCAAAGUUCAAGUCUGGAGCGUAAGGUUACCAUAUAUAACAAAGAAUCAUUAAUCAAGUAUGAGACCCGUUUGGAAACAUCUUUGGGGAUUGUAAGUUUUCUUGCAUUGCAAGGUGAACCAUUUCGUGGUCACAAUGAAUCUGCCCUUUCUUUAAAUAAGGGUAAUUUUCUAGAGAUGCUUGAUUGGUACAAAGCAAGGAAGGAGGAAGUGAGAAUUGCGUUUGAUGAGCUAUGUCCAGGAAAUGCACAAAUGACUUCUUCAACAAUUCAAAAACAACUUGCCAAAAGUUGUGGAGAUGCGGUCCGAAGAGCAAUAAAACAAGAGAUGGGGGGUAACCUUUUUUCAGUUCUUGUUGAUGAAUCUCGUGAUAUUUCAAUUAAAGAGCAGAUGGCCUUGGUUGUGAGGUAAGCCACUGGUUACUUGAUUAUGUGUUUCAUAUUUUGCCUUAUAAUCACCUUUUUCUAAUUAACUAAUUGUACUAUUUCUUCUAUGCCUUACAGGUAUAUGAACAAGUGAGAAGUUAUUGAAAGAUUUUUGGGUAUCAAGCAUGUCAAGGAGACCACAUCAGAAGCACUAAAGAAAGCACUAGUUGAGGUUCUUGGUAAGAAUGGGCUACUUAUUGCAAAUUUACGAGGGCAAGGGUAUGAUGGAGCAUUUAAUAUGAGGGGAGAAUUUAAUAGUGUUCACAAACUUGUCCGAGAUGAAAACCCAUAUGCUUUCUAUAUGCAUUGUUUUGCCCAUCGAUUGCAGCUUGUAGUUGUUGCUGUCUCGAGAUGUUGUUCUUCCAUUGAGGAUUUCUUUGGAUAUGUGACGAUGAUUGUGAACGCCGCUAGUUCGUCUUGCAAGAGGAAGGAUAUAUUGCUUGAUCAACAACGCAUAAAUUUGUUGGCUAAGUUAGAGAGUGGAGAAAUUUUCUCAGGAAGAGGAAAAAACCAAGAAACAUCAUUGGCUAGACCAGGAGAUACAAGAUGGGGCUCUCAUUAUAAAACACUAGCCCGCAUUGAAUCAAUGUGGGAUGCAGUCAUAGAAGUGCUAACUAUUGUGCAUGAGGAUGAGCGUAAUCCCUCAAGGGCGGGAGGUUUGGUGCAGAUAAUCGAGUCUUUUAGCUUUGUGUUCAUCAUGAAGUUGAUGUUGCAAAUCCUUCGCAUUACAAAUUAGUUGUCACAACUCCUCCAACGGAAGGAUCAAAAUAUUGUUCAAGCUAUGUCUUUGGUUACAGAUGUGAAGUCUUCCUUGGCCAACUUGAGGAACCAUGGUUGGGAACCACUUUUUGAAGAUGUCAAGAUCUUUUGUAAUGUUAAUGAUAUUCCAGUACCAAAUAUGGAUGAAGUUGUACCGAGAUUCGGUCGAUCAAGAAAAGGAGGAAGAAAUAAUGUUACUCAAGAACAUUUUUUUCGUGUUGAUACCUUCUUUGCAGCGAUAGAUUCUAUCACCACAGAGCUUGAUCAUCGCUUUAAUGACAUGGCUUCAGAACUGCUUUGUGGAUUUGCUUGUCUUGACCCAAGAGACUCAUUUUCCAAGUUUGACUUGGACAAAGUUGCUAAGCUAAUAGACAUCUAUGAUGCAGAUUUCUCCAAUGAUGAUCGUAAGCGUAUAAAAAUUGAACCCGAGCUGUUCAUCAACCAUAUGAGAAGACAUGAUGACUUUAGAGUUUACCAUGAUCUUGCAACCCUAGCCAAAAAAAAUGUUCGAACUUGAAAAAAAUAUUAUGUUCCCUAUGGUUUAUCGCCUUAUUGAGUUGGGGUUGCUUCUACCGGUGGCAACGGCAUCGGUUGAAAGGGCCUUCUCAGCAAUGAAGAUCAUCAAGACCGAUUUGCGCAGCAAGAUGUCCAAUGGUUGGCUUGAUGACUUAAUGGUGUGCUACAUCGAGAGAGAGAUAUUUAAAGGAAUCGAUCUUGCUGAAAUUAAGAAGGAAUUUCAACAUAAAGGUAGAAGAAUGCCAUUGCCACGUUCUAUUUAAGGAAAAUAAAUCUUCAUUAUGGGUAUGUAUUCUUUCUAACUAUGUUCACAAUAACGUGGUUUAUCUCAUUAUAUCCUACUAGUCACUAAUUUAUGAUUUAUCUAUGGUUUUUAUGUUUUUAGGUCAUAUUUAUGCCCGUCUAGGUAAUAUAGAUGAUACAUUGGCAAUCAAUCAUCCAUGUAAUCUUCAUCAAAUGAGGUAUUUAGAAAGACAAUACUUAUGUUUUGAUUUUGGUUGUAUUUAUUGAACACCAAUUAAUAUAUAUCUAGUAUUUUACUGAACACUUCCAUAGGUGAGUUGUACAUGGUUUUUUUCAUUCAUACAUUCCGCCACAUCUUAAAAUUAUUCCUGCCUUCGCCACUGGGUAUAGUCUUGUUGACGUGUAAAGGAUCGCUGGCAUCAAUCCGCCAGACGAGCAUUCACAUGCCACCAUCAUCGGUGACGCGGAUGGCUUGCAUGAAAUAACGGAAAUACUAGUGUUUAGUGAUACCACCUUUUAGGAGAUUAUUAUUUUAUUCUUUUAGAAAAGGAGGCUCAUCUCCGCCCUCUGCAUCAGAGAUGCAUACGACCCCUUUAUUAAAAGUAUAAAAUAAAAAGUCUGCAAUCCACAGUACAAGCUUACGAUAAAGCUCUAACAUAAAGUUGGAAAGAAAUUGCCACAAUUGGCAUAAAAUAGAACAAGAAGUCUAUCCACCUAUUCUACUAUUGGACCGUCAUCUAAAUCGGUUGUCAAUAUCUUGAGCUAACAUCUCCCAUGUAGAUCCAGUAACCAAAAGCCCCAUGUUCACGCAGGAGUGAGUAACGACUAUGCACGGAUCAAAGAGGGUGCCAUGUAUAAAACGUGCAAAAAAUUGGUAUGAUUUUGUAUGUUAAAGACCAUGUCAGUUCUACAAUUCCAUAUAGCUCAAAGUAACGCACAUACUUCUAUACGAAUAUGUCUCGCCGUAAAAAUGUCUACUUCAUCUAGCCACGUCCCAAAUAACAUGUGAAUGCUAUUUGGAGGUGUGAUAUUAAAGGCUAUAUGAAUGGAUCUCCAAAUAAUUUUGCUAAAGGGCAGUCGAGAAAGAGGUGUUUGACAGUCUCAAGUUGAUCACAAAAGCUACACCUUGUGUUUUCCGUCCAAUUACGCUUUGCCAAAUUAUCCUUAGUGAGAAUCACUUCCUUGUGAACAAACCACAUAAAAAUUUUGAUUCUUAAAGGAACUUUGAUCGUCCAAAUAUGAAUCAAUUUGGGAAUUGAUCCAUAGUCAAUGAGAUCCAAAUACAUCAAUUUCACCAAAAAGAUGCCAUUCUUAGAUAGUUUCCAAUGAAGUCUAUCAGACUCAUCCGAUAGAUUAACCUCCAUCAGUCUCCUGACUAAAUCAAGCCAAGGCAACCAUCGAUCUCCCAACAAUGUCCUUUGGAAAUGUAUGUUCAGAGGAACAGACUGUAAGACAGUAGCAACGCAGGCCUCCUUACGCUGCAUAAUAUUAUAUAGAGCCGGAUAUUGCGUGGCUAGCGGCGUCUCCCCCAACCACGUGCCUUCCCAAAACCUCGUAGACUCACCAUUACCAACAAUAAAUUUAGACAUAUGGAAGAAAGCCACUUUUGUUCUCAUUAGUCCGUUCCAAAAGGGUGAAUCGUUGGGUUUCAAAGUGACUUGAGCCAAGGUUUUAGCAUGUAAAUACUUAUUUCUCAAAAUUUGUACCCACAUGCCUUCAGACUCCACAGACGGUUUAUACAACCAUUUGCUAAGCAUGCAUUUGUUCCUUGACCUCUAGAUUUUCAAUCCCGAGACCGCCUUGCUCUUUGGGCCUACAAAUAAUAUCCCAUUGAGAGAGUCUAUACUUUCUUUUGACCUCAUUAGUCUACCUAAAAAAAGGGGAUCUAUAGAAGUCCUACAUUUUCCGUACCGCGACAGGCAUAUCAAAAAAAGGGAAAGAAGGAACAUCGGCAUCCUUGCGAGUACUAAAUUAAUCAAUACCAACCUACCUCCAUAAGGCAACAACUUGCCCUUCGAGCAACUCAGUUUUUUCUCGAACCGGCCCUCUAUACACUUCCACUCCUUGUUAGAUAACUUUCGAUGAUGUAUUGGUAUGCGUAGAUAGUUGAACGGCAUGCUACCUGAAGCGCAUCCGAACAGUUGUUUAUACGUAUCCUUCUCUUCUUUGGACUUCCCAAAGCAAAAUAUUUUGCUUUUGUGAAAAUUUAUCUUCAAACAAGACAACUGUUCAAACAAGCAAAGGACCAAUUUCAUAUUUCUAGCCUUUGCAACAUCACGUUCCAUAAACAGAAUAGUGUCAUCAGAGUAUUGUAGUAUUGACACACCAUCAUCAAUUAGGUGUGGCACAAGACCUCCUACUCGGCCUUCCUCUUUUGCCCUCCCAAUCAUAAUUGUCAACAUAUCCGCAACUAUAUUUAAAAGGAUAGGGGACAUUGGGUCCCCCUACCGAAGCCCUUUAUAUGUAUGGCAAUAAUGUCCAAUGUCAUCAUUGACUUUAAUUUCAACACUUCCCUUUUGUAGAAAGGAUUCAACGCGUUUCCUCCAAACUUCGUCAAAACCCUUCAUACGAAGCGCUUGCUGAAGGAAAGGCCACUUUAUUUUGUCAUACGCUUUAUCAAGAUCCACCUUGAAGAUAACUCCAUCUAGUUUCUUUGAGUGAAUUUCAUGUAAAGUUUCAUGAAGGACAACCACACCCUCAAGUAUGUUUCUGCCCGGCAUGAAAGCCGUUUGACUUGGUUGCACAACCUCAUGUGCAAUCCGUGUCAAUCUAUUCGUGCCAACCUUAGUGAAUAUCUUGAAACUCACGUUAAGCACGCAAAUAUGAUGAAAUUGUUGGAUACACAUAGCUCCCUCCUUCUUUGGCAACAACGUGAUUGUCCCAAAGUUAAUGUGGAAUAGUUGUAAGUUCCCAUUAAACAAAUCAUGAAACAUCAGAAGUAAAUCAUCUUUAAGUAUAUGCCAACAUUUCUUAUAGAAUUCAGCUAGGAACCCAUCCGGUCCCGUUGCCUUGUUAUUUUUCAUUUGCGCAGUAGCUUCAAACACCUCUUCCUUCGUGAAAGGCACCGAAAGAACCUCAUUCUCAGCCACACCUAGCUGAGGUAUAUCUUCGACCCUUUGCUCAUCCAUGGACACAAAAGUGUCCUUGUGAGCCCCGAACAGCUGUACAUAAUAAUCAGAGAUAUACAACUUUAGGUUCCCGUGUCCUACGUGUUGGGGAACGUAGCAUGGGAAACAAAAUUUUCCUACGCACACGCAAUACCUAUCCAUGGUGAUGAUCAUCUACGAGAGGGGAGAGUGAAUCUACAUACCCAUAGAGAUCGCUAAGCGGAAGCAUAUAUAACGCGGUUGAUAUAGUGGAACAUCUUCGCGAUCCAAAUCGCAGCCCGUCCCGCGAUCUCAUCAGGAUCCGUCCAUCGAUCCCAUCACGAUCCAUCCCGAUCUAGUGCCGAACGAACGGCACCUCCGCGGUCAGCACACGUACAGCUCGAUGACGAUCUCCGCCUUCUUGAUCCAACAAGAGAGGAGAAGAUGUAGAUGAGUUCUCCAGCAUGGCAGCAUGGUGGUGGUGGUGGUGGAGCUAUUCCAGCACGGCUUCGCCUAAGCACCGCUCAAACUAGACUAGAGGAGAAACUGAUCUAGAGAGAGGGCAACACGUGGCUAUUUUUCUGUGUCUCAAAAACCCUAUAUACCUCUAGUAUAUAUAGGAGGGAGGGAGGGGUGGAGGCAGAAUCAAACCCUCAAGGUAUGGCCGAAAUUAGAGGUGGAGGAGUCCUACUCCAAUCCUACUAGGAGUAGGAUUCCUCCUUUCCACUUGGAAACCCUUUCCACCUUUUCCACCUUUGGGUAUUUUGCCUCUCAAACUUCAUGGGCCUUAGUGGGAGCUUAUGUCAGCCCACUAGGGGAUGGUUUGUAUCCUCCCACAGCCCAUAAGGCCCCUCGGGGCGUGACACCCCUCCCGAUGGUCCCCGGUACCCUCCCGGCACUCCCCGUACAUUACAAAUGAGCCAGAAACUUUUUCGAUGACCAAAACAGGACUUCUUAUAUAUCAAUCUUUACCUCCGGACCAUUUCGAAGCUCCUCGUGACGUCCGGGAUCUCAUCCAGGACUCCGAACAACUUUAGGUUACCAACACCUAUAACUCAACUAUACUGAAACGUCACCGAACCUUAAGUGUGCAGAUCCUGCGGGUUCGAGAACUAUGCAGACAUGACCAGAGACACUCCCUGGUCAAUAACAAAUAGUGGGACCUGGAUGUCCAUGUUGGCUCCUACAUAUUCUACGAAGAUCUAUAUCUGUUGAACCUCUAUGUCAAUGAUUCAGUUAAUCCCGUAUGUUGUUCCCUUCAUCCUUCGGUAUGUUAGUUUCCCGAGAUUCGAUCGUCGGUAUCUCUAUACCUAGUUCAAUCUCGUUACCAGCAAGUCUCUAUACUCGUUCCAUAAUACAAGAUCCCAUGACUAACUCCUUAGUCACAUUGCUUGCAAGGCUUAUUGUGAUGUUGUAUUACCGAGUGGGCCCCGAGAUACCUCUCCGUCACACGGAGUGAGAAAUCCCAGUCUUGAUCCAUGCCAACCCAACACACACCUUUAGAGAUACCUCUAGAGCACCUUUAUAGUCACCUAGUUACGUUGUGAUGUUUGAUAACACACAAGGUAUUCCUCCGGUGUCCGGGAGUUGCAUGAUCUCAUGGUCAUAAACAGAUACAUUGAUAUGCAGAAAACAGUAGCAAUAAAUUGACACGAUCAUAUGCUACGUUCAUAGUUUGGGUCUUGUCCAUCACAUCAUUCUCCUAAUGAUGUGAUCCCGUCAUCAAGUGAAAACACUUGUCUAUAGCCAGGAAACCUUGACCAUCUUUGAUCAAUGAGCUAGUCAAUUAAAGGCUCACUAUAUGAUCUCCCUGAUGGCCAUCCUCAGUGUCCAUAUCUAUGUGCUGACCCAGCUCCUGAAAAUGAUCAUUCUCCUCUAUCUCAAUCUCAAGAUCAUAACUCCUACAACAUAAGUCCAUCUCGCAAUACACGGAUGUGUUCAAUGCUAACCACACUGACUAGCAGGUGAGCCACUCCCUACGCCCUAGUGAAGGGCAUGUCCACCUAUUCCGUCUCCCCAAUCAAAGAGCCAAGACUCCAGGUAACCAUAAAAUCGUCCAAAUGCGCACUCGGUGCUCCUAAGAAGAGAAACCAAAGCUUCGAUAGAGAAACCCCCUCCGGCUCCUUAUUUGUCCAUGCUUCGAACUCAAGAACACACGUACUGUAAGGAAACUUGCUCUUCCCAAACUUUAAAAGUUUAGCAAGAUCCUCCUUAUAGGGGAAGUCGACCUUGAAGCUCUGUUCAUCGAGCGUCGUUGGUGCCAACCGAAAACUCGCAGACGCAAACUCACGAAGCCGCUAAAUAACCUGAUCCUUAGACAUAGUCCCGCUAGUCACCUUGAUCACAUCGGUUCGAGCAUUGUCCACACUCGGUGCAACCGAGGUCGACGUAGGUGACUCAAAGAACAUCAAUUUCGGGCAACACGCUCCAUAUAUGAUCACCACUAGCUUCGGCCUCAGAAUCAAUGGGCACCCCCUGACUCAUGCUUUGGCUUGCGGCAAAUGUCACAUAAUUCAACCGAGCAUUCAACAACAAAGUGUCCUGGUUCGCCAUAACGAUAGCAACUCAUUUUUUCUUUCUUAGGAGCCCACUUAGACGCCUUUUCUUCCACCUUAGUCAUGACACCCGUGUGAUCCGAAGCAGCCUUAGCCGAAACCUCAACUGUAGCCAAUUGUUUAACGGUGUACAGCUCCGCUUCCGUCAAAACAACCUUAGUCGCCCCCCGUAUUUUGGAGCUGGACUUAGACUGUUGCUCCGUGUUUGGCAGUGAAGUGGGUCUAGGAGGGAUCGGCCGCCUGCCACCCCGUGUUCUUCGGUAUGCAGGUGCCACGUUGCCUAAAGGGCGGCCGCAACGAUCCCUCCACAAACUCGUCAGAAGGACCACUGAAGUCCCUCGUCGGUGUUAUGUUAUUGUUCCACGCAUAACCGUGCCCCCACCUGCAGAUGAGGACCCGCGGUGCUGCCCAGUACUGUAAGCAUCAUAUCCAUCAACGCCUCAUUGGCCACGCGGUGGCGCACGAUCGUUAUCACCUAAGUUCGCAGCCCCGCUCCCACGACCCGCGGUCUGGCCCGGACCUGCCGUCCGAGCAUUGCCUUGAGCUUGGUUGCCUCGGCCAUCGCCAGAGUUUCCACAUCAGCGAGACCCACCGGCGUCUACCCCGUGUCAAGCACCGCCCCCGACCACUUUCUCCUUAGCGGCAUGCAUCGACAGGAAGCUUCCACGACUGGCCAUGACCGCCGGUGCUAGAAAGCUGUGCACCCUCGAAGCAUAACCCGAACUCAACUUCGGGAAUCUAGGUGAAUUUCUCCUCCUAAAAACCCUAGGUGAGGGCUUCGUCGCCAGUGUUUCAUCUGCCGCCACGGUAACUAGCAGGCCCGAGAUAGAGCCAUCGGAAGGCGUAGCAUGGGCCGAGUUCUGGGCUACAUACCCAGAACUAGCAGACCCACGACUAGCUCGGAAUUGUGAGGCCCAUCAAGCCCAAUGAGAGUUUUCAAACACGUCGCACGAAGACAGUGGAUCUCUUCCGCUGUUUUCGCCACCGGCAUCAGCACCGCUGGCACCGGACGCCGCUGUUGUUUCUUGUUACGAACAAUUUUCGAAUUUGAGCCAUCCAUGAAAUCAUCACAGGCUAACAUUAGAUAGCGGACCCAACCCAAGACCGGAUCAUCGUCGCUGCUUUUCUCUAAUGCCCCGUAGAUCUCCUGCCGGCCUUAUCACCCUUGAUCAUCACAGCAACAGCGGGCUGCAUUGAUGAGGACGACAACGACGAGGCAAUCAUCUUUGGCUUGUCUGCAAACGGAAUCUCCCUGUGGUCAUCAUCAUCGUUGUCAUCAUCUGCAAGCACCCAAAAUCGCCCCCGAACCUCCUUCGCUCGACGCCGUAGUUGUCCUCGCUAUCGCUUUCCUCCUUCUCCUCCUUUGGUGGCAGCUCAACCAUUUCAUGGACCGCCUGAUUCUACUCUCGGGUGAGGGCGCGUGUGUUCCUCCGUUGUCGUUUGUUCAUAAUGCAGGCGCAGAUGGCUUCCUCCUCUGCGGCCGCCCAUGCCGCCACAUCAACCACCUUCGCCGUCGCUAUUUCCGUCAUGAUACGGGCCUCACCGGACCGUAUCCUCUUCUUCCCACUAUGGGCCACCCGUUCCCGGCGGGACUAAUAAUCUGCCCGACAUGUGAUGGGGAAGGAGAGAUUUUCCGGCUGUCGAGACCAUGAUAAUCCAAUCUCAGAGGACCUGAGCGCCUGUUGAGCCGACGCUAUGGAGACACAUUGGACAAGUCCUUGCAUCGGUCGGGCGCUCUCCUCCUGGGAGUAGCGGAGUGCAAUGCGGACCGGCAUUGCAUCCUCCAACCUGCACAUGAUGACAUUCUAGUCGACGGAUCCAGACUGCUCGGAGUCAAAUCUGCCACCAUGCCGGAGACGGCCAGAAAUCCGGUGAGCUUGGGUGGCGGAGGGAACGGAGGGGAGUUGAAUGUGAAGUGGCUAGAGUUUGGUCCGGCGAACGGAUGGGGACGCAUAUAUGUGCGGUUGUUGUAGGCCAAUGCGGGCCAGACUGAUAUAACGGACACACCCGGGUGCCCUAUAGCUGCCUCAUAUUUAGGCUGGAUAUGAGGGGUGUCGGUCAGUUUGGAUGUUCAAGGCCCGUUUAAGGCGUCCGACUUGGUCAAAAUUUUGCAACCGGUCAGUGGGCUUGCGCCGCACUUAUUUCCCUUAAUAAUUGGGGUUCCUCUAAUGUGUUUCUGUUUCAUAAUCCAACGUACUCCCUCCGUCCGGUGAAAAGUGUACAUAUAGAUAUUUUAGGACAAAUUAUGAAGUGGAAUAAAAAAAUUAUUGAAAAAGGUGCAAGCCACCAUCUCUCUCCUUUUUAAUUGUUCAACCCUCAAUGAGCUAAGUGCAUGUAAAAAUUAAGAAAACUAUGUGUAAGUAUAAUGGUAUUGGUCUUGAUUACCGUCUGAUGAAAGAGAAGCAUUUCUUUCUACUUUAAAGUCCAUUAAAAAAAUAAAAGUAUAUUCUUUUAUGAGCAAAUUUUAAAGCCAAACAUACGCUCUUCACCGGACGAACGAAGGGAAUACGCGGUUAGACAAGUCAACUAAUAUUAAUGAUCAUAAGAGCUGGGCAGUGGAGGUCGGUAGAAGCACAUGCAUCGCUAUAGGACUAUUGACUAGGACUAGGAGAACCUGCUUUUAUUUUCUUUGCUAGUUCAAUAUUAACGGAUGCAUGCAUGUGUUCAAUCCUGAAAAUUCGGUCUCCAAUCCUCGCUGUCUCAUCAUCUUGGGUCUUUCCUUCAUCACGGUUUAAAAGACGUGUUUAGAAAUUCUCUAAAACUUAAGUGGUUAUUGAUUGGUUGUGAGGUGGAUUAAAAAAUAGCAUUUACACUACGCAUGCAUAUAGAAAUAGUACAAGGUCUUUGUCACACAAAAAGAAAUAGUACAAGGUCUUUGUCUCAUAUCUUAAUGUUGGCUACGAUGAGUUUCCGCAACAAGGUCUUUGUCACACAAAAAGAAGUAACAGUACCUCUGUUGCAGAAAAAUUAAAUUGCAACAAGAUCUCUGUUGUAAAAAAAUAAACUGCAACAAGACCUUUGUUGCAAAAAAAAACGGUAACAAGACCUUUGUUGUAGAAAAACACCGAUAACAAGACCUUUGUUGCAAAACAAAAAUUAAAAUUUAACUUGUGUUGCAAAAGUUUCUGUAACGUGUUGCGGCAAUUUCCUACAACAUGUUCGCAACGCAUGGUCGUUCAAUCGGUCAGAUCUCACGGUUCGUGGGGCAAAAAUCUUUUUUAAAAGAUCAGUCGGUGAACGCAUAGCGGUCCCAAAAAAAGAAAAGGGAAUCGAGAAAGGAAAACUUUGAUCCCAUGUCCUCUACCUAGCCGUAAAACGAAGGCGCACGGCCCACAUUCCAGUUCUCAGCUCUCACGGAAGAAAACAAUUGCAAAGUUAGUUGUGAUCGAUCUCGAUCCUCAACACGCUCGAAGAAAUGCCGCUUCCUCUCCUCAAAAGAACCAUCCUUUGACAAUCCAGUGAUCUCAAUGUGUGAUAGCACCAAGAUUCCUUUGACAAUAUCCAAGGCUUUAUAAUAUUGCACAAUGUAAACAGGACUAUGUGUCCACGGUACUACAAUCAAUACCUCUUAAUAUACAGUUUAGGCAAGCUUUGCUGGGAGCACGCUAGAAUGAAUGGUUAAAUCUGAUCAGCAGACUGAUGCGCAUACAGUUAUCUGAUCAGGCGGAUAGUGUACGCUGGACUUUAGCUACGAAUGGUGUAUUCUCAGUAAAGUCCAUGUACACGCAUCUCAUUAACACUGGAACAAUACCCAGAUCGGUGCAUAUUUGGAAUAUCAAAGUGUCUCUCAGGAUUAAAAAAAAUUAUGUGGUUCAUACACAAAGGGGUGGUAUUAACCAAAGAUAACUUGAUAAAAAGAAGAUGGAGAGGGAGACCUAAUUGUUGUUAUUGUCAUAACAACGAAACAAUAAGACACUUAUUUCUAGACUGCAAUCUUGCAAAAUUGUUAUGGCGUACUGUUCAUAUAGCCUUUAAUAUCUCCCUCCUUUAUGCAAUCAUUCGUUAUUUAAAAUGUGGCUCAAUGGAGUGGACGUUCAAUAUCGAAAGUUAUUAGAAUUGGGGUGUGUGCUUUAUUUUGGACUAUAUGAAACACCAGGAAUGAUAUGAUUUUUAAUGACAAGAACUUCAACAAUUUUUUACAGAUUAUCUUCAGAGCAACGUCUUGGAUCCGUGCGUGGUCGUUACUCAGUCAUGCGGACUCCAGGGAUCUUAUGAAUAUUGGGUGCAACCGAUGAAAGACGGUUGCACGGGCUAUCUUGCCGAUUUGAAUAUCGUGCUAAUAAUAGACUAGGUGUAUAGGCAUCGUAGUCUACUUGUAGGUACGCCGGUUAUGGCAGUUUGCUUUGCAUUGAAUCUUUGUUUUCAUUUUAAUGCUUCAAAGACUUGUGGAGCUUAGACUUUAUUUUGAAUCUAUUUUAAUAAAAGGAUUGCAUGCAUCGAUUAAUGCAGAGGUUGGGGACUAAGUUUUUUUUUGAAUAAAAUAUAUUCCUGCUCCUACCAAAAGAGAAAAAAAUUGAUGAAGAAAAAAACUUUGAUACCAUGCCCGCUACCUACCUAAACGAUGGCACAAGGAUCACAUCUGGGGUCUCACCGGACAAAACAAGUGGAAAGUAGUUGUGCUCUCCACCCUCAACAGGCUCAAAGAAAUACAUGCUCUUCCUCCUCUAAAGAACCAUCCUUCCACAAUCUAGUGAUUUCAUUGCACUAUCAAUGAGAAGGGAUCCACCCACAAGAACAAAAAGGGAAAGACAUGGCGCGGCUAUCAACACGGCAGCGAGAACAAUAGGUAAUUCCACGAUUUCACCGCCUCCCCCUCCCACUCCCUUCCUCGCCGCCGCCUGAGGCAGCCGCCGGGCAAGCCGGGGGCGUCAAGGAUGGUGGCAGCGGGGCCUAAGCUGCCCUGCCUCUGCAUGCGGAGUCUCGGAUCUCGAGCGGCGGCUCCAUUGGCGAGGCACGGCAGGCUAGCAGCCGUGCGGGAGGUGGAUCCAGCGUCUCGGCCGCGCGGGCGGCGGGAUCCGGUGGUCGCUGGCGUUCGGCGACGGCUUUUGCGGUGGCCGGUGCGCGCGAUCUAGCGCCUCCCCUCCUUCCCUGUUCGGCGUGCGGGCCAGCCUGGUCGGGCCGCGCUUCCUCGGAUUGCCGGUUUUGUACAGGAGGUGCUGCUAGUGGUGGGGAUCUAGUUUGGGCGAAAUCCCUGGUCGGCCAUGGCCGGCCGCAUCGACGACGACGCCCGAGGGCGCCGUUUCCCUCCUUGGAGGCGUCGGUAUGGACUGAUCCCCUCACUUCCCCUUCCCCUAGGUCUCCCGGGCGAAAGCCUUAACUUUGUUGGACGGCGGCGGCGCUCAAGGCGUCGUUCCCUUCUUGAAGGCACCGCUUUGGAACCUUGGGGCUGGGUGGCGCUUGUGGGUGGUGGGCGACGGCGGUGGUGCGACCCUAUCCUAGCAUGGAUCUCCGUCCUGCUUGGAGAUGGACUCGCGUAGGUGGAGGUCGUCGUUUGGCGUCAUGAUGGCGUCGAUGGCGGAGGCACCUGCCAAGGCUGGUACCUCAAUCUGAUCUGAAGAUGGACCAGUGGAAGAUGACGGCAACGACACAUGUGAGUGCGUCGGACCGGUUUGUGCCCCGGACCCGGUAUGUGGCUCGGUCAGGGUCUCCGGCUUUAGAUGUUAGGCUUAGGUGAGAGGUCUGGGUAUUUGGUCCAGCUUGCACCCCUUCAUCAUAUGGAUAGGAGUAGCGGCAGAUGUUGCCAAGAUGGCGGAUUCAGACAUAUUGUUGUACUUCUUUGUAAGGUCCUCGAGAAUAAUCAAUAAAAUGGCCGCAUGCAUCUCCCAGAUGCAGAGGCCGGGGGUCAUCUUCCUUUUCUAAAAAAAAAAAACCCUGCAUAGACUUAGAAAGAUGAGAAUCAUUGCACUCGUUCAAAACAUGACUGAACUCCACAUAUCUUUCAAGUUACUAUGCUCCCUGAGAAUAAUGUUGCCCUGUGGUUGCUCGGGAUUUAGGAUGCCAAGGAAUGCAAGUAAUUGUGGCAGCCGUGCCCCACGUUUUGCCUUGCGUGUCCGUUCAUUUGUUGAUCUAUUGGAGAUGCUCUUACUACCUCUAUUCUACUCCCUCCGUUCCUAAAUAUAAGUCUUUUAAAAGAUUUAAUUAGGUGACUACAUACAAAGUAAAAUGAAUGAAUCUAUAUUAUAAAGUAUGUCUAUAUACAUUCAUAUGUAGUUCUUUAAUAGAAUCUUUAGAAAGACUUAUAUCUAGGAACGGAGGAAGUAGUUUAGAUGAGAUAUUUACAAGCUCAUAUCACACCACCACACACAAGCACAACCACUGCAUCGAGAGCCAAAUCUUUCUCGGAAGCUUGUAUGGGGCUGAUCUUCAAAACUGUUAUCACGAAACAAACACCCCAACCAUGGUCAUCAAGACAUAAAAAAAAGCAGUUGACUCCAUUUGUGGAAGCUCGCUCAUGAGUCAUCACCAUUGGUCAUACAUAUACUAGUUUAACUUUGAAACAACAGUAUGGUUUGCACACUGAUUGUACAAAAUUUGCAUCCAUAUGCAAAUGUUGUACUCUGCGUUCGAACAACAGAACAAUAAUGUUUUAGAUUAAUUGUUUCUCAGCCAAUAUAAAGCAAGGGGGUUUUUUGCAAAAAACUUGCCACGUCGGCAUCUGAUAGACGGACCCUAUCGACCAGAGACACUGUUAAUACCUAUUUAUACGCGGUUUAGAUCUUUUUGUAACGGUUUGCCCAAAAUUUGAUACUAAUAUGUAAAAAUUACCAAUCUUCUUAAUACCAGUCUGCUUGUAAUGAUUCAAUUGUGAUACUUUUGUGCAAUUAACUCUAUAUAUAUGCACAACGAGAUAAUGUUGUUAACAAAAUCAUGGACGUGAACAUACAAUUUGAGCAUAUAUCUAGCUAGAAUUCCGAAUACAUGUCAAGUCAUAUUUUCUAUAACGUACGCAUGCAUGUAUUAGGCAUGUGAUGUGGCUUGCGUUGCCCCUUCGCCCUAUAUAUGUAUGCAACGCACCUCGUCGAUUUAAGCCAGCCAACCAACCAAGCGAGCCCUCAUAGGGGCGACAGAAAUGGGCAGCUCCAGCGACAUGAUCUUGUCUGCCGUCGACGACAAGGAACCAUUCCAGCCUCUCAACCAGGAGGACGUCCGCACCUACCUACACAAAUCCGUCGACUUCACCAAUGUGGAGUCCAUGCCGCGCGGUUCUCUUCCCGACGUCCAGCCGGGGUACCUGCAGCGCGAGUUCAUGUCGUCCCCGCCCACCUAUCCCUCGCCUUUCCAUGUCACCAUGAAGGAGCUCAGGGACUCCAUCGUCCCCGGCCGGCAUGACGCACUGGGCCAGCCCCAACUUCUUCGCAUUCUUCCCUGCCACCAACAGCGCCGCCGCCAUCGCCGGAGACCUCAUCGCCUCCGCCAUGAACACCGUCGGCUUCACGUGGCAGGAUGCCCCCGCCGCAACCGAGCUGGAGGCGCUCACGCUCGACUGGCUCGCACAACUCCUUGGCCUGCCAGCCACCUUCAUGAACCGCACCGUCGCCGGUGCCCGUGGCACAGGCGGUGCCGUCAUCCUCGGCACCACCAGCGAGGCAAUGCUGGUUACAAUCGUGGCUGCCCGUGACGCUGCGCUGCGCCGGAGCAGCUCCAUCGGUGUGUCUGGCCUGCCGCGCCUAGUGGUCUAGCUACGCCGCGGACCAGACCCACUCCACCUUCUUCAAGGCAUGCCGUCUCUCCGGCUUCGACCCCGCCAACAUCCGCUCCAUAUCCGUGCCGGGCCAGAAACCGACUACGGGAUCGACUCGACCAAGCUGCUCGAGGCCAUGCAGGCCGACGUCGAGGCUGGCCUCGUGCCAACGUACGUCUGUGCCACGUCUUCCAACGCCGUACGUCGACCCGGUUGGCGCUGUCGCCGACGUUGCUUCAUUGUUCGGCGCAUGGGUCCAUGUCGAUGCCGCCUACGCCGGCAGCGCUUGCAUCUGCCCGGAGUUCCGCCACCACCUCGACGGUGUGGAGCGGGUGGACUCCAUCAGCGUCAGCCCACACAAGUGGCUUCUCACCUGCCUCGACUGCACUUGCCUCUAUCUCUAUGUUCGUGAUGCUCACCGCCUGAGCGACUCCAUGCAUGGGCACCAACCCAGAGUACUUCAAGAACGAUGCUACCGAAUCAGGUGACGUGGCUGGUCUAAAGGACAUGCAGGUCGGUGUGGGCCGCCGCUUUCGUGCCCUCAAGCUAGCUCUGGAUGGUCAUGCGCACCUAUGGCACUUGCAAGCUCCAACAACACAUCCGAAGUGACGUCGCCAUGGCCAAGAUGUUUGAAUGUCUUGUCGGUGGGGACCCUCGAUUCGAGGUCGUCGUGCCUAGGAACUUUGCCAUGGUGUGCUUCAGGAUCAAGGCGAGUGGAGCCAUGACAGAGGAGGACGCCGAUGAGGCCAACCGUGUUCUGAUGAAGAACGUCAACAAGACCGGUAAGGCAUACCUUUCUCACACGGUGGUUGGCGAUAGGUUUGUGCUUCGGUUCGCCGUGGGGGUCAUCGCUACAGGAGGAGAGGCAUGUGAGGAGUGCGUGGGAGCUCAUCAAGAAGACAACCGGUGAGAUAAUCUUAUCUUAUCUUAUCUUACCUCUAUCCCUACUAAUAAAUCACAUAUUGCUUAUGCGGUACGUCAUUAAAAUUGCCUCUAAAACUCUCUAAUAUUGCCCACCAGUGCCACUAUAUAAGUUAUAAAAAAACGUUUUGCAGGGAAUCCUCGCAUGGGCCGGCCCAAGCAUAGGGACCAGCUAUACUACGCUCUGCUCGCUGGAAAAUACACAACACGUCCAUUUUGGCCAGCCCAUCGGAGGGGCCUAUUUUUUUAGUUUUUUAGUUACUAUUAUUUAUCUGUUCCUUUUUAUUUUUUCUAAUUCAAAUUAAUCAAAAGUAAACUUUAGAAAUUCAAAAAAUUAUAUUUACAUAAAUGUUUCAUAAAACAUAAAAUGUUUGCAAAUUCAAAAAUUGUUCGGAAUUUUUGUAAAAAUAUUUACAUAUUAAAAAAUUGUAAUUUUGGAGAAAACAUUCGUGAUUGAACCGCUCUAAAGCUCUAAAGGUCAGCUUCUCAGGCUCGAUACCGGGAGUCACGCACUUGAACCGCUUCCAAACCCUGCCCGACAAGGAUAAUGAUUUGCUAAGUUUUUCAUUAAUUGAUAUAUCAGAAAAUCAUCGAGACCGAUAGAGCGCAAGAAUGAUUGAAAUUACCCUUGGAGCAUGUCCUGCAGGCUUUGGAACUAUUCCAAGGGUCUCGAUAAUGGGUCGAAGGCAUCAACUCUUCCCUUAUCAAUUUGAAUGUCCAACAGAAUCCAAUGGAAGCUGCACAUGUGUGUGUGUGUCAGUAACUUAUCAAUUACACUUAUAAGUGAAUGGACACAACAGAGUAAAGACCCUCACCUGAAGUUGUAUGGAAACAGUAUGUGGUCACAGAAAUUUUGAUCUGUUAGAAACCUUAGAAGGUUUUCCUCCGUCUCCUUGGGUUUAUCAGUUAGCGUCGCUAUAUGUAUUUUAUCUCGGUCAAUAAACCCAAUAUUUAGGAUGUUCUUUCUUUUACAAUCCAGAAUCUUCAUUCUGCAUAAUAGAGUACAAGUUAUAUAUAGACAAUGAAUUAAAAUAACUAAACAAGUUAUAUGUAGACAACGAAUUGAAAAACUUACACACAAUAGCAACUCAUAAGCGAUUUGUCGAGGGCGUCGCCAUUGUACAUCUGGAAGAGUUCAUCAAAGUCGAUAUGGAUUUCUUCGGGGCGGCCGUAGUACUCCCGUGGGACACUCAGCACGACCAUCGUUCUCCCAUUCUUUGAUUCACUUAAGUACCAUGUAUGCAAGUAACGCAUAUUUGUUGGGAGAUCAUCUUUGCUGACCAAAGGCGCUCCCAUGACAAACUGUGGCUUAGGGGCUACCACAGCCUUGGGUAACCUGUCGUGUUGGGAAGCCAGAAUGUCUUCAACCGAGAUACCCCAUUCAGCCGCCCACUUCUUUGCUAAUUCGAAAUCUUGCCCCUGCACCGGAGGGGGGACAUUCUCUGUUAACACCUUGAGGGGUGGGAUCGACUGUUUGGCCUGUUGUCCAAGCUGAGGAACGUCUGAUUUUUUCUUGCUUGUAGUUGAACUUGAUUUGCUCCCACUUGCACUUGCACGUGAUCUGCUCUUUUUCACUUCCUUCUGCAAUGUGCGUGUAUAGUCAUCAGGCUUAUGGUGUAAGUCAUAAUGUGAUGGAAGGGUCGUGAAGUAUUUUGCAAAUGCUAUUUGCUUCUCGGUGUAUUCCGGGCGGGGCUCGGGUUCCUUCUUUUUCAUCUGCGCAUCAUGAUGUUCCUUUGCUAUCCUGGCGUUUUCCUCGGAGGUACGAUCAUAAGGUCUGAUAGGAAGAUUAGCAUGAGGUACCUUUGGGAGGGGCGACCGUUUGCGCUUUGGGGGGCUCCGUCGCUUAGAAAUCGUCGGCGGAGCAUUCUUGGUGGCACGCUUCCGCUUAGUAUCCGGAGCGGGCGGCGGCGGAGACGGACGACCCAAGUCCGGCGGCGGUGAUCGAGAUGGACUCGUGUUGUGUUGGCCGACGUCAUGUGGAGGGCUUGGAGGUAAUGGAGGUGUAGGUGACCUGCGACGACUCGGUGGCGGUGUUGUCCUUGGGGCCGAGCCUGGAAGCUUGAUGUAGUUCUUGUCCCAUAGGAUGACUCCACCCAGUACUUCUUCGAGUGUCCUCUCAUCUUCGGGUCCAGCUAUGUCGAGUUCCAUAUCAUGAAACCCCGCCAUGAUUUCAUCCACCCCGACUUUAGCAAAGCCAGCUGGAAUCUCACGCCCAUGCCAGCGUGCAUCAGGGCCAGAAGGUAAAGCUUGUCCGACGGCCACCUUCAUGGAUAUGUUCUUGAAUUUCUGAUGGAGUUCACAUGAUGUUGACUCCUUGAUUCCAUCCACGGGGUAGCCGGGACCGCCCUCUAUCAUUCUUCGUGCAUCGUCGGGCGGGGCAUCAGAUUCAGCCACGCUGCUUUUCCGCUUAGAUGGGGCGGGGCAACAUUGAAAUGCCUUCCAGUGAUUCGCCUGCUUGGCUAGAUACCCCUCGAAUACUGGCACUUUCUUUGUCUUCAGAUAGUUUUUCCAUAGCUUCUUCUUCCAGCUACGGAACAGUUCGGCCAUCUUCUUCAGAGUCCACUGCUUGACUUUGGCCCUCAGUUUGUGUGCGGCGUCUUCAUUCUCACAUUCUGGCAGGUUGAAAUGUGACAUGAGAUCAUUCCAAAGAUUAUCUUUGUACCUUUCGGCGACAUAGUCACUAUCGGCUGCCCCUUUGCGCUUGUUCGACUCCCGAACGCUGAUCGGGACGUGAUCCCUAACGAGAACUCUGCAUUGCUUCUUGAAUGUGUCAGCAACAUUCUUAGGAAGCUUGGGUUCGCCCGUAGGAAAUAUCACCUCAAAGGUGUAAUGCGUCCGUGCAUCCAACUUUCUAGUCGGGCCUCGUUUCGUAGUUUUGCUCGAUGUGGAGGCCUAAGAGGGAGAAACAUUCGUCAAAUGAAUGUAUAUGUAUACAAUAUAGAUCUAUCUCCAAUAUUUUUCACAUAUUACAAGUGAUUUUCGAACUUCAUAUGUAUACCUCGCCGGACUUUAUUAUUUCUUCACCGGCUUCUCCAUCAGUGGAGCUAUCACCUUCUCCGUCAUUGGACCUAUCUCCUGCUCCAUCGGCUUCAUCUUCGUGUCGCUCGACCUCCAUUCCAACGUUCUGGUUUAGAUAUGACGACGGAGAUUCAGCUGGUUCAACGUCGGGGCCGUCUUUGAUUAUAUCUUCGAGAAGUUCUUCCUCUUCGAGGUUCCUGAUAUGUGGAUCCAUAGUUCUGCAAAAAACGGAUUCUCUUAACCUUUGUACCAAAAAAGAAUUAUUCUAUCAGGAAGUCCGUUCCAAAACAACUUAAGUCCGAGGUCAUGGCUCCACCCGGGACUCCUAGAUUUCCGCAUAGUAUUCAAAGUAGGAGUACUUUUCCAAUUUAAGCAUUCAAUAAGCAAAACCAAAUCGUAAAAUAAAGUAGUAUUCAAAUUAGCAAGCAUUCAAUUAUAAGUUAAUACAUCAUCACUUUUGUCCGUACAUCGUCGAAUAUUAUCACUAAUACUCCUCGAAUACUAUCAUACAUAUAGCAUCACUGAUACAUCUAGAACCGUAGCGCCCGACGGGUAUCGGCGCGGGCGGUGGACACCCAAAGAGAAGGAACCAUCACAGGAUCAUAGCUCCAGUGAGAUCCCCGAAGAACCUGCCAGGUAUGCUCGAACCUGCCCUCCAACGCAACCAUGUAGCGACGGACGUGCUCAUCCUCCUCGCUGACACGGUGACGUACCACCUCCGCGGUGUCUGGAAGCCUCAGCACCCUCACUGGCCCACGCGACCAACACCAAACAAGGAUCGGGUCAACGACGGGCUGGCUCCUCACCAACCUACGCCCCCCGGAAGGUAGCACCUCCCAAUACCAGCCGGGCGGAGCCCAGUCCCGGACAGGGCCCCUCUGAUCAAGCAGGUGUCCUCCGCCGAGUCGACGACGAGGAUGCGGGAUAGGCAUCGUAAAAUAAACUAAAAAAAUAAACUAGUUCUAUUAAUUUUCUUGCUAAAAAUAAACUAUUAACACUUAAGCAUAUACAAUAGCAAAAUUAAACUAUUAACACUUAAGCAUAUACAAUAGCAAAAUUAAGCAAUAAUCUAAGAAACACUAUUAACACUUAAGCAUAUACACUAUACAAUAGCAAAAUCAAAUGACAAAAAAAAUAUUUCUUCUUCUUGUAACCAUAAACUAUUUUUUCCUCUUCUUCUAUUUCUCCUCUUCUUCUACUUCUUCUUCUACUUCUACUUCUCCUCUUCUUCUACUACUUCUCCUCUUCUCUUCUUCUACUUCUCCUCUCCUCCUCUUCUAAUUUUUUCUCUUCUUCUACUUCUCCUCUUCUUCUAUUUUUCCUCUUCUUCUAUUUUCAUUGAUCUCCAAACGGUAUUCAGGCUUCGACAUGUCAGGACUUCGAAGGCUCAUAUGGCAGUUGCCUUGAUCGACGAGGAAUAUGGUAAUAUGAAGACCAAUUUCCCAAAGUCUCAACACAAACUUUGGGAGAAGGCCCCACUUGAUCGUAUCAACAUUGAAUCAAAUUAUAGGGAAAAUUGAAACUAUAUUAGAAAUUAUAGUUUCAAUUUUUAUAGGGAAAAUUGAAACUAUAUUAGAAAUUAUAGUUUCAAACUAAGUCACAAAAAUUGAAACUAUAUUAGAAAUUAUAGGGAAAAUUCAAUAUAAAUUCAAAUGAUAAUUUAGAUUGAAUUUUCUCUAUGAUUUCGAAUAUAGUUUCAAUUUUUUUCUAUUUUCAUAAUUAAUAAUUUUGACUAUCCAAACUAUUAUCUAUUUUGUUAUUUUCAAUUAAAAACUAUGUUUACUAAAAAUUCUUUUUGCAUAUUUGAGAAUUUGACAAAACUAUGAUAAUGAAAAGUGUUUCAAAUUGAAUAAAUAAUGCAAAACUAUUUUUUAUUUUCAUAAUUAAUAAUUUUGAGUAUCCAAACUAUUAUCUAUUUUGUUAUUUUCAAUUAAAAACUAUGUUUAUUAAAAAUUCUUUUUGCAUAUUUGAGAAUUUGGCAAAACUAUGAUAAUGAAAAGUGUUUCAAAUUGAAUAAAUAAUGCAAAACUAUUUUUUAUUUUCAUAAUUAAUAAUUUUUACUAUCCAAACUAUUAUCUAUUUUGUUAUUUUCAAUUAAAAACUAUGUUUAUUAAAAAUUCUUUUUGCAUAUUUGAACUCCAUACUUUUUGUGUGUUCAAAAUGCACCAUUCUAAGGCACAUCACAAAAUUUCAACAAUUUCUGACUUCAUUUGGUAUUCUUCGUGCAUUUACUUAUUAUUUUUUUGAGCUAGUUGACCCUGAAAUUGAAAAGCACUACAAAUGAACUCUAAAAAUGUUGAAAGUUGGCAUGCUAUAAUCAUUUCACCCACAUAGCAUGUGUUAAAAAGUUGAGAGGGCUACGACAAAAACUGGAUGCAGUUCGUGUACAAAACGGACAAUCUCUCUCGAAGUAGCAAGGCUUCGAACGAGAACUCAUCUCUUACAAAGGGAUUUCAAUUUUUUGAACUUAUUUGAACUCCAUACUUUUUGUGUGUUCAAAAUGUACCAUUCUAAGGCACAUCACAAAAUUUCAACAAUUUCUGACUUCAUUUGGUAUUCUUCGUGCAUUUACUUAUUUUUUUUGAGCUAGUUGACCCUGAAAUUGAAAAGCACUACAAAUGAACUCUGAAAAUGUUGAAAGUUGGCAUGAUAUCAUCAUUUCACCCACAUAGCAUGUGUUAAAAAGUUGAGAGGGCUACGACAAAAACUGGAUGCACUUCGUGUACAAAACGGACAAUCUCUCUCGAAGUAGCAAGGCUUCGAACGAGAACUCAUCUCUUACAAAGGGAUUUCAUUUUUUUUGAACUUAUUUGAACUCCAUACUUUUUGUGUGUUCAAAAUGCACCAUUCUAAGGCACAUCACAAAAUUUCAACAAUUUCUGACUUCAUUUGGUAUUCUUCGUGCAGUUACUUAUUUUUUUGAGCUAGUUGACCCUGAAAUUAAAAAGCACUACAAAUGAACUCUGAAAAUGUUGAAAGUUGGCAUGAUAUCAUCAUUUCAUCCACAUAGCAUGUGUUAAAAAGUUGAGAGGGCCACGACAAAAACUGGAUGCAUUUCAUGUACAAAACGGACAAUCUCUCUCGAAGUAGCAGGGUUUCGAACGAGAACUCAUCUCUUACAAAGGGAUUUCAUUUUUUUGAACUUAUUUGAACUCCAUACUUCCUGUGUGUUCAAAAUGCACCAUUAUAAGGCACAUCACAAAAUUUUAACAAUUUCUGACUUCAUUUGGUAUUCUUCGUGCAUUUACUUUUUUUUUGAGCUAGUUGACCCUGAAAUUGAAAAGCACUACAAAUGAACUGUGAAUAUCUUGAAAGUUGGCAUGCUAUCAUCAUUUCACCCACAUAGCAUGUGUUAAAAAGUUGAGAGGGAUACGACAAAAACUGGAUGCACUUCGUGUACAAAACGGACAAUCUCUCUCGAAGUAGGAGGGUUUCGAACGAGAACUCAUCUCUUACAAAGGGAUUUCAUUUUUUUGAACUUAUUUGAACUCCAUACUUUCUGUGUGUUCAAAAUGCACCAUUCUAAGGCACAUCACAAAAUUUCAACAAUUUCUGACUUCAUUUGGUAUUCUUCGUGCAUUUACUUAUUUUUUUUUUAGCUAGUCGACCCUGAAAUUGAAAAGCACUACAAAUGAACUCUGAAAAUGUUGAAAGUUGGCAUGCUAUCAUCAUUUCACCCACAUAGCAUGUGUUAAAAAGUUGAGAGGGCUACGACAAAAACUGGAUGAACUUCGUGUACAAAACGGACAAUCUCUCUCGAUGAUGGUCGCUACUCCUACUUCCCCUAGUACAUAACCAAUAUAUAGCACAAGGAGAAGAAGGAGAAGCGACCCCCACAACAAAAGUGGUUCCGCGGCACGCCACGUGGUUCCGCUGCACGCCACGUGGGACUAAUGGUCUUUCAUUUUUAAAUGACUGUUUUAAUCAAAAACAGAUCUGUUACAAAAGGGAUUUCAUUUUUUGAACUUAUUUGAACUGAAGACUUUUUGUAUAUAUAUGUGGUCGAAAUGCAUGAUACCAUGAAGUUAGAAAGGGCUAAACCAUUCAAAAGUAGCAAAUGAAGUUAGAAAGGGCUAAACCAUUCAAAUUUGGAAACUACAAUGACACAAACAGAAACUAGACAUAUAUAAAUUGGUCCAAGCAGUACAUGAUACUAGUCCAAACAGUACAUAAUAAUAGCUACCAUAGAUAUAUAUACAAGUGUUCGACGUUGAGAACACUACUCGUCUGAAUCGUCUGAAUCAGAAUGUCCACCUUCCUCGAGGUGACGCUGGCCAUAGUUGACGACUCGAAUCUUGCGGUACAACUCGUAUGAAACGUAUGCAUCUUUUGCUGCAUACUCAAUGUUGAUAGGAUCAAGUGGGCCCUUCUCCCAAAGUUUGUGCUGAAACUUUGGGAAACUGGUCUUCAUAUCACCAUAUCCCUCGUCGAUCAAGGCAACUGCCAUAUGAGCCAUUGAAGUCCUGUCAUGUCGAAGCCUGAAUACCGUUUGGAGAUCAACGAGGCAACCAGCUGGUAUCUCAAUACCGAAGCUGUGCCUCAUCUUCAGCUUGUCGUUCCUUAUGUCAACGGAAGCAAAAGUGAUGCCGCUGCGAAGGAAGUCCAUGAGUUCUGGACAAUCCUUGUCACUCCUGCAACAGAAACAAAUUAAAAUGGAACAAAUGUUACAUACUGCUGCAAUAAGGAAACAUGUUUCACUACAACUAAAGAGAAAAUUAUCUUUAGGAUUCAAAUAGAACAUAUGCAAUGGAACCUAGAGAGAUCACUAUAGCUAUCCAAUGGAACCUAGAGAGAUCACUAGCUAUAUGCAAUUUUCAUGACUAUGACAUAUCAUAUUGCUAUCCAAUGGAACCUAGAGAGAUCACUAGCUAUAUUCAAUUUUCAUAACCUUGGAUCAAAGAACACCGCAUAAAAUUGUAUCACUACAACUAUGAUUUCAAUGGAACAUAUUGAACCAAUCAGAUUUUUCAGAUUGUGGAACACUAUUCUAAUCAGAUUGUGUUCCCUUCAACUAAUCAAAAUUGUUUCACUACAACUAUUUGAAGCGAACCAACUAUGAUUCCAAUGGAACAUAUUAAACACUAGUUGAUUCUAAUACGAUUUUUCAAAUUAUGGAACACUAUUCCAAUCAGAUUGUGUUCCCCUUCAACUAAUCAAAAUUGUUUCACUACAACUAUUUGAAGGGAACCAACUAUGAUUCCAAUGGAACAUAUUAAACACUAGUUGAUUCUAAUACGAUUUUUCAGAUUAUGGAACACUAUUCCAAUUAGAUUGUGUUCCCCUUCAACUAAUCAAAAUUGUUUCACUACAGCUAUUUGAAGGGAACCAACUAUGAUUGAAACAAAUAAACUUACAAUGUCAUUAUCUUGGAUCAAAGAAAGCCUCAAAACUUACCUCGCCCAUUGGAAGAUCAAGACAUGGCGUGCGAAGCAUAGUUGGAUUUCGGCAACACCGCGUUGAUCGGCCGUGUACUCCAAAUCAAGCCCCAAGAACUUCUCAUGAUCCACUGCGUUGUCAAACCAUUUUUCCUUCAACUGUUGAAGAAAAAACGGCACCUCCCUGCUCAGGUUCGUGUACACGACAUCGAGCAUGGUCGUGCCAUGUGCGAGCACCUUAUGAAAGCUAGUUGGCAUGGUGGAAGAAGAGAAGGGAAGAAGAGAGGAGAAGAACAGAGAGGGAGAGCAGAGAGAAGAAGAAACAGAGAAAUGGCGACUGUACGCUUCGGUUCGUGUUUUUCAUCGCCCGAAACGACGCGGGAUGCAAACCGUUUGGGUCUUUAGUCCCGGGUUGAGCCACCAACCGGGACUAAAGAGGUAUACCAACGGUUGCCACCACUACGGCAGGCCACGUGUUAGUCCUUUAGUCCCGGAUUGAGCCACCAACCGGGACUAAAAGGGGAUACGAACGGUUGCCACCACCACUGCCCGCCGCGUAGCCCUUUAUUCCCGGUUUGGGACACGAACCGGGACUAAAGGCUCCUUACGGGCCGGGACUAAAGCCUCGAGGGAGGCAUUGAGAAUUGGGGCGACGUGGUCGGGCCUUUAGUCCCGACCCAGAGGCAGGCCGGGACUAAAGGGUCCCGGCUAAAGGCCCGUUUUCCACUAGUGUGAGAUGGUAGACUGCACAUGCAUCAUGCAUGGCUGCUCAUGCAUGCAUUGGCUCAGUACAAGAUCACUAUACGUACACCUACACCAUCACUGCAUGAAUACACUACAGAUGUGCAACUAGGAGGACCCUUAAUGCGUCAGCCAAUGAAAAUAACAACAUCCAAAAUGAAUAUUAAUGAUGACGGGAAAUAAGGAAUACUAAAUUUUCAUUAGAUGCCUAAGGCUGGCCAUAGUGGGAGUAACUUAGAGCAUGGUUAAUAGUAUAGCCAACUGCUGGCUAUAAGCCAUCUUAUAGCACAUCUUAUAGCUAGCUUGUACAAUAGUUAGCUAUAAAAGAGUACUACUUUUAUCAUAUAUGACCCACCUUUCAUUCUUACAAAGUACCUACGAGCACGUGCUAGAGCUAGCUCUUCACGAAGAGCCCGCUUCCCUUCUUUCUCCUCUUCUCUUUCAUCCAACUCAGCAAAAAUAUACUAUUUUAAUCCUUACACCCUGCUGACUGUAUCUUAUUAUACUUGCUCUUAGAUAGUAUCAUGUACUUGAGAGUAGCAAACAUGCUGAUGUGACAGACAAUUAAAGAAGAAAAAGAGGGUUAGAGUAACAUAGGUAGAUACCGUAUCAUGUUAAAUGUUAUGCUAGUAUGUGUCUUGCAUGUCAAUAAAUGAGGUCAUCUACUAUCAUAGUUUAUGAUACUAUCCAUUAUGAAGGUAGUAUCAUACAAUAGUAUCAUAUGCAUGAUACUACUACAUGAUACUCUCCACUGCCUUAUGCACCUACACGAAGGGAGUGCUCUCCUCAUCCUCUUCUUUGCAAAGCCAUUUACUUCACAAACAUCUAUUCAUAACUCCUAGAUCUACUCCUAGUACCCCUCUGAUCCACAGAUCGACAAAAAUAUUCCCAUCUGACAAGAUUAUAUUUACAAGUGUAUUCAAGGAUCACAUGAAAUGUGACAGACAUGAUCGUAACAAUCUUCCGAACAUAACGUUUUACAAUGUAUGUCAUUACUCGCACCUCGAGUAUGUUGUAAACACACCAACUUCCAAAAAAGAGAGUAUGUUGUAAACUUGGCCUAGGAACGCCAUUCUACCUGGUUUAGAAAAGUUUGUUUUAAUCAAUCACACAAAGGGAGAGGAAUCCCCACCCGUAUAUAAAUGUGAUUGAUCUUGCUUAUGUGGGAAACCGGAUCGGAAACCAUCAAUCCAGUUCAUGAUAUAAGAAAAACCUUGACAUACAUCCUGCCGAAGCAAGAAUACAAUACAACACAAAGAUCAACAACCUAAACAUGAUGUACACAUAUAAGUUAUUUAAUGUAGGCCCAUGAUUUGCAGAUGGGAUCACCGCAUACAUUAAACUUACAGUGUUGCAUGAAUCACUCAUACUGUUUACAUACAGCCGGGGCCAGGGCCGAAUCAAGGCUAAUCUAAUAAAGCACUCCAGAUUGAGUUGUUCUAACUAACCAUGAAUAUGGACGUGCAACUAGUUUACUAUUUGCGGAUGAAGGGUAAUAUAGUCUUGUUCACGUGUAAAGGAUCGCUGGCGUGAAUCCGUCAUAUCUACUUCAUCCGUUUCUAAAUACAAGUCUUUUUUAAAAUUCUAUCAAGGAACCACGUAUGGAUGUAUAUAUAAAAUCUUUAAAUAAGUAUUUGUAGGUGUAGCAUUACUCGUCGAGCAACUUCUCAUACCUAGUGCUAGUACAAUAAUGCUAGAACUUGAAUUCAACUAGGGCGAGCCCCUUCAUCCCUUAUUAUCAGUCAUAGUUAAGUAUGUCUUUGUUUGUACUCCGUCCGUCUCAUAAUACAAAACUGUCUUUGAUAUUACUAUAUAUUUUCUUUAUAUCUAAAUAAUUGUAGUUGAAAAAAAACUAGACUAAGUUUUUUAACUAAAAUUAUUUGGAGAAUGCUAGGCAUCCACCGAUGGAUUUGUAGUAACCAUCCACCAUCAUUUUAGCCGUCCGAUGCGUACGCGUGCACCGUUCGAUCGCCAGCUUGGUCGUCUCCGUCCACCACACAAAAUCCUGAAACAACGCUCCAGUUGCGGAAACAAGCAUGCUGCUACGUCGUUCGACUGACGGGUUAAAAAUGACUGACGGGUCUUUCGCAACAUAGAUUAUGUUGUAAUUUUUUUGCAGCAAAAGAGCAUGUUGCGAAAACGUUCGUAUAUUUUUUUUGCAAUAGAAUUUGUUAUAGAAUAUUUUCUGCAACAAGGAUCGUGUUGUAGAAAUUUUUGCAACAAAUGUCAUGUUGCAAAAAACUGUUGCAACGUAGGUCAGGCUGUAGAAAACUUUUGCAACAAAAGAUAUUUGUUCCAAUUUUUUAAAACAGAGACCAAGUUGCAGAAACUCGUCAUUACGCCUACUUGCACUAUGCAAUCGUAGAAAUCGACCGACUGAUGGGAAGAGUUUUCCUUGUUAUAUAAUAUUUUCCACAGCAAAGCGGAAACAUAUGUAGAAUUCUUUCUCUACAACAAAAGUCUUGUUGCACAAAUAUUUUGCAACCGAGUGUUUGUUGUAGAUUUUUUUCUGCAACAGUAGGAUGCAAGCUAGGUGAGCGUACAUAAGGCAAGCGUUGCACGAGCGAGAGGCGUCUACCCUCAAGAGAUUUAGAUUCAGAUCCUGCAACAUAGGACGUGUUGCGGUACGCAAUCUGUAAUAAACGUUAAGUUACAGAAUGACAAACUAGAUGAGUUUAAAUAGGACACGCGUCACACGAUCGAGACGGCGAACGUCCGACGUGCGAUCCGUCGGCUGGAGUACAACGUUUCCCUAAUUAUUUAGAUACCGAAAAAGUAUUAAUGAGCAUGAAAUUUAACCUUUUGCUAGAUGCUUGCACCGGCCAGGAGUCGCCCGGUUGUUUUCAGAUUCCAAAAAUAAAGUCAUGUGAGGUAGGCAAACAAAACAAGUGAUGGCACGCAAGUUCACGCGCCGAUAGAGACAAGAAAAGAAAUGCACACCUUGCAUGACAUUGAUCCUUCACCAACUCAUCGCCGGUCACUAUACUAUACUACACACUGCACACCGAGUGCGAUCGAGAGCUAGCUACCUUCAUCGAGCGACAAUGGCGUCCGACCGCCUCAGCGCGCUCAGGGCCUUCGACGACACCAAGGCCGGCGUCAAGGGCCUCGUCGACGCCGGCGCCACAGCCAUCCCGGCCAUCUUCCACCACCCUCCCGACUCCUUCACCCCGUCCACUCUCACCACCGACGUCGCCGUCCCGGUCGUCGACCUCUCCUGCAGCCGGUCGGACGCGGUCGGCGCGGUGAAGGCCGCGGCGGAGACGGCCGGCUUCUUCCUGCUGGCGAACCACGGCGUGCCGGAGGCGGCCAUGUCGGGUAUGCUGGCGGCCGUGCGGCGCUUCAACGAGGAGCCGACGGAGGCCAAGGCGCCCUACUACACGCGGGACGCGGCGAGGCGCGUGCGGUACAGCUGCAACGCCGACCUCUUCCAGACGCUGGUCGGCAAGUGGCGCGACACCAUUUACAUGGACGACGCGGACGAGGACGACGCGGAGCUCCUCCCGCCGGCGUGCAGGGGCGUCGCGCCGGAGUACACGGGGCAGAUGCGGCGGCUGGGGCGCGCCCUCUUCGAGCUGCUGUCGGAGGCCCUGGGGCUGCCUCCUGGGUACCUGGAGGAGGAGGCCGGCGGCAUGGAGGCGCUGAGCGUGGCCGGGCACUACUACCCGGCGUGCCCGGAGCCGCACCUCACGAUGGGCACCGUCAAGCACUCGGACCCCAGCUUCCUCACCGUGCUGCUCCAGGACGGCGUCGGCGGCCUCCAGGUUCUCGUGGACGACGACCUCGAGGAUGCAGCGUGGGUGGACGUGCCGGCGGUGGGGGAGGCGUCGCUGGUGGUGAACGUCGGCGACUUCCUGCAGCUGGUGUCCAACGACAGGUUCAAGAGCCCGGUGCACCGCGUGGUGUCCAGGAGAGUGGGGCCCCGGGUGUCGGUGGCGUGCUUCUUCCGGGCGAACGGCGCGACGGUGUGCGCGCCGGCGGUGGUCGACGGGAGUGGCCCGCCGCGGUACAGGAGCGUCAAGGCGGAGGAGAUGCUCUGCGUGUCCAACACACAGACACGACUCAACAACUUGAGGCUCUAGCUAGCUUACCCUCCGUUCAAAAGAAACAAGCUAUGUCACGCUCCGUUGUACUGCAAACUGCUAUUCCCUCCGUUUUCAAAUAUAAGUUUUUUUAAAGAUUUCACAUACAUAUGUAUAUAGACAUAUUUUAAAAUAAUUUAUACAUAGUCUUUUAUUAAUAAAAUAUUAAAAAACAUAUAUUUAAGAAUGGAAGGAGUAUAUCAUAGGCAUGAUGGUUGAUCAUCGGGUCGUCGUUGUGUAGAGAAUUCCUCUUUCAACUACUCCGAAACUCAUAGGAUAGAGGUUGCCAUCAUGGGCCCUUCCAAUGACAACAAAUAAUUUAAGCUCGAAAAUACUUUUAAUGAGAAAGUGAACUAUGGCCUUAAAGUUAACUUUUAUAAAAUUGAAUUGUUUCGUUUCGGAGAGGCUAAAGGCGUGUCUACACAAUACGCGGACCUGUUCAGUUGUGCAUAUGCCUAAUUCUUGAUAAAAUAUUCAAAAAUUCUAAUUCAUUAUCAACGUCUCACUAGUCACUGAUAUUGCAGAGUGGAAAUGUGUUUGAUAGUGCUUAGAGGAACAUUUGAGCAGUUUGAAAGGUAAGCAGUUUGCUCUCCGUUACAGGACGACUCGUUCUGAUAAAACUCUAUUCUCACAAACAUGACUCAUUACAUGCUCUUCUUUUUUGAGCUCCCAAAUGCAGGCUGGAUUAUUUUCGAUCCAUAUCCUUUUCGCAAGGAGACAGUACAUAGAAAAUGUAUAGGCUUGAAGCUUGAAGACUCGCAUUUUGGAGAUGGUUUGACGGUGGCAAAGGAACUAUUAUAUUCUGUUUCGGAACUUUCGCGAUGAAGGAAGACUCGAAGAUAUGUUUUUGGGAGGAAAAGUGGACAGGAAAUGUCACUCUUCAGGAUGAUACAACAUUCUUCCGAUAAGGAUGAUAAUCUUGUGCAUGUCCUCAACUUCUCCCCGCCAGAACUAUCCUUUAGACGGUUUUUGAUCAACCCUCAUCUUGUUUCAUGACAUCAUCUUCUAUCCCGUUUGAAUUCGAUUAACCUGACUCAAAGACGGAAUGUGUUUGAGUGGAAUCUAAUUGCAAACGGGCCCUUCUCGGCCGACUCUAUGUACCGGAUUGAUUUUCACAUAAUUCUGUACCACCAAUCCUUGUCCACUGCCCUUGAUUUUCAUAAAGUAAGGGCUUGCUGGUACUCGCGAAAUCCCGAACUGAAGUAGACGGCUCAGAUCAUCCCUUCGUGGAAAAUCCACUUUAAUACCUCUGUGGUUCCACCCUCUCAAGUGACCAUCGGAGGGUAGUAGAAACCAGCCUCCUAAGCUGAUUGACCAACCCCUCCUCCGUCAUCAUAACUCCCAUCACUCGCACCAACCCAAUCCUCGGGCUCUCAAGUCGUGGUCUAGUGGAGUUCAAACCGGUGGUCUCGAAGAACAUUGAUAUUUCCCGAGUGCAAGGAAUCAUCGUAGCACUUUCAAGAUGGAAGUGGUAAGUAUGGAGUGUCGAACUCACAAAGAGCUAAAGGUAAGGUCAAUAUUUUCCCAAGUCCUAUCUGCCACCAAUACGACUCUACGUACACCAAGUGUUUGCUUCUAUCUAGUAACGAGAAAGAAAAUUGCGUUGUGGGCAUAAAGAGGAUAACUUUGCAUGAUAUUAGAGAACUAAAAUAUGAAAAUAGUUGCUGCAUUAAAUAGAGUUAGAAUAUAUUACAAUAUAUUACAAAAAGCGAGUGUGGAAUAAUGAUGGUAUGGUGCGUCGAAUCAUUCUAGGCAAUUGAUGAUGAGAUCAGUAAUCAUUCUUGCAAUUUUAUAUGAGAGAGAGGCAUGAGCUAGCAUACUUUUCGUACUUGGAUCAUAUGAACUUAUUAUUGGACCUCUCGCAAGCAUCCGCAAGUACUAGAAAUCAUUAAGAUAAAACCCAAUCAUAGCCUUAAGUAUCAAGUCCUCUUUAGUCCCAUACGCGCACAACUCUCUUCCUUGGAUGUAAGUUUUUAUCAUUCUCGCCACCCACUAUAAAAUAUUCAUGAACAUAUUGCAACACCCUCCAAUGUGAAUCUUUCACGUGUGUGCCUCACGAAAAGAACCUUAGGACAGCCCCAAAAUCAAACAUACACUCGAACCGUAGUGUGCCGUAGACUGCCUCCCUAAUCAUGACUCCCCUGUUGGGGCUAAAGGAAAUACUUGACUUUGCCGUACUUACCCGCUGGCCAGAGCUGGUACAGUAAGUAUCUAAGAUCCUCCUCAAAGUACUAGCAUCAUGACCAUUAGCUCUCAUAAGAAUAAUGGAGUCAUUGGUAAACAAUAAGUGAGAGAUGGAGGGAGCAUUUCUGCUCACUCGAAUACCUUUGAUUCCUCCAGUCUUCUCCUCGCGGGCCAACAUACUCGACAACCCCUCUGAACAUAAUAGAAAUAAGUACGGUGACAACGAGUCUCCCUAUCGUAGCCCCCUCAUGGGAACAAACUCGUUCGUCUACGUGUUGUUAAAUUUGAUUAUGUAGCUCACAGAGGAGACACACUCCAUAUGAUCAAUUCCAUCCAAAAUGGGUGGAACCCCACCUUCAACAUCAUUUGUUGUAAGAAUCCCUACUCAACUCUGUUAUAUGCCUUGAGCAUGUCCAAUUUAACAGCACAUAUACCAUUGGUUUUAUGGGUCUUCUUCUUUAUUGCAUCAGAUUUGGUUUCCUCCAAACUAAAUGAACCCUUACGAGUCCGUGUUGCGCAUGUCCCUCGCCUGGGUCACACACCACACCUUUACACGAUUUCUCUUCUUCUUCUUUUUCUUAAUUUCACUUUGAACAAAUCGCGAUAGCCAGAGGGGUGCGGCUAUGCCUCACCUAUAGUGAGUCGGUAGAAGCACUCAUCUGAAGCACCUUCACCAAUGGGCUGGUAUAGCACGCAUGGCUUUUGGAGCUCAUUUUUUCUUAGUUUCUUUGCAUUUUGUUUAUUUUUUGCUUCCUUUUUUGUGUUUAUUUAUAUUUGGAAAUAUUCAUCGUAUAUAUAUUACAAAAGUAAAUUUACAUAAAUUUUGUAAAAAUCUUAAUCAUGCAUUUGAAAAAAUGUUAAACGUGUAUGGAAAAAAAUCUAAUGUAACCAAAAAAUGUAUAAGGUAUAUGAAAAAAAUAGAUAUCAAAACAUAAAUAUAAAUAACUUUUAAUCAUAUAUUUAGGAAAUUUUAAAUAUGCAUAUAAAAAUACAAGGUGUAUGUAAAAUAUACGACGCGUAUGAAAAAAGUGUAGACAUGAAAAAUUUCAAAUGAAAAAUUAUUAGUCAUGCAUUUUAAAAUGUUUAACAUAUAUAAAAAAUGCUUCUAAUGGAUACAAAUAAUGUACAACGUGUAUGAAUAAAAAGAUGUUAAGAACUGAAAAUAUAUAAAUAUUAAUCAUGUAUUUAAGAAAUGUUAAAUACGUUUAAAAAAUGUUCAUGGUGUAUACAAAAAAUAUAUAAGGUGCGUGUAAAAUGUACAAUGUGUAUGAAAAAAGUAUGCAUCAAAACAUAAACCAAAAAUAUCAUCUCUCCACACACACACACACACANNNNNNNNNNNNNNNNNNNNNNNNNNNNNNNNNNNNNNNNNNNNNNNNNNNNNNNNNNNNNNNNNNNNNNNNNNNNNNNNNNNNNNNNNNNNNNNNNNNNNNNNNNNNNNNNNNNNNNNNNNNNNNNNNNNNNNNNNNNNNNNNNNNNNNNNNNNNNNNNNNNNNNNNNNNNNNNNNNNNNNNNNNNNNNNNNNNNNNNNNNNNNNNNNNNNNNNNNNNNNNNNNNNNNNNNNNNNNNNNNNNNNNNNNNNNNNNNNNNNNNNNNNNNNNNNNNNNNNNNNNNNNNNNNNNNNNNNNNNNNNNNNNNNNNNNNNNNNNNNNNNNNNNACACACACACGGGUCUCAUCUUUCAGAAACAUUUUGAAAUAUCAGCCCAGCUAACCAGGCCUUUUUUUUUUUCUUCUCUUUCAAGGACACAAGGAGGAGACCGAAGACCGGAGUGCAGGAGGAAGAAAGAAAACCAGGGAAAAGCCAGCGCAGAUCAGACCACGCCACCAAUCAAAACCCCNACGAUACACCUGUUGUUUCUACUAGUAAUCAAAAAAAUUGGUGGUUUGAUGCUUGCACAUAGAACUUGUCCGAGGAGGCUGGCUGCAAAUGCGACGUUCAGGCGUAGGGGCGUGAAACAGCUUGGGGUUGGUAUUGAGCUGCUGGGGCAGGACUAUGUCAAGGAAAUUGAGCUGCUGGUUGAGCCAUUGCCACCUGCUAACAGUUUACUACACACCCACCGUCCUAAACUGACAGUGGAAGGUUGGUCCCCUUGUAUAUUAAG
This 110021-nucleotide long non-coding RNA is filed under the name Hordeum vulgare. Its description in RNAcentral is "long non-coding RNA (HVUL_LNC011248)". The record is from RNAcentral. Lineage: Eukaryota; Viridiplantae; Streptophyta; Magnoliopsida; Poales; Poaceae.